GGCGGCUUUCCUUGCGCUCCCUGGCCCAACGACCUAUGUCGGUCGAAGUCGAGCUCGGUGCCCUUGCGCUCGUUGUACCCGUUUCUUGGCCUUUCCACUGCCAGGUCUUUAAAACACGUGGCUUUGGAAAUAUAGAUACUAUCUAAUAUGGGCAUGCCGUAAAAGAAGAUUUUGCUUUUGCCAUCCAAAUUACCUCUCUUCUCUACCAAAAAUGAAUUUUCAAAAUUUAAGUUUACUGGAGACGCUCCGAAAACGCACACAAAACAGUGGUACCGGACAAGGUUUUUAAAUCCAAAUUUCCUUCUUCUCUACCUAAAAUGAAUUUCCAAAAUUUAGGUCUACUGGAGACGCUCCGAAAACGCACACAAUACAGUGGUACCGUACAAGGUUUUUAAAUCCAAAUUUCCUUCUUCUCUACCUAAAAUGUGGUACCGGACAAGGUUUUUUAAUUUCGGUAACGAAAUAAUAUCGGAUCCCACUGAACUAUGAGAAAUUUCGAAAUUUUUGCAUAUUUCAGGAAUUAUUUUGGAUUUUAAGAAUUCAAAAUUUACUUAACUUUAAUGUGUUCUGACGUAAUUUAUAUUUAUCUUGAAAUCAGUUUGAAAAUGCCUCUUAAUUCCGGUGUUAAAAACAUUUCAGACCCGACUGAAAUAUGUAAAAUUUCGUUGAAAUUUUUAACCCAGUAUCGGCUACUGGGUCUGGUGGUACGAGCACAACUUUCUUGGGAGCCCAAUCAAUCCUGUUCUGCUUCAUCUCUCUCCCACCGCCAUGCCAUCUUCCUCCUCCCUGCUCUGCCUCGAGUGCUCCGUGUGCAGGCCCGACCGCUCGAGUUCGCCGUUGGGCCUGGCACACAUGGGGGCACCGUGCCGAAGCCGAGGGCCACACGCACUGAUCGCGCCGGAGACGACCUGUGAAUCGGCGUGCUCGCAGCCAUGCCUUCUCGCUGUCUGUCACCACCGCGCACAAGAUGCUUGAUGAAAUGGUCAAAAGAGAAUACCAAGGGGCAGCGGUCCUUGUUCUUGCAUAUUUGCAUAUAUCUGACUGUUCGGUUGCCCACAAGAUGCUUGAGAAAAUUCCCAUACGUGAUUAGCAUGCGAGUGCAUGUUGUAGUUGCUCAUAUAUUUCAUAUCAACUAUGCUACUUCUACUCACAUAAUUCAAUGAUUGUAGGAACAAUUGUAGUACAAGAUUAUUUGGUUUGCUUUUAUGUGAAGAACUACAUCUUACCCUUCCUUCUUCUAAUCGUACCUUCGUAAUACUUCUCCCUGGUUUAAUCUUUCUCUCACUGAGAUCAUUGUUUGUUAGUACUUUGGUAAAACCGCAGAACCUAGAUGGAAGGAAAGGCACCGCAAAGAAGUUGAGGCACAAGAAUCACACUCACUGGUGGAGCAGCUAUCACCUGAAUGUUGUAGAUAACAUUUCAUUUGAUCCAAUUCUUCAGUGCUCAUUAAGGUAUGGAGUUCUCUAGCACAGAACGCCUUUACUUGCUAUGUUUUUUUGGUUUCUCUUAUGCUUACAAGAUACACUUCCUUGAGCUUCUCAGGACAGAUAAUAUUUCCUUUUGUUUUGUAAUUGAGUUGAUCUACACUUCCAGUCCAGUCCUGCUGAGGAUACUAACCAUGGAGCACUGGAGCCAAAACCAAACCAGAAGACUGCCCAGGUUAAAGAAGACCAAGCACUUGGCAAGGUAUAUAGCAGUGUUACUAUGCCUGGUUAUACUUCUUGCUUCUAAAUUUUGCUGCUAACUACAUUUCCAAUCAAGGUACUAUACUAUGUAUCUUGAUGCUGCCUCUCCAGGCCUCUGAUAAAGCUUUACUUGGAAGGGUAACGAUCGAUGACUGCUUUUGCUGACGGGCUCAAUGCUGCUGCCUGAACUGCUAUCAUGGUAAUGAUGGCCAAACAGUUAUGCUACUUAUUUGUCAUGCCUUCGACAAGCUCUAUAAAUAUGAGCAGAGAAUAACUUCAUGUUGGUCGAAAGACGUGCACCUGGUAUCUGCCCGUUGAUGCGCCUCAUCGCACAUAAUUUCUUAAUAUUUGGUAGCUUGUGCCAUUUCCCAUGAUUUAUGUGCCUGUAGCUAAAUUUGUAUGAGCUACCUGCCUACCUGAUCUAUGCAUGGUAGCUUAGUUAUUUCUAUCUCCCGGCCACGCUGCUCUUGAUGUAAACAUACAGUGGCUUAAUCACUAGAGUACAACAGAUGGUGCCCUCUUAGUCCCUAAGUGCUAUGCAUGUUUUCUUGUGUCUGCUUCUUAAUUCCCUCUUCUAUAUUUUUGGUUAAACGACAUACACGGUUGUCUGUGAGGCUGGAUGCAUUUCGUGUGCCGAUCCUCCUACUGAUAACCAGAUUAGGUAGCUCUUAUACUUCAGCUACCUAACUAGUACUAUUGACCAAGAUAGGUUGCCGAGCUGUUAGAAGUGGGUCUGCUGAGCCUUAGCCAAUGACGGCGAAUCAGUUCAAAGUGCUUAUAUUGAAAUUAUCCUCCACACUGUUUUCUCACACUUGAAUAACUAAAUGAUGUUGCCCAUCUAUUUUCUUUCUAUUGGCAGUGGUAGAGCGAAAUGUGCAUACAGGUCCUGUUCGUGUGCUUGACCACAGAGUUUAGUUGGUUCUGUUCUUCCUUUUAGCCCCAAAUUGCUUAGAGCAACUCCAACAGUAGCUGCAAAAAAUGCGCGUGCAGGGAUGAAUUCGCGCGCUCCAGUGGACGUGGCAAAAAAGCGCGCGCGGUAAACUUCUGCGCGCGCCCGGGAGAAAGGGGGCGGCCGCGCGUCAGAUUUUGCGCGCCGCUUUCAGCGUCCUAUAAAAUACCGCGCCCGCCACGCGGUUGCCCACACAGCCACACGUCUGUCGCUCGCCACGCUCUCGACUCUUCCUCUGCCUCUCCCUCGCCGCUCCCUCUGCCGCCAUGCCGCCACGCCGCCGUUCAUCGUCGGGCUACCGCGGCGUCCGCGAGCGCCCCUCCGGCACCUACUACGCCGAGAUCCGGUCCGGCGACGUUCCUCGGCCUCGACACGUUCGAGACCGCGCACGAGUCCGCUCGCGCGUACGACGCGGCGGCGUGGCGACUAGGGCGGCCUCGCGCGCAGAUGAACUUCCACGACGUCUACACGCGCGAGCAGGCCCAAAACCUCGCCCCUCCCCCUCGUCUGAUCACGGAGCAAGACCGUGCAGAGCACCGUCAGCAGCAGCAGCGCCUGCUCGUCGUUGAGGAGGACGAGCGAGCAAUGACGAAGUGGCGUCGGCACCACCCGGAGGACGUCGCCGCCGAGAACACCUACUGGGCGGAGAAGACGGCAAGGCGUCGCGCGGAGCGGCAGGUCAGGCGUCUGCGCAAGUUACUCGCUGUAUCGCAGUGCGGGGCCCUCGAAGCCGGUUUGCCGUCCAUCUUCACCUCCCACGAUGAACGUUGGGAGGACGCGUUUCUAUCUAUCUCCGACAGCACCUACAGUGAUGAAUCGGAGUAGUUUUAUAUCUAUAUAUGUUAGUUUUAAUAUCUAUGUGCUGAACUAGUUUUAUUAUAUUUAUGUUGAACUAGUCUUAUCUUUUUGGGUGUUGGGGCGUCGCACGCGCGCUAAAUUUACAGCAGCUGCUGGAGCGCCGCACGUGCGCUAAAUAUGCUGCGACCGCUGGAGCCGACGCCGGCGUCCUAAAAAAAACUAACCACGCGCUGUAUAUAAGUUUUUUGGGCGCCGGUCGAAGCGUGCCUGUUGGAGAUGUUCUUAGCUUUAGUAACCUUGAGGGAGAACAUUGCUCUACAACACAUUAGGUUGUUUAAGCUAUUUUAUAUAUAACAUCCUAACAACUUAGUAUUUUAAGGAUGUCUCAUUUUGAAAAAUGCGCCUUUUUAUGCAUCAGAAAUUCAGAAUUCUGUGUCCAUGUUUCAGAAAUUCCUGGAGCAACACAGGGGAGGGAGGAACUCUAGAGCUAUGAUCUUUAACACAAGUUUAUUUCUCAGUGACGCGUUGUAAUUUGUAACUUAGCAUAAAAUAAAAAUGUUUCAGUCUUUUCUUUAUGCUUUCCAUAGUUUUUAAAGUCCUAAAAGGUUUUCUUCACUUCAACCUCAAUUGCAGUGGGUUGGAUUUGAACCGCUNNNNNNNNNNNNNNNNNNNNNNNNNNNNNNNNNNNGAACCGCUCCUCUAAAUUAAGACAAGAACUAGUUGAGUGCAUAUGCUAAUACAGUAGAAGACAUUGGUCGUUGAAUAGUGAAUACCAGUAGGAAUAUGAUGUGGCACAUUGAUCAUCGUAUGUACAGGUUACAAGGGAAUGUUUGAUUGGGAGAUAGAGAUACAGCUUCUCCCUACUCCCCAGACAUGGUGACAUACACGUAUACAAGCACAAGUACGUGUUCUUCUAGCCAGCUUCUACAUUGCUCGAUCAUCUGAUCAAGCACAGUUUCGCCGUUGUGCAUUCUUCCACAUAUCAAGUGGGAUCCUGAGUAGAUUCUCCUCCGUGGAGGAUGCCGGCGGGACGAACGCGUCCUCGACAUUCGCGUCGAUGUCGAUCUCAGGCAUGAACCACGGGAGCUGGAGCGCGGCGGCCGCCGUCAGCCGCUUGCCUGGGUUGCACUCUAGGAGCCCUUUCAGGACCUGGUAGCCGUCCUCAGACAACAUCUCCGCUGGGAAGAGGUCUCCCAGGGCGCUGCGCUGCUGCUCCCUGAACCGCACCCUGGCGGCGAGCGGCAGCAACGUGAACUCCGGCCACGUCCUGUCAUCCGGCGAGCCUAGGACGCGUAAGAUAGUGCGGACCUGGCGUACCGGAUCGUCCCUCCUUACGUCGCCCUUGAACAGCGGCUUGCCGGUGAGCAUCUCGGCCAUGACGCACCCGAGCGACCACGUGUCCGCCCCCGCGUCGUAGUCCGGCUUCCCCAGGAGCACCUCGGGCGCCAUGUACGGCAGCGUGCCGGCGUCGCUGGACCGCGUCUGGUCGGCCGUGCGCAAGGACAUGGCGAGGCCGAGGUCGCAAAUCUUGAGGAUCUUCCCCCCUUUCGCGACGAGGAUGUUGGAUGGCUUGAGGUCGCGGUGGACAAUGCCGAGCCGGUGCAUCAUCCCGGCGCCGGUGAGCAGCCGCCACAUGUAGGCGCACACGAUGGGCUCCGGGAGCGGCGCCCUCUCCCUCAAGAAAGCGUGGAGGCUCGGCCCGGCGACGCACUCCAUGGCGAGCCCGAGCCUGCCGGUGGCCGGGUCGAGGACGAGGCCGUGCGAGCCGACGACGUAAGGGUUUCCGGCGCAGGCCGCGAGGAAGCCGGCCUCGCGCUGGAGCUCGGCAGCGGCGUCGGCGGGGUCCUCGGAGUCGCAGGGGAACUUGAUCGCGACGGUCCUGCCGGUGGAGCGGUGGCGCGCCCUGACGACGGUGCCGAAGCUGCCCUUGCCGAGGCAGGGCGCGUCCUCGAACUCGAAAUCCUCGGUGCUGGCGAUCCGGGUGCGCCUUUUCUUGCAGCCUUGGGUGGCCGUCGCGCGGCCGACGGCGGCGGCACGCCGCUUGCGGACGGCCAUGGCGGGCGGCGCUCGGCUACUACUGCUGCUGCUUCUGGCGGUUUGUGGGUGGGGUGGACGGCGGGAGCGGCCGGUGGAUGGAGGCGNNNNNNNNNNNNNNNNNNNNNNNNNNNNNNNNNNNNNNNNNNNNNNNNNNNNNNNNNNNNNNNNNNNNNNNNNNNNNNNNNNNNNNNNNNNNNNNNNNNNUGUGCACGAUCAUACCGUGCUCCACCAGCUGCAGCAGAUCCCCCUCCGUCACCGUGGAGGGGAGGAAGUCGCCCUGGAUCCAUCCCGCCGGCAGCGGCCGCUACCGCCGCUGAGCAGGCGCCGCCGUCUUCCCCUUUUUCUUCCUCGCCUCCAUCUUGCUGGUCUGGCCCUUGGUCAUGGCGGCGGCUGCGAGCCCUCGGGAGGAAGGAGAAGGGAGGAGUAUAGGAGCGCUGGAGGUGGCAAGGAAGGCGGAGCAGGCGAGAGCAAGGGAUUCGGCGAGCAUAACGGAGAAGCCUCGCUGCCGAGAUUUCAAUAGGGUUUCGACUGGGUCGCUGGCAGGUGGCCCCGAAACCUUAUCCCCCGACCCACCGCGGUGAUAUUAGUGGAGAGGUUGAAGGCGCGAGAAUCGAGGCGUUAGGCGCUACUCGAGCGCGCUGGCGUCAUCCCCGCUGGGCGCGCGGAAACCGAAAUUUGAGGAUCCCGGAAAAUCCGCCGCUGUCAGUUGACCGGUCACGUCAAAAGAUGCCGCCGAAGCACUCGGCUCCCGAGAGUCUGUUUUGCGAGUACUUCCACUCGGAUCGACGAUCAGAAAAGUCAAAAUGGACCGAGGCAAGCAACGGCCAAGCCGAAUCUGUUCCAGUCGGAUUCAACUUCAAACAUCGUUUCGUCGUUCCAACCUCAAUCCAUUCAGGGACUAAUGAUGGGGUUAUAGUCCUAGGGUAGGGUCAUAUGCCUGCCCUAUAGGUCCUACCCAGGGACUAUAGGGUAGGGUCAUAUGCCUGCCCUAUAGGUCCUACCCAGGGACUACCCCUCACAGAGGACAAGACCCUUAGUCAACUCCGACUGAAUUAAGGAAUCCCUGUCUUCCAGUCGGUAACAUACCUUCGGUCCUCCAGUCGGCGACUAGCAUUCGGAGGACAUCGAGUCAACCGACCGUAUACCACUCGGUACGUCGUAACCCCCCCUGGAGGGAAACGGUCGUACGUUUCCGGAUGCAUUUAUUAGCAUUAAGGGUGUAGUAUAAUCCCGUAUGUCAUUCCCUUUGUCCUUCGGUAUGUUACUUGCCNNNNNNNNNNNNNNNNNNNNNNNNNNNNNNNNNNNNNNNNNNNNNNNNNNNNNNNNNNNNNNNNNNNNNNNNNNNNNNNNNNNNNNNNNNNNNNNNNNNNGAUAGAUCAAAACGCCUGAUAGGACUUUCACAAAGCACAUACCUUGAUAAAGUUUUGAAGAGGUUCAAAAUGGAACAGUCCAAGAAAGGGUUCUUGCCAGUUCUACAAGGUACGAGAUUGAGUAAAACUCAAUGCCCAGAAACUGAUGAAGAUAGAGAGCAUAUGCGCUCCGUCCCCUAUGCUUCAGCCAUAGGUUCUAUCAUGUAUGCGAUGCUGUACACUAGACCGGAUGUUAGCCUGGCCAUAAGUAUGGCAGGUAGGUUCCAGAGUAAUCCAGGAGUGGAUCACUGGACAGCGGUCAAGAAUAUCCUGAAGUACCUGAAAAGGACUAAGGAGAUGUUUCUCGUGUAUGGAGGUGACGAAGAGCUCGCCGUAAUAGGUUACGUUGAUGCAAGCUUUGACACAGAUCCGGACGACUCUAAGUCGCAAACCGGAUACGUAUUUAUUCUUAAUGGGGGUGCAGUAAGCUGGUGCAGUUCCAAGCAGAGCGUCGUAGCAGAUUCUACAUGUGAAGCAGAGUACAUGGCUGCCUCGGAGGCGGCUAAGGAGGGUGUCUGGAUGAAGCAGUUCAUGACGGAUCUUGGAGUGGUGCCAAGCGCACUGAAUCCAAUAACCUUGUUCUGUGACAACACUGGUGCCAUUGCCUUGGCAAAGGAACCACGGUUUCACAAGAAGACCAGACACAUCAAACGACGCUUCAACCUCAUCCGCGACUACAUCGAGGAAGAGGACGUAAAUAUAUGCAAAGUGCACACGGAUCUGAAUGUAGGAGACCCGCUGAAUAAACCUCUUCCACGGCCAAAACAUGAUCAACACCAGAACUGUAUGGGUGUUAGAUUUAUUACAAUGUAAUUCACAUGGUGAUGUGAGGGCUAGAUUAUUGACUCUAGUGCAAGUGGGAGACUGUUGGAAUUAUGCCCUAGAGGCAAUAAUAAAUAUAGUUAUUAUUAUAAUUCCUGUAUCAAGAUAAUCGUUUAUUAUCCAUGCUAUAAUUGUAUUGAAUGAAGACUCAUUUACAUGUGUGGAUACAUAGACAAAACACCGUCUGUCGUGGUUUUGUCACGACAGAUGUCCUCGUGAGAGAACUUAGGUGUGAGGCCAUCACAACCAUGUGGCGGCUUGAAGGGGUUGGUCGGAAUCGAGAGACGCGAGUUUACCCAGGUUCGGCCCCUCCGAUGGAGGUAAAAGCCUACAUCCUGCUUGUGCUUCAUUGAUGAAGAUGAUCUCAAUUACAAGGGUGCAGACUCGCCACCUCUAAUCUCUUGGGUGUCUGGUCUGUCUCAUGAUUUGUCUUGUCUAGACCUAAGUUGUGUCCCCUGUCCCUUUUGGGGUACCUUACCCCUCCUUAUAUAGGUGGAAGGGGUAGGUUUACAUGUAGAGUCCUACUAGGAGUAGGAAUAGGACUAGUCUAUCUUGAAUCCUAAUCCGGGUCUUGUUUCCUUCUUGUGGGAGUCUUUCCUCUUCUUGGGCCUUCUAUGUGAGUCGGCCCUCCUGGCCUCUCUAUGAAUCGCCUUAUGCUAGGGUGUACGCCGGGCCUUGGGCCUUCGUCAUUUAUCUAAGUCGCAUGUGGGGACAAGUAUGAGUCGCCCGCCAGGUCACUUCUGAGUCGCCAAGUCCUUGGUGGGUCAUACUCCAAGCCGGGUUACACUGCGGGGUAUAUCCCCAACAUUAGCCCCCAAGGUUAGCUUGUAUUUAUUCAUGGUAAGCUCCUGAAAUAAGAAUAAUAAAUAAGUUAAGGGACCGGCUUGCUCCUCUGGCCGGCUUGAUUUACUGAAGUGGCUCCUUGAAAAAUCCGGGUUUCUUCGAACCGCCUUUAAUCAUCUCGUAGGUACGUGUCCUUUGUAAUAAAAUACAUAUGCCAUUGAAUCGGCCUCCAAUGCUUUGGCUUGAUGAAAAUUUGGGAAAUAAGAAAUCCACACAAUGUUGAACUAGCUUCUCUUGCUUCAGCGGGUUAUGAUUGACAAUGGCGGGUCAUGAUUGAUAAUGGCAGGUCAUCAUAAUUAGUAGUGCCCCGUGAAACAACUGAACUCCAAUUGACAAAUCCGUGUGAUGUUGAGCCGGUCUUUCAGUGCUUCAACUAGAUAAAAAUAUGUUGAACCGGUCUCCCAAUACUUCACCUCCAUGACAGAAUGAAAUGUGCUCUUCAAUUUUUUGAUAUAUCCAUAUUACCUGUAGCCCCCAAGGGCCGGGUCAUCAGUGUGUGAUGGGCCGGGUCUCCAAUUUGAACCUCAUGAUCUAUGAAACAACUUAGUGAUGUAGCCCCCAAGGGCCUAGUUGUCUUGCCUGCAGCAACCUGGGACUUUAAACAUUAUGAUCUGAAUAGUGUAGCCCCCAAGUGACGGGUCGAUUGCUUGCGGCGACUCGGGACUUCCUUGUUCUUCUCCUUGAGCAGAAAUGUGUAGCCCCCAAGGGCCGGGUCAUUAUAAAAAUGAUAAGUCGGUUCUUCCUUGAAUCCAUACUUGAAUAAUGAGCGACCUGUAGCCCCCUAGGGCCGGCUUAUCUUCUUGAAAUAGCCGGGUCUGUCGAUGAUGUGAUCAUUUGAAAAGAGGAUUGCAUUAGCCCCCAAGUGCCAUGGUGCAUGCUUGCAGCGACAUGGGACUUUCAUACUUUGAUGUAAUCUUGAUUUGAAUAAUGUAGCCCCCCAAGUGUCGGGUUGUGUGCCUGCAGCGACUCGAGGCUAUUCCUUCCAUUGUAGAAUAAAAUCAUAUCCACUCUGUGAGCUGAUGAUGCCUUUGUGAUAAAAGAAAUCCUUGAGCGUGGUUGCAAUGUAACCCGGCAAAUAUAUCCUUGAGAAAUCCAUAUGUCGGAGCAAUCGGCCCAAGAUAUUUUGAGGCAAGUCAGGAAAAAGCCUGAAAAACCUUGUGGCAGUGCCAGGAAGGUAAAAAAUAGCAAUUUCGUCGGCUCAUAAGGUUGCGACAGGAUGGGGCGAGUCAAAAAGCUCAAGCGCCACCCAAGAUAAUGAUUUCGUCGGCUCAUACGGUCGCGACAGGAUAGGGCGAGUCAGAAAGCUCAAGCGCCACCCAAGAUAAUGAUUUCGUCGGCUCAUAAGGUUGCGACAGGAUGGGGCGAGUCAGAAAGCUCAAGCGCCACCAUAAGAUGAUGGUUUCGUCGGCUCAUAAGGUCGCAACAGGAUGGGGCGAGUCAGAAAGCUCAAGCGCCACCCUAAGAUGAUGGUUUCGUCGGCUCAUAAGGUCACGACUGGAUGGGGCGAGUCAGAAAGCUCAAGCGCCACCCUAAGAUGAUGGUUUCGUCGGCUCAUAAGGUCGCGACAGGAUGGGGCGAGUCAGAAAGCUCAAGCGCCACCCUAAGAUAAUGGUUUCGUCGGCUCAUAAGGUCGCGACAGGAUGGGGCGAGUCAGAAAGCUCAAGCGCCACCCUAAGAUGAUAAUUUUUCUGUAAUGACCCGUGGUUCUUGAAUUAUUCAUCCCAGUUGAGUCUGUCGAGCCAUGUCCAUGUAGCCCCCGAGUCUUAAGUCGACUCAAGGAGGCGGCUUGAGAGUCUCCAUACUUGAUUGUGGCAUAAACCGACAGAGAAAAGAUACUGGUACUCGCUCCAUCUCCAAGAUAUAAAGCCACUGCACCGGUAAGUUUGAUAUUGUCCGGACUGUGAGGGUGGCGACUUGCGUCCUUCUGUUGGAUGGCUCGUACAGGCGAGCAUUACACCGGCAAGUUGAGAGUUGUCUGGCGAUUUGGCACGGACUCAAGAAUCGGUUGCGGCGUUGUAAGCAGCUUUAGUUGCGCGGACGUGAGAGUUUGGCCGCGUCAUUGUGAGUCGUCUUGAUCGCAUGGUCGUUUAGAGUUGGCCGCAUCAUUUGUAAAUAGGCGCUCGCAGCGAGUUGUUCGUCAAUUAUGAACUGGCAUGGACGGCGAGUUGGCCGCGGUAUUGUAAACCGGCUCAUGAAUUCGUUGAGCAUCGUCCGUAAUAUUAUAUCAUAUUUGUAUUGAGUACUUGUCCUGAUGAUUUUGUCGGGUGAAAUACCGAUGACCCAUACGCAGACGCUGGUGCUGGUCUAGUCGUCCACGUUGUUGUAUUUUCAGAUGUUGCCUUGUAGUCAUAGUAUUUCUUGAGCAAUCCACGUGGAUGCAUGUCCAUGCACAUGGAUCAAAUCACAUUGUCCAUUGUGGCUUGGCUUCCUUGCCGAGCGUGGAGUUGAUCAAAACAUUUCCGGUCUUGCCAUCCUUACGAACACUGCUAUCCACGAGCCCCAAAGGUUCACCAGCGGCCAAAAGCUCGACGGGUCGGCGCGUGCUCGCGGGAGGAGCCGCCCCAGCUGGCGAUGGCGUAGUCGGACGACUUCCCGUCGGGGGGCAGGCGAGCAGCGGUGUUGGUGCGGCCGGCGGCAGAGAGUCGGCUCGCUGCGAGAUGGCCGGCUCAAGGUGAGGCCUGGCCAGCCCGAGGCGAGGUGAGCCAUGGUGGAGAUGAAGCUAGUACGUGCCUAUUAGCUGCCUUUGACCUUCAUGUAGUGACACGUAGGGACUCAGUCCAUUAAAUUUCACAUCUGAGGUGGUUUGAUCAUGUCGGGGAACUCCUGAUCGCAACUGCCUGUGCAUCUGUCACGACCUAACACGAAAAGUAACGUCCGGACGGCUUGCCACCAAUUGAGCUGCUAAGUAAGUUGAGCUGGUCUCGGUCUUCAUGCCUUCCGUUCUUGAUAUGACUUUGAUCCUGAUGCGUGUAAAUCAGUCUUCCGUCGUUGAGGCAACACUUUUGGCUGCUCUUGUUUGAUCGCUGUUGAGGUGAGGUGGAGCCUAAGUCAUGCGGCAAGGAGAGAUCCAUAUGUUCGAGAAAUCCAUAAGUGUUGUAGUUUACUACAGAGCACUAAGUUGAAGAAAUCCAAGGGCCGGUCAAUUAGAUGACUCGACAUUUAUAUGUGAUAGGGCGGCUCUUCGACAAUAGUCAAUUCUUCCGAGCUGGCUCAAAAACCCCAAUCAUUUAACACUGGUUAUUAUAAACCAUGAUAAAAUCCAGCCAAAUUGGCUAUUCAAAGAUUAAUUUGCACCUGUAAUAACUUAUGCUUUGACCCGGUUUGAAGACCGGCAUGAUAUGUAUGUAUGAUGCAUGAUGCAAUGCAAGAUGAUGCAUGUAUAUGACAGAAUAGUGCUGGUAUAUGAGACUUGAAUCUUACUUCAAUGAAACUAGCUUGUUAGCCACUGGCUUAUCCUCGCUCUCUGUAAGCCGGCACUCGCGACCAAUCGAUGUUUUAACCUCGAUAGUUCAGGGUCCAACUGGAUUGACAUAUCGAGAGUACACGGGAUUCGGAGUAGCAUCAUGCAGACAGGCAGGUUUAACCAAGUUUCAAAGAAGGCGGCUUAAUAGCCCAUGGAAUAUCCUCGCUUUCUGUAAGCCGGCACUCGCGACCAUUCGAUGUUUUAACCUCGAUAGUUCAGGGUCCAACUGGAUUGACAUAUCGAGAGUACACGGGAUUCGGAGUAGCAUCAUGCAGACAGGCAGGUUUGACCAAGAAGGUGGCUUAAUGGAAAAUGGAGUAUCCUCGCUUUCUGUAAGCCGGCACUCACGACCAAUCGAUGUUUUAACCCGGAUAAGUUCAGGGUCCAUAUGGAUUGACUUAUCAUGAAACGGAGUACACGGGAUUCGGAGUAGCAUCACGCAGACAGGCAGGUUUAACCAUGAAUUCUUGCCAUUAAGCCGGGCACCAUGUUGAAGUGCGCAUCGUGGCGACUCGUCCUCUUGGGCAACUUUAAAAUGCCCGCCAAUGAAGCAGCAGCCCUCGGAGCCGGGUUAUCUUGCCUGUAAUGACCCGACGUUCUUGAAUUAUUCAGCCUGGUUCGAUCUGGCGAGACAUGUCUGAAUAACCCCCGAGUCUUAAGUCGACUCAAGGAGGCGGCUUGAGAGUCUCCAUACUUGACUGCGGCAUAAACCGGUGGAGAAAAAUGCUGGUACCCGCUCCAUCUGAUGUGUUGAUGUAAAUUGGACCGUAGGGACGGCAGCUUGCGCACGUCUGUUGCGUGGCUUUUAUAAGUGAGCACCGCACGAUAUGUUGAUGUCGCCCGGACCGCGAGGGCAACGUCUUGCAUCCGUUUGUUUGGGGCUCGUACAGGCGAGCACUGCACCGACGGGUUGAUGUCAUCUGGACCACGAGGGUGGCGUCUUGCAUCCGUCUAUUUGGGCGGCUCGCACUUGCGUAUACUGCACCGGCGGAUUGAUGUCGUCCGUACCGCGAAGGCGAUGUCUCGUAAGUUGUCUUAGUCGCGCGGACGUGAGAGUUGGCCACGUCAUUGUAAGCCGGCGCGGGCAGCGAGUUGGCCGCGUCACUUGUAAACCAGCGCGGACAGCAAGUUGGCCGUGUCAUUGUAAGCCAGCGCUGACGGUGAGUCGCCCGCGUCGUUGUACACCGGUGCGGACGAUGAGUCGCCCAUGACAUUUGUAGGUCGACGCCGAUAGUAAGUCGUCCGUGGCGAGCUUCGUCCUCACAAUAUAACGCCGUCUUUGUUGCGAGUAAUUGUCCUGCGUAUUAAAAUAUUACAAGCGAGAGUAAUUGUUCUCAAGAAAACUGAUGUAUGUUUAUUAAAGUAAACUGGAUGAAUAUCACCUGACUAGAUGAUCUGCGCGCAGACUAGAAAUCAUUUGAGUCCAGCAACAGCGUGAAUGGACCAGCAUUUUUAGUCUCCACGGAGUACAAGUGCUCAUUUACUAUUUGUCCUCUCAUCGUGGCGCCGAUGCACAUAUGACCUCGGAUGCAGGCGUGUGAGGACCGGAUGGUCUUCUGGCCAUGAAUUAAUUGACCAAUUUUGUAUUAGCAUUGCAAGUACUUUGCUUUAGCUCGGGUCUUCACGUUGAGAUGAUUUGACUCAAUCUCAGGGCUUGUGCAAUGCUGGAGCAUCCUUCUUUCUUCAACAUAUUUCCUCGCUGACCAGCUGAAACCCUAAUUCGUUGAGAUUGUACAAACAAGCCGGCGCCUCAAGCGACGAUGAACUGGAGGUGGCGGUGUGCGACGCGGCCGAUGGGAACAGGACGUUGAUCAUGAGCAUGCUGAAGAAGGCGUACAUCGAGGGGGUUGGCCUGCUGAACCUUUUUAUGGAGAAACUGUACUGCAUAUUCUUUUCUAAUCCAUCAUAAUUCUCCUCUCCAGCCUGAUUACACAGAAGCAUGUAAUUCCAUCAAGUACGUAUCACUUUGCCCUGUUGAUCCUUUGAUACCGCUUCAUGCUUUUAGUUUGAGAUGGACCCUCCCUCGGUUCCUUGUCAUGCUUCGCCAUUGGUGACUGGUGCAGGCGGAAGAAAACGCGUGGAGAGGCGUUGUCGAAGAUACCCACGCGUGACGCGCGCACGGAGUAGGAGAACUGGCGAACGGUCGACCGGUGCGCGGAGGCCGGCGGCUCGAGCGCGGAAGUGACGCAGCAAGAGCAGACGCAUGGCGGAGGCGAGGCGCAGCCGUCGGAGCACAGCGAAGCUAGGCGGAGUCGGCCGGGACAGAGCAGCAAGCGGAGCGAAACGGAACCGGCCUGGGCGUGGAGCAGCGAGUGCUGUUCGAGGCAAGCGAGCAAGCGGCAACUUGGCCAGUUCGCAGAGCGGAUUACGGGAAUGAGGCGACGCCGACAUGGCUGGGUGGAGAUGGCGGAGUAGCCGGCAUGUGGCCGCAGUGGGGCGGAGUAGCGCGCGACGAUGCUAGGCCACGGCGGCUUAGAGGCAAGGCAGAGUAAGGCGAGGCAAAAUCACGGCACUGCAGGUGGAGCAGGUAGAGCGUGGCACCAGAGGUGAGGCCGACUCGUGGAGGCGAUUGGAGGCGAGCGCAGAGAGGAAAUGGGGGUGGCAACUAUCUCGGANNNNNNNNNNNNNNNNNNNNNNNNNNNNNNNNNNNNNNNNNNNNNNNNNNNNNNNNNNNNNNNNNNNNNNNNNNNNNNNNNNNNNNNNNNNNNNNNNNNNGUGCCCUAUGCGCCAUAGAGAUAAAAAUCAAAGAGAAAGAAAAAAAAAGAGGAGGUGGGAAGGAAGGGGGACUCGCUCCCACCAAACCAAGUCCAACUCGGUUUGGGGGGGGAGUCCUCCCCCCUUGGACUCGGCCGACCCCCUUGGGGCUCCUUGAGCCCCAAGGCAAGGUCCCCUCCCUCCCACCUAUAUAUACUGAGGUUUUAGGGCUGAUUUGAGACGACUUUUCCACGGCAGCCCGACCACAUACCUCCACAGUUUUUCCUCUAGAUUGCGUUUCUACGGAGCUCGGGCGGAGCCCUGCUGAGACAAGGUCAUCACCAACCUCCAGAGCGUCGUCACGCUGCCGGAGAACUCUUCUACCUCUCCGUCUCUCUUGCUGGAUCUAGAAGGCCGAGAUCAUCGUCGAGCUGUACGUGUGCUGAACGCGGAGAUGUCGUCCGUUCGGUACUAGAUCGUGGGACUGAUCGCGGGAUUGUUCGCGGGGCGGAUCGAGGGACGUGAGGACGUUCCACUAUAUCAACCGCNNNNNNNNNNNNNNNNNNNNNNNNNNNNNNNNNNNNNNNNNNNNNNNNNNNNNNNNNNNNNNNNNNNNNNNNNNNNNNNNNNNNNNNNNNNNNNNNNNNNAAUCUCGGGCAAGUAACAUACCGAAGGACAAAGGGAAUAACAUACGGGAUUAUAUGAAUCCUUGGCACUGAGGUUCAAACGAUAAGAUCUUCGUAGAAUAUGUAGGAUCCAAUAUGGGCAUCCAGGUCCCGCUAUUGGAUAUUGACCGAGAAGUCUCUCGGGUCAUGUCUACAUAGUUCUCGAACCCGCAGGGUCUGCACACUUAAGGUUCGACGUUGUUUUAUGCGUAUUUGAGUUAUAUGGUUGGUUACCGAAUGUUGUUCGGAGUCCCGGAUGAGAUCACGGACGUCACGAGGGUUUCCGGAAUGGUCCGGAAACGAAGAUUGAUAUAUAGGAUGACCUCAUUUGAUUACCGGAAGGUUUUCGGAGUUACCGGGAAUGUACCGGGAAUGACGAAUGGGUUCCGGGAGUUCACCGGGGGGGCAACCCACCCCGGGGAAGCCCAUAGGCCUUAAGGGAGGCACACCAGCCCUUAGUGGGCUGGUGGGACAGCCCACAAGUGCCCUAUGCGCCAUAGAGAUAAAAAUCAAAGAGAAAGAAAAAAAAGGAGGAGGUGGGAAGGAAGGGGGACUCCCUCCCACCAAACCAAGUCCAACUCGGUUUGGGGGGGGAGUCCUCCCCCCUUGGACUCGGCCGACCCCCUUGGGGCUCCUUGAGCCCCAAGGCAAGGUCCCCUCCCUCCCACCUAUAUAUACAGAGGUUUUAGGGCUGAUUUGAGACGACUUUUCCACGGCAGCCCGACCACAUACCUCCACAGUUUUUCCUCUAGAUCGCGUUUCUGCGGAGCUCGGGCGGAGCCAUGCUGAGACAAGGUCAUCACCAACCUCCGGAGUGCCGUCACGCUGCCGGAGAACUCUUCUACCUCUCCGUCUCUCUUGCUGGAUCAAGAAGGCCGAGAUCAUCCUCGAGCUGUACGUGUGCUGAACGCGGAGGUGCCGUCCGUUCGGUACUAGAUCGUGGGACUGAUCGCGGGAUUGUUUGCGGGGUGGAUCGAGGGACGUGAGGACGUUCCACUACAUCAACCGCGUUCUCUAACGCUUCUGUUGUACGAUCUACAAGGGUACGUAGAUCACUCAUCCCCUCUCGUAGAUGGACAUCACCAUGAUAGGUCUUCGUGCGCGUAGGAAANNNNNNNNNNNNNNNNNNNNNNNNNNNNNNNNNNNNNNNNNNNNNNNNNNNNNNNNNNNNNNNNNNNNNNNNNNNNNNNNNNNNNNNNNNNNNNNNNNNNGAUAGAUCAAAACGCCUGAUAGGACUUUCACAAAGCACAUACCUUGAUAAAGUUUUGAAGAGGUUCAAAAUGGAACAGUCCAAGAAAGGGUUCUUGCCAGUGUUACAAGGUACGAGAUUGAGUAAGACUCAGUGCCCAGCAACUGAUGAAGAUAGAGAGCAUAUGCGCUCCGUCCCCUAUGCUUCGGCCAUAGGUUCUAUCAUAUAUGCAAUGUUGUGCACUAGACCGGAUGUUAGCCUGGCAAGUAUGGCAGGUAGGUUCCAGAGUAAUCCAGGAGUGGAUCACUGGACGGCGGUCAAGAAUAUCCUAAAGUACCUGAAAAGGACUAAGGAGAUGUUUCUCGUGUAUGGAGGUGACGAAGAGCUCGCCGUAAAAGGUUACGUCGAUGCAAGCUUUGACACAGAUCCGGACGACUCUAAGUCGCAAACCGGAUACGUAUUUAUUCUUAAUGGGGGUGCAGUAAGCUGGUGCAGUUCCAAGCAAAGCGUCGUAGCAGAUUCUACAUGUGAAGCUGAGUACAUGGCUGCCUCGGAGGCGGCUAAGGAGGGUGUCUGGAUGAAGCAGUUCAUGACGGAUCUUGGAGUGGUGCCAAGUGCACUGGAUCCAAUAACCUUGUUCUGUGACAACACUGGUGCCAUUGCCUUAGCAAAGGAACCAAGGUUUCACAAGAAGACCAGACACAUCAAACGACGCUUCAACCUCAUCCGCGACUACGUCGAGGAGGAGGACGUAAAUAUAUGCAAAGUGCACACGGAUCUGAAUGUAGGAGACCCGCUGAAUAAACCUCUUCCACGGCCAAAACAUGAUCAACACCAGAACUGUAUGGGUGUUAGAUUUAUUACAAUGUAAUUCACAUGGUGAUGUGAGGGCUAGAUUAUUGACUCUAGUGCAAGUGGGAGACUGUUGGAAUUAUGCCCUAGAGGCAAUAAUAAAUAUAGUUAUUAUUAUAAUUCCUGUAUCAAGAUAAUCGUUUAUUAUCCAUGCUAUAAUUGUAUUGAAUGAAGACUCAUUUACAUGUGUGGAUACAUAGACAAAACACCGUNNNNNNNNNNNNNNNNNNNNNNNNNNNNNNNNNNNNNNNNNNNNNNNNNNNNNNNNNNNNNNNNNNNNNNNNNNNNNNNNNNNNNNNNNNNNNNNNNNNNGACUUACAAGGAUAUCAAAUCAUGCAUAUAAGAAAUCAGCAAAGACUGAAAUAUAUAUCAUAGAUAAUCUGAUUACAAAUCCACAAUUCAUCGGAUCUCGACAAACACACCACCAAAGAAGAUUACAUCGGAUAGAUCUCCAUGAAGAUCAUGGAGAACUUUGUAUUGAAGAUCCAAGAGAGAGAAGAAGCCAUCUAGCUACUAACUACGGACCCGUAGGUCUGAAGUGAACUACUCACGAGUCAUUGGAGGGGCGAUGAUGUUGAUGUAGAAGCCCUCCAACUCCAAAGUCCCCUCUGGCAGGGCACCGGGAAGGGUCUCCAGAUGAGAUAUCGCGGAAACGGAAGCUUGCGGCGGCGGAAAAGUAUUUUCGUAGAUCCCUUUAUUUUUUCUGUAUUUUAGGGAAUAUAGGCGAAGGAGCUAGGUCAGGGGGGCGCCAGGGAGGCCACAAGCUUGGUGGCCGCCGCCCCCUUGGUGGAGGAUGGGGGGCUUGUGGGCCCCCUAUAGCCCUCCUGGCUUGGCCCUCAAGCCCGCAAAUCUUCUUCCGUUCGGAAAAAAAAUAUUUCGGGGAUUUUAUUCCGUUUGGACUCCGUUCCAAAAUCAGAUCUGAAAAGAGCCAAAAACACAGAAAAAACAGGAACUGGCACUUGGCACUAAAUUAGUAAGUUAGUCCCAAAAAAGAUAUAAAAGGUACAUAAAACAUCCAAAGAUGACAAGAUAACAGCAUGAAACCAUCAAAAAUUAUAGAUACGUUUGAGACGUAUCAAGCAUCCCGAAGCUUAACUCCUGCUCGUCCUCGAGUAGGGAAGUGAUAAAGAAUGAUUUUUUGAUGCUUUCAUGCUACCUAGCAUAGAUGUCCUUUGUAACUCCUCUUAUGUGACGUGAAUGUUCAGAUCCAUUAGAUUCAAAACAAUAGUUUGCUAUUAACGUGGAAACAAUAAUAAUUCAAGCAAACUAGCAAAGUAAUCAUGAACUUUCAAAAUAACAAGGCCAAAAGAAAGUUAUCCCUNNNNNNNNNNNNNNNNNNNNNNNNNNNNNNNNNNNNNNNNNNNNNNNNNNNNNNNNNNNNNNNNNNNNNNNNNNNNNNNNNNNNNNNNNNNNNNNNNNNNGUGACCUUUCCCAGUGACAGUAGGGGCAGCAAGGCACACAUCGUGUAGUUGCCAUCAAGGGUAACAAGGUGGGCUUUGUCGUAGAUAUGAGAUUGUCCAUCUACAUCAUGUCAUCUUGCUUAAGGUGUUACUCUGUCUAUCCAUCUACAUCAUGUCAUCUUGAUUGAGGCGUUACUCUGUUCUUUGGACUUAAUACACUAGAUGCAUGAUGGAUAGUGAUCGACGUGUGGAGUAAUAGUAGUAGAUGCAGAAAGUAUCGGUCUACUUGUUUUGGACGUGAUGCCUAUAGAUAUAAUCAUUGCCAUAGAUGACGUCACGACUUUGUGCGGUUCUAUCAAUUGCUCGACAGUAAUUUGUUCACCCACCGUCUACUUGCUUUCAUGAGAGAAGCCACUAGUAAACACUACGGCCCCCGGGUCUAUUCACACCUAUCGUUUCCACCUUUGCUUUUACUUGGCUUUGUUACUUUGUUGCUUUCAGUUCUCACUUGGCGAACAAUCUAUAAGGGAUUGGCAACCCCUUCAUAGUGUUGGGAGCAAGCUUUUUGUGUUUGUGCAGGCACUUGUGAUACUCCUUCACUGGAUCGAUACCUUGGUUCUCAAAACUGAGGGAAGUACUUACCACCGUUGCGCUACAUCACCCUUUCCGCUUCGAGGGAACACCAAUGCAACGCUCCAAGGCCACGGGGAAAUCCUUUGCAUAUUUGCCUAGGAAGUCCCUAAAGGCAUAGCCGUAGCAGAAGGAUUCCUGGUGCCGUUGCUGAGGAGAAUCAAGACGUCUCCCGUCAGCACGUAUUUCUGGCGCCGUUGGAAGGUAUUUUGUUGCAGAAGCACCUGUCACCAGAAUAUGCAAGCCAAGUUGUACAAUAAUUUUUUUUCACUAGCAUAUGAAAAUGACAAAACAUGAGGAGAGAUCUAUCCAAGUAGGUAUCACAAACUCAUCUCUUGCAUUUACUUUUUUUUGCCAGUUGCCUCUCGUUUUCCUCUCCCCCACUUCACAUUUGCCAUUUUCAUUUGUCUUUCUCCCUUGUCGUUUUCAUUUGCCUUUUUCUUCAUUUGCCUUCUUCGUAUGCCUUUCCUUUGCUUGUGUGCUAUGUGCCUUCAAUGUGCUUGCAUCUUCGCUUGCUAAAAAUCUAGUGAUAUGGAUCCUCGUCUACUUGCUAAUCUCUUUAAGAGAUCCAAUUAUGUUGAUCCAAUUGCUAGAGAGUUGAGUGCACUUGACUUUCUCUAUGGAGUUUUGCUUGAGAUGCAUGAAUCUGAAAAUCGCGAUGAAGAAAUUCAUGAAGUGAUUCAUGAGGGCUCCUUGAAUAAAAAAGCAUGAUUGCAAUGGUUUCACUAUAAAUUCUAUUAGUGACAAUCAUGCUAAAAAUAUGCAAAACCCUAAGCUUGGGGAUGCUAGUUUUUCUUUGUCCACUACUUGUUGCAAUAAUCAUGAUUGUGGUGAUGUUCUUUCUUAUUAUCUUGAAAAUUUGUUCAAGCCUCAUGAUGAUUAUGAUAUUUGCAAUAAUAUUGUAAGUGGGUUUGGAGAAGUCAUGACUUUAGUUGAUGAUAAUCCCACUAUUUUUUAAGAGCGUCAACUUUGCAUGCAUGUGGAUCAUGAAAAUAAUAUCCUUUGUGAUAGCUAUAUUGUUGAAUUUGAAUAUGAUCCCACAUGUAAUUGCUAUGAGAGAGGAAAAUAUUGUGGUAAAAACUUUCAUGUUACCAAAUCACCUCUCGCUAUGUUGAGAUUGCUAUUGUCUCUUUCUUCUUCCUUGCAUUUGGUAACUAUUGGUUGUCUUGCCAAUUUGUUUUCCUAUAAAAUGCCUAUGCAAAGGAAUUAUGUUAGACUUAGAUGUUAUUUUCGCAUGCUCUAUGAUGCUCUCGUUGUGCUUCAAUUCUUGUCUUUUGUGAGAGCAUCAUUGAACUAUCAAUGCCUAGCUAAGGGCGUUAAACAAUAGCGCUUGUUGGGAGGCAACCCAACGAAUCUAUCAUUUUUAUUUCUGUUUUGUGUUUUCCACACUUCCAUAAUUCUGUUAUGAUUGUGUUUUUUGUGUUUCUUUUUGCGUUUGUGCCAAGCAAAACCGUUAUGAUUAGUCUUGGGGAUGAUAGUUUGGUCAUGCUGGAAAAGACAGAAGCUUUCUGCUCACGAAAAGAAUUUUCAUUUUUUUAUAAGAGAUUUUGAGUUGAUUCUUUUCGUUUAUGAUUGCCAGGCAAAUUCUUCAUACUGUCGUAAUUUUUCAGAAUUUGUGAAGUACCAGAAGUAUACGAAAUAUACAGAUUGCUACAGACUGGUCUGCUGUUAACAGAUUUUGUUUUUGUUGUGUUGGUUGCUUAUUUUGAUGAAACUAUGGAUAGUAUCGGGGGGUAUUAUCCAUGGAAGAUUGAAGAUACAGUAACCCAACAUCAGCAUAAGUAGAAUUUAAGUUUGCUACAGUACCUAAGGAAGUGGUGGUUUGUUUUCUUAUACUAAUGUUAUCACGAGUUUCUGUUUAAGUUUCGUGUUGUGAAGUUUUCAAGUUUUGGGUGAAGUUCUUAUGGACAAAAAGAUAAAGAGUGGCAAUAGCUCAAGCUUGGGGAUGCCCAAGUCACCCCAAGAGAUUCAAGGAUGUCGUAAAAGCCUAAGCUUGGGGAUGCCCCGGGAAGGCAUCCCCUCUCUCGUCUUCAAUCCAUCGGUAACGUUACUUGGGGCUAUAUUUUUAUUCACCACAUGUUAUGUGUUUUUUCUUGGAGCGUCUUGUAUCGUAGGAGUAUUUUAUUUUUGUUGUGUCACAAUCAUCCUUGCUGCACACCUAGAGAGAGAGCCAUGCACUCACCGUGAUUUUGUCGAGCUUCAUUUAUAUCCUUUGGUAGACAAUUUAGCUCACAUGUGCUCCACUUAUAUCUUUUGUGCUAGAUACUUUUGCUCUGUGUGCUUCACUUAUAUAUUUUAGAGCACAGCGGUGCGUGGCUUGGUAGUUGAUCUAUGCUUUGAAAGUAGUCUCAAAAGGGGUAGUUAUCCAAAGGGAUACGAAAACUUCCACCUUCAUGUGCCUUGAAUAGUUAGAGAAGUUUGACUCAUCUCAAUUAGUUUUGAGUUGUGGUUGUGGUAAUAUUGAAGUUAUGCUAGUAAGGUGUUAUGGAUCUAGAAAUACUUGUGUUGAAGUUAGUGAUUCCCGUAGCAUGCACGUAUGGUGAACCGCUAUGUGAUGAAAUCUGAGCAUGAUUAGUCUUUUGAUUGUCAUCCUUUGCGUGGCGGUCGGGAUCGUGUGAUGGUUUAUGCCUACCAACCCUUCCCCUAGGAGUAUGCGUUAAAUGCUUUGUUUCGAUUACUAAUAAAACUUUUGCAACAAGUAUAUGAGUUCUUCAUGACUAAUGUUGAGUCCAUGGUUUAGAUGCACUUUCACCUUCCACCAUCACUACCUUCGUAGUGCCAUGCAACUUUCGCCGGUGCACAAAACCCACCAUUAGCCUCCCUCAAAACAGCCACCAUACCUACCUACUAUGGCUUUUUCAAAGUCAUUCAGAGAUAUAUUGCCAUGCAACUACCACCAUGACAUGUGCCACCACGUCUACAUUGUCAUUUCAUGAUCGUAAUAUAGCUAGCAUGAUGUUUCCAUUAAUGUCUAUGCCAUGCUAGAUCAUUGUCACGGUACACUACCGAAGGCAUUCCAUAUAGAGUCGUUGUUGCUCUAAGUUUUGAGUUGAAAGUGUGAUGAUCAUCAUUGAUGGAGCAUUGUCCCAUGUGAGGAAAUAAAAGAGGCCAAAGAUGCCCACCAAAAUAAAAAUAAAAAAAAGAGGCCAAAGAGCCCACCAAAAAAAUUGAGAGAAAAAGAGAGAAGGGACAAUGCUACCACCUUUCCACACUUGUGCAUAUUAAGCUCCAUGAUCUUCAUGAUUGAGAGUCUCUCGUUUUGUCACCACCAUAUAGCUAGUGGGAAAUUCUCAUUAUAUAACUUGGCUUGUAUAUUCCAACCAUACGCUUCCUCAAAAUUGCCUUAGGUCUUCGUGAGCAAGCAAGUUGGAUGCACACCCACUAGUUUUCUUUAAGAGCUUUCACAUACUCUUAGCUCUAGUGCAUCAUUUGUAUGGCAAUCCCUACUCAUUCACAUUGAUAUCUAUUGAUGAGCAUCUCCACAGCUCAUUGAUAUGCCUAGUUAAUGUGACCAUCUUCUCCUUUUUUGUCUUGCAACCUCCACCACACUCCACACCACUUAUAGUGCUAAAACCAUGGCUCACGCUCAUGUAUUGCGUGAGAGUUGAAAAGGUUUGAGAAAGUAAAGGUGUGAAACAAUUACUUGGCCAAUACCGGGGUUGUGCAUGAUUUAAAUUCGUUGUGCAAUGAUAAUAGAGCAUAGCCAGACUAUAUGAUUUUGUAGGGAUAACUUUCUUUUGGCCUUGUUAUUUUGAAAGUUCAUGAUUACUUUGCUAGUUUGCUUGAAAUAUUUCUGGACAAGUAAUUCAGGGUGAAGGGAGUAGAACCAAGCCCAUGAAUACUUGAGUCCUUCCAAUCACCCCAAACUCCAGCUGGCAAUCUUAGCCUCGCUCGCACCAACACGCGAUCUCCUUCGUGGCUCCUCCCAACGUCCUGUGCGGCCUUGCAUGUUGCAUGUUCGAUAGGAGGCGUAACUUGAAUCUCCACACCUCAAAGUUCCGUAGGGGAACUGAUACGUCUCAAACGUAUCUAUAAUUUUUGAUGGUUUCAUGCUGUUAUCUUGUCAUCUUUGGAUGUUUUAAUUACCUUUUAUAUCUUUUUUGGGACUAACUUACUAAUUCAGUGUCAAGNNNNNNNNNNNNNNNNNNNNNNNNNNNNNNNNNNNNNNNNNNNNNNNNNNNNNNNNNNNNNNNNNNNNNNNNNNNNNNNNNNNNNNNNNNNNNNNNNNNNGGAAGAAUCACAAGUAUUGUUAACUCUCAGGUCCUCGAGGAGGCAACCGACGAAGAGGUGAACAGUGUCGCCUGUCUUGCAGAGGCGUGCUUAAGGCUAUAUGGCGAAGAAAGACCCACAAUGAAACAAGUGGAGACAGAACUGCAGACUCUACGAACAAAACGGGUGAAGUCAUGUCAAGCAGAUCCGAGAAAUGAAGAGCGAAUGCUACCGGAGUCACUACCUCAAAGAGGAGUUAUAGCUGCUCGCCAAUCUUUGACAACAGAACUGGAUGAGAGAGAUAACUUACAGUCAAGAGACAGCCGACAAUGCUAUAGCUUAGAGUGUGAGUUCAUGGCGUCUGCUAGUCUACCACGCUAGAUGAGUCCGUCAAGUCAAUAAUGGAUGAUGAUUAUGUUUCCAUUUUGUUAACUGGUUUGUGUUUCAGACUAAAACUACAGAGAUUGGUACCCAUAAGUCAAUUUGUGUCCAGGCAUCAUGAUUGUAGAGACAUGGAGUGAAUGGCUGGCAUAUGCAUUGUAUUGAUGAAAUGCUGAUAAGGCAUAUUCUGGAUUAUAUUAGCAAUUAUUUUGAGCACUCCAUUGCUAUGAUAUGUUGUUUUAUUCAGAUCAUGAAUGUGAGCACACUCCCAGCUCCCACAUACACUGGGUUCUUGCAUUUAGUAAUUAUUAGUAAUAGGCUUAACUUAAAGUUUAUUAUACAGCCUGUUUUGUUUGGCCAUUUUGAUUUUUGUCGCUGCCACUUGUGAUGAUUUAUACAUUACUGUGCUUUUAUUUGUAUACAAUACCAUGAUUUCCAGGCGCCAUGGUAAAAGCGCGAGUUAUUUUUUGAAUGUACAGCUGAUCAUUUUCCUGUUAUUGCGUUACUUGAUUCUUUCUCUGUAGUUUAUCUCCAGUGUUCAGAAUUUUUACUCUGUUUUCUUGGUUGCAGCUUAUGCGAGCACCAGCUAGUGUUGGUGGUGGUGGAUUCAGUUACUGUCACCUAGUGCCUGUUCGGGGAUGGACUGCUCCAGCAACUCCGCUCCGUCGGAGGAGCGGCAGAACGUCCGCUCCGAAAAAAUUACAUUACGGAUCGUUCCGCUCCACCGCGGAGUCAGGAGCCGGAGUGUUUCCGAACACUCCCCUAGUAUCAGUUAGGUUCGUCUCCACCAUGUGGUGACUGAAGAUUGCUAGCCAGCAUCCACUAUCGAUGAGCAGAAUGUUCCACCUCCACAUUCUCCUGAUGCCCCACUGCGGUGAGCUUCUCGUGUGAUUCGCCAUUUUCAUGCUGCAAUUUUGCGUGCUCCUUUUUUUAUUUCUAUGUUUGGCAUGAACUUUGGUUGUUGGUAAUGCAUUUCUUGUGUAGUGCACACCUUUGGGAAUCCAGAAAAUCCACAAGCGAAAUGUGUAAAGUGGUAUAUUAGGAGCAGACAUAGACUGGCCCCUUUGGUGGGCUUGAAUUGUCUGCAAACAGAAGGUAUUGACCGAUUUGCUUAGGUCUUGUCUACUGAGGUCACAAUCAUGCUCUUCUCCUUCUGCAUCGCAUCAAAUACACCAUAGUCAAAGUCAUGGUCAUCUCCUUAACAUCGCAUCAAAUACAGCACUGCCCCAUCCAGGUCAUGGUCAUCCACAUUUGCUUAGUUCUUGUCUACGAGGUCACGAUCAUGCUCUUCUCCUUCUGCAUCACAUCAAAUACACCAUAGUCAAAGUUGUGGUCAUCUCCUUAGCAUCGCAUCAAAUACACCACUGCCCCACCCAGGUCAUGGUCAUCCACAGCCACAGGGCCAUUUACUAGGUCAUGGUAAUGCAUGGCCAUCUCCUUUCACAUGGCAUCAAAUACAGACCGCAUCCACGCCCAUUUGAUUCCUUUUCCAGUCUUCCUUGGGUCAACUGUAAGUAUUUGUAAUCAUAGAUAUAUAUGCAGUAGGAAGGCAGUCAUGAAAGCGGUACCCAGAAGAGAAGGUAGUGCUGCCUGACCUGAAUUUCUCUAGUGCAAGGUGUAGUGUAGAAUCAUGGGCAUCUUGCCGAUGGUGUUCUCUGUGUUGGUACUCGGGUCACUGGGAAAGCUAACAGCUCUGCCAUCUGGAGUUAUGACAAGCCAACAGGGCUCUGAGGGGAACAGGGCGCAACCAUCUCGAACUGGUGGCACGAUUGAUGGCUGCCCAACAAGCUGCGGCAGUGUGAGCUUUGGCUAUCCCUUCGGCAUCGGAUCCAGGUGCUCCCUUGAGCCUGACUUCGACCUCAUUUGUAACGGCACCACUCAGCCCCCCAAACUCUUCUUGCGCGACGGCAUCACCGAGGUGAUCGACUUUGGCGAUCCUUAUUGGAGUUCAAACAGGAUCUUGGCCUCCUUCUCCCAAACCAUCCCCAUUACAUAUGGUGUCAGUAUCUACAACUUGUCUUUGAAACCUCUUGGGAGGUCCUUCCAUUUUUAUUCAAUUGCUCUAAAUAUCACCGGCUGUGACCUGGUGGUGUACUCUGUUGAAGAGAAUGACAUCCAGCCAAUCUGUGCAACUGUGUGCCCGGAUCCAGAAAUCACAGAGAUGAUGGCUAUGCAUAACUGUAAUGGAUUUGGAUGUUGUCGUGUAGAUGUGGACAGCUAUGCCAGGACCCACACUUAUCAGUUCAAACUUGUCUACGGUCAGAACCCAAAAAACACCAGUGCACGCUCUAACCAGUCCUCUCAAUUGUGGGAUAAAAUCAGCAUAACUACUGAUGGCUUUGUGCUCUCAUGGGACAUGGGGAAUCAAUCCGCCUGUGUUGCUUGUGUGAGCGAGCAUGCCGGGUGUGGCUACAGCUACGAUGCACCAUUUUUCAUGCCCUCGGGAAAUGGCUAUUUGUGCUUCUGCAAUGAGGGCUAUACAGGCAACCCGUACAUUUCACAUGGCUGCUCCAACGGCGACAAAGGUAACAUAUUUUUCCUAAUCAAGCGACCAAACGGACAGCUGCUGUUAGUCAUUUUUUGGGCACUGAUGAUACAUGCUAACCUUUUACCGAUCAAUUUAGGAUACAAUCCAACCCCAAGCAGGGCUGACUGCACUCGUCAGUGUGGUAGCAUUAAUGUGCAAUUCCCAUUCGGCUUUGAAGAGGGUUGCUUUGCCAGGGAAGAGUUUCACGUCAACUGUACAAAUACAACGUCAUCGGCUGUUUCUCUGCUGGAAGAUUUGGAGGUAAUCGACAUAAAUGUUGACGAAGGGACCAUUAAUGCCACCAUUGCUGACCAACAGUUGGCGUACCCUACGUCUGCUUCAGGGCGAAACAGUCUUUUUUCUGCAAAUUUGUUAUUUCUCUCUAUCAAAUGGGUUGCUGCUAAUUUAAGUUGCACAGAGGCCCAAAAGAAUAGGUCUGGAUAUGCUUGUGUGAGUAUCAACAGCAACUGUGUAGAAGUAAGUGAUGAAAGGGUCUAUGCUGGUUACCGCUGCAAAUGCUCAGAUGGCUUCCAAGGAAAUCCGUACAUCCAAAGUGGUUGUCGAGGUACUCUCUUAUUUUCUCUAGGAUUACCGAUGAUACAGUCCCUAAAAUGGGAAAAUGUAGUAGUACUGGAUAUGUUUCAACUCUGUAAAAGAAAGUUGCAUGUAAAAUAACUGUAUGUUACUACUUCUGUAAUUAGACACUGAAUUUUUCCCUACUUCUAGUUUAUUUAUCAUCCAUGUAGGUUUCAUUUAAUUAGCUGAUGAUUAUUUCAUGUUAAUGGAACAACAUACUGUGUGUUACGCUCUCUGAUACAUAAUAUAAGCAGUUUUAGAAAUUUGUCCAUUCAAAUAUUUUAGGUUUGACCAUCAAUAUAGAAAUUACUAACAUGGACAAAUACUAAAUUGAUAUUAAGAGAUUAGUGAUGAAAUAUAUUUUUAGUAUAUAAUUAUUUUUGUUUGAAACAACAUAUUUUCUUUAAAAUAUAGUCAAAAUGUUACUAUGAAGACCUUGAUGAUGUCCUAAACUACUUAUUGUGAAUCAGAGGGAGUAUGUAUUUUUCCAAAGCAUCUUAUAAAGACUUUUGUUAAUUUCAGAUAUUAAUGAAUGCCUUCAACCAAACAAAUGUAAGGAGAUCUGCCGUAAUACCGAAGGAAGCUUCAAUUGUAUUGAUUGUCCUCGCAAGACGGAGUAUGAUCCAUUAAAAAUGCAGUGUAGUAGGAUAAAACAACAGACUCUACUUGUAGGUAUGACUACAUUGCUGUUACAUUUAUUUAUGAAUUAUGAUAGACAAGAUAGAAUUUAAAAGAGCUUAAUAUCCGCAGGUAUAAUUAUUGGGCUGUCCUGUGGUUUCGGCAUUCUACUUCUGAGCUUCAGUGUAGUGCUUCUCACGCGUAAAUGGAAAAGAAAUGUUCAAAGGCAACUAAGGAAGUACUAUUUCCGAAAGAACCAAGGUCGUCUCCUACAAACAUUGAUAUCAUCUGAUGGAAGUGCAAAUGACAAAACGAAGAUUUUCUUGCUAGAAGAACUAGAGAAGGCAACAAAUAACUUCGAUCCUGCACGUAUCAUCGGGCGUGGGGGUCAUGGCAUGGUUUACAAAGGCAUGUUAUCUGAUCAGCGUGUUGUUGCGAUAAAAAAGUCUAAGGUCAUUGAGGAGUGUGAGAUCAGUCAAUUUAUCAAUGAGGUUGCAGUCCUCUCUCAGAUAAGGCACAGAAAUAUUGUAAAGCUCUUCGGAUGUUGUCUCGAAACGGAGGUUCCACUGCUAGUGUAUGACUAUGUAUCCAGUGGCUCACUGUCUCAAGUUCUUCAUGCUGAUUCAAAUGAUGAUUUUUCGUUGUCUUGGAGUGAUUACUUGAGGAUUGCUCUGGAAACAGCAGGAGCUCUAUCUUAUCUCCACUCUUCAGCUUCAAUAUCAAUCUUUCAUCGUGACGUGAAGUCGUCGAAUAUACUGUUGGAUGUGAACUACACAGCUAAAGUUUCAGAUUUUGGAGCAUCUAGAUUGGUUCCGACUGAUCAAACGCACAUUGUCACGAAUGUGCAGGGUACAUUUGGGUACUUAGAUCCAGAGUAUUUCCAUACUAGACAGUUAAACGAGAAGAGCGACGUGUACAGUUUUGGUGUGGUACUAGUGGAGCUGCUUGUCAGAAUGAAGCCUGUUUUUACAAGCGAGUCCGGCACAGUCAACAGCUUGUCAAGCUAUUUUCUGCAGGAGUUCAAGGAGGGGAGAAUCACAGGCAUUGUCAAUUCUCAGGUCCUCGAGGAGGCGACAGAGGAAGAGAUCAACGGUGUCGCCUCUCUUGCAGAACUGUGCUUAAGGCUGCGUGGCGCAGAAAGACCCACCAUGAAACAAGUGGAGACCGAACUGCGGACCCUGCGAGCAAAACGCAUGAACCCAUCGCAAGCAGAUCCAAGGAAAGAAGAGCAGAUGCAACUAAGGGCAUUAGCUCGACGGACUAGAUCUGUUCGGCAAUUGUCUGCGACGGAACCAGGCAAGAGAAUCAAUGUACGGUCAGGGCGCAGCGAACGAUCUUACCGCUUGGAGGGGGACUGUGAGAGUUCAUGCCAUCUGCUAGCCGACCACCAUGCUUAGAUUAGUCUGUUGAUGAGUUUGUAAUAAUGGUUAAUUUGUGUCCCUCUUCUAUGAACUGAUGCUAGGGCUUGUAUGACAGGUUAGUUAGAUUGGCCUUGUGUAAGUCAUUUUAUGUCCAGAUCAUUUCAGGCAUCAUGAUUAUAUCAGCUUUUCAGUUGGAAUCGUACUUGUUUAUAUGUAAACUGCUUUUUAUGAUGUGCAGUGAGUUGUUGGCGUAGGCAUUAUGGUUGAUGAUGUUAAUAAGAGAUGUAGUGGAUUAUAACAAUUUCAUUUGAUUCCCCUAAAGUUUUACAAAGAUAUAGGUUUAUAAUAGGGAAUUUCAAUAAAGUAGGAAUAAGAAUCAAGAGAAGAGUGAUGCAAAGAAAAAAAAAUAUACAGAUAGGAAAAUCCUAACACAUUCAAGAACAAAGAGGACACACACAUAUUUUGUUGGCUCCCGGGAGCAAAUCCAGAACGGCGGAGGAGACAAGAACACUAAAUACUUCCACGUAUGUGCUUCCCAACGUUAUCGUAAAAACAAAAUAUUUGUUCUUGAACAUAAUGAAGUCAACUUUCUUUCCCGUGAACAGAAAGAAAUGGUUCUCAAAGAUUUCUACACAUAACUCACCGGCUCUUCCAAGCCACUCUUGUGUUUCGACAUCCACCAACUUUAUCCUGACCACAUUCCUCAGUUGCGCUAGUGCAAUGUGCCUUCUCCGAGCAGGAAAUUAAGGAUGUGUUCCUUCAAAUGAACCACAAUGCCAAUCCCGGUCCGGACGGAUUCGGGCUUGCCUUCUAUAGAAAAUUAUUAGUCCUUACCUUAAAAGUUAUAUAUUCCCCUUCUUUCAUUACUAUAUAUAAGAUACUACUAUAAAGUAUGUUACAUGAAAAAUAAAUAGUUAAUUCAUAUUUUUUUAAUAAUAUUAUGAAAUACGUACAUAUUUGUACGUAAAAAUGAGUAUGCUAAAAUAUGGUAUAUAUUACCUAAAAAUAGUAUAUAUAUUAUAUGAAUAUUUUUAUAUACUAUAUAUUACGCAUACAUAUUCUCCGACAUGAUAGAUACUACAUAUAACAUACCAAACAAAAGUGGAAGUAACUAGUCGACGAGUCACAUUAUGCGUAAUACCUCGAUCUAAAAAAAAUGCAUGUUAACAUGUACACUCUUUACUUUUAUUUUCUUAUUCUCUUUCCAUCAAUUAGUGCAUGUUUUAAUUAUUUACAAAUACAUAAAUGCUAAUAAAUAGACAUGCACGUUAUUAAAUACUAGGUGCCCAGGCUCCUAGGUGCCCUAAACAAUUUACUUCACCCCCUCUAUUUUAACAUCAAUGCAUCGUAAUUUUACGUUACAUAUUUUUUUUUCUUAUUCCAUCGUAAAAAUAAGUUAUUCUUAUUCCUCCAAAAAUUUAUACUUUAUUAGACACCCAGGAUGAGGAAUAAGUUAUUCUUCACCCUGGUUAGGACAUAAAUUUUUCACAUGUAUAAGGUAAUUUUACGGCUAUACUAAGAGAGUAUUUCUUUUUUUAGGCCGUAAUCUUACCUUUUCUUUUUAUCAGGCCACAAUCUUACCUUUUUUUGUCCGGUCAUAAUCUUACCUCACGUACUUUCUUUUUCUUACCUUUCACAACCUUGCCGUGAGAGAGGGGGUGAGGAAUUUUAUAUAUAUAUAUAUAUGCAGAAUAAGUUAUUCUUCAUCCCAGAUAAUCUUACGAUCAUUUCAUUAAUAAAUUACUUUUGAAAUGCAAAUAGUUACAUUUAUAUUGAUUCACUACGUAAAGUUUGACAUAAGAAAAAACAAAAAUAUAGUUCAUAAGACCGAAAAAAACGCAUUUUAUGUAUAUUUUACACUAUGUUUUUGUGUUUGUAAUAUUACAUGACAUAAAAUAUUUUUUACGAUGACUACAUAUUUUCUUACGAUCUCUUUUUACGUAUAAAAUAAAAUAAAAUUUACGAAACAUAAAAUUACGGUGCAUUCAUAUAAAAAUAGAGGGGUUGAUGAAUAACUAUUCCUCACCUAGGGUGAGGAAUAUUUAUUCUUCACACUCCCUUUAUUUUCACAACAAUGCACCGUAAUUUUAUGUUUCAAUUUUUUAUUUUAUUUCAUACGUAAAAAAAAGACCGUAACUUAUUUUAUUUCAUAUGUAAAAAAAUAUACAUGAAAUGCGAUUUUUCUGUUCUUGUGGCCUAUAUUUUUAUUUUUUACAUCAAAUUUUACGUAAUGAAUCAAUAUCAAUGCAACGAUUGUUAUUCCAAAUGUAAUUUAUUUAUGAAACGGUCGUAAGAUUACCUGGGUGAAGAAUAACUUAUUUUGCAUCUUGGGUUACGAAUAGACUUUCUAUAUAUACAUGUUUCGUAGACUAUGCGGUAGAAUAUAUAUUAAUUUACCAUUUUAAUUAUGUUCAUAUUUUCCUUAUACUACCUUGUGGUACUAUAUACUACUCUAUCAUUUUUACUAUGUUUAUAUACUAUAUUAAAUCCAACAUGAGUUAUCUAAAAAAAUGUAAGGAAGACCAUAGUUUUUAUUAGAUUUAUGAAAUACGUCAUAUUUGUGCGUAAACAGAAUAUGUUCAAAAUAUGGUACAUAUUACCUAAAAAGUACUUCCUCAGUCCAAAAUAAGUGACUCAAAAAUGAAUCAACUUUACACUAACUUUAGUACAAAGUUUAAUCAUUUUUGAGUCAUUUAUUUGGGACGGAGGGAGUACUAUAUAUAGUACUUAAACAUUGUUAUAGACUAAAUACUACGCGUGCAUAUACUCCGAUAUGAUAGAUAGUACCUACAACAUACGAAACAAAAGUUGGAGUAAGUACACCCGAUCGUAUGAAACAUUUACCAUAUACAUACAUACAUACAUAUAUAUAAAUCAUUUCUUAUGCAGGUUUACCUUUUUCCAAAUACAUGUAAUACAUUUUCCAAAUACACGGUUGAAACUUUUUUCCAAAUGACACAUAACUUCUUUAUAAAAUGCUAUGCGGGCAUUUUUGUUUACUUUGUAUAUAACAUCUUUUAAAAUUUCCAAAGGAAUUUAGAAAAACAUGGUUUUUUUUAAAUGUAAUGCAUAUUUUUCUUUAAUGGUAUGAAACAUGUUUUAAUUAUGUGAACAUGUUUUUAGAGUACACGAACAUUUUUUGCAGUUGUACAAACCAAUUGUUUUAACACGUGAAUUUUUUUUACAUUGCUUAAACUUUUUUUAAAUAGUACAAUGCAUUCUUUCUAAAUUAUGUGAACUUCUUUUACAUUGUAUUAUCUUUUUCUCAAAAUGUCAUGAACAUAUUUUUGAAAUGUGCGUACAUCUCUUAAAUGACACGAAUAUAUUUUUGAAUUAAAAUAAAAUAUGUUUCCAUUUCAAAAGUAUAUAUAAAUUUUCAAAUGAAACAAAAAAAAAGAGAAAUCGUGUGCUAGGCACUAGCGAGCUAGAGCUCCUCCUGUGCUGGGCCGGCUCAAUUAGGGCGUCAUUGAGGCGAGACAUACUUGUGUCUCGGCGCGGCCAGACACAGGCUCCGUCCAGAGCUGCCGUGCACACACUUUUUUUAAGAACAAAGUGAUGUGACAAAUCAGAAUCUGAGAAAGUCUAGCUUUUCCAAGUACGAGUUUCACCUAGAUGCAACAAAGAGAAUGAUGAUAGGGGUUUAUAAGAGAAGAGAAAAGGUGUAAGAAAGUCUCACAUUAACGUGCCGGAUUGGUAGGAAAUGGGGUGAUCUUACAAUCUAUGUUGAUGCAAGGAGUAGGGAUUGCUAUGCAACCGAUGUACUAGACCUAUAAGUGUAUGAAAGCUCUUUAUAUGGAAUUAAGUGGGUAUGCAUACAACUCACUUGUUCAUGAAGACCUCGAACGAUUGAGGAAGCUCGUCACCAGAAUAUGCAAGACAAGUUCUAUAAUAUGAAAUUCCCACAGGUUAUAAAACAAUAUCAUGAGGACUCCCUAUAUAUGAUAAUGAUGUGCUCACUCUCUCCUUUUCAUUUUAUUUUAUUUUCUCCAUUUUUUAUGUGACUCUAUUUGGUCUCUCUUUCUUAUAUAUCCUCGCGGGUAGGGGCACAUCCUAAUAAUGUGUCACGCUUUAUUUUAUUUACAACUCAAAAGAUAUAAACAACAUGAUGACUAAAAAUGAAUGCCUCUAGUAGUGUAUCAGGAUGUGUAAUGAUCUAGUGUAACAUAUAUUAUAAUGACGAACGGUGGCUUUGCCACAAAUAUCAUGACAACUCUAUAUGAUCAUGCAAAGCGAUAUGACAAUGAAUGCUCAAGUCAUAGAGAUAGUAACAAUGGAAGUUGCAUGGAAGUAUAUCUCGAAAUGGCUAUGAAAAUGUCAUGUUAGGUAUGUAUAGUGGAUGUUUUGAGAAAGGAUAUAAUGAGUCUUAUGUGUGAGAGAGUGUGUCAUCUAAUGGGGUUUGGAUGCACCGGUGAAGUUUGCACCAAGUCUGGAGGUGAGAAUGGCCAAUGCAUGAUACCGAAGAGGCUAGCAAAAUAUGGAUAGGUAGAAGUGCUUUCAGUACAAAAACUCCCAUUAAACAUAAAGAACUCAAGUGCUUAUUGUGAAAACUUAGUUAGCCUAGCCCUCGAAGGAAAAUAGAACUUGCACGCUCCUUGGGAGGAGGUUGGUAGGAGCUAACCAUCGCAUGCCCCCGAUCCCGGGGUGUUCCUAAGACGUAGGAGAGGUCCCUCCCACCUAGGAAGUGCUCGCCAUCGCUGCCAUCGGCAACUACCACGGCGGCGGCUGGUCCUGCUGCGCUCCAAAGGGGGGGGAGGGUGCUAUGUGGUGGUUGCACCUGUGGAUCUGCGGCGCGCAUGGGGGUCGGUGUAGCAGGAGACGUUGCCCGCGAGGUGAUAUGUAUCCAACAUAUCGAUGAUUUAUGAAGUAUUCAUGCCAAUAUUCUACAACUUUCAUAAAAUUUUGGCAACAUUUUAUAUUAUUUUUGGGACUAACUUACUUAUCUCGUGCCCAGUGCUAGUUCCUAUUUUUGUGUGUUGUUUAUUUCGAAUAAAAAUCCAUAUCAAACGAGGUCCAAACACAGUAAAAAUUUGUCGAGAUUUUUUGGAAUAUAUGUGAAUUUUUGGAAGAAGGAUCAACACAACACGGUGCCCGAGAGCCCCACAAGAUAACAGGGCAUGACCAGGGGGUGGUCGUGUCCUGAUAGCUUGUGGCCACCCCUUAAGUCAGUUGGGGGCCUUCUUACGUAGCAAGAAAGAUAUUUUCCAGAUAAAAAUCCCCUCAAAAUUUCAGUAUGAUCGGAGUUACGGAUCUCUGGAUAUUUAAGAAACGGUGAAGGGCCAGAAAACAGCAGCGAAAACAUGAGAGAAAGAGAGAGAGAGAUCCAAUCUCGGAGGGGCUCUCGCCCCUCGGGGAGCCAUUGAGGCCAUGGACCGGAGGGUAGAACCUCUUCCCAUCUAGGGAGAGCCCAUGGAGGAGGAAUCCUAAGGGGGGAGACUCUCUCCCAAUCUAUCUUGGUGGUGUCGGAGUAGCGCUAGCGAAACCAUCGCCGCGGUGAUCGUCUUCAUCAACAUCACCGUCUUCAUCUCCUUCCUCAUCUCUUUUCAGCGGUCCACUCUCUCGCACCCUGUUGUAAUCCCCUACUUGAACAUGGUGUUUCAUGCCAUACAUUAUUAAUCAAUGAUGUGUUGUCAUCCUAUGAAGUUUGAGUAGAUUUAUGUUGUCCUUUGGGUUGAUUGAUGAUCUUGAUUGGUUUGAUUGUAUGCUUUAUUUUGGUGUUGUCCUAUGAUGCCCUCUGUGCCGCGCACACAUGAGGGAUUCUCGUUGUAGGGUGUUGCAAUACGUUCAUGAUUUGCUUAUAGUGGGUGGCUAGAGUGACAGAAGCUUACACCCGAGUAAGGGGAUUGUUGCGUAUGGGAGUAAAGGGGACUUGAUGUUUAAUGCUACUGUUGGGUUUACCUUAAUGAUUUCUAAUAGUUGCGGAUGCUUGCUAGAGGUCCAAUCAUCACUAUAACAAAACAGACAUUAAGUAACACAAUCAUGUAACACAUUGAAAAACGUGUUACAAGGAAAGUUAUUGUAACACGUCAUUUUUGUGUCCAAUGAAAGACAGUAACACAUACUAUAUAAGGCAUCAAAACGUGUUACAGGGAUGUUGUAAUGGUAACAUAUAAAUAUGUGUUGGGCAAAUGUGUUACAUAUAUUCUGACAUGGUAACAUAUAAAUAUGUGUUAGUAAAAUGUGUUACGUUAGUUCAGCUUAGUAACCUAUAAUCAUGGUUGAUACAUAGUCUUAGAGGCUCUAUUAUAAGGAGAAUUAGAAUAACCUAAGAUCAAUUGCAUACACAGAUCACAAAUACCUUGACACAUAGGGCCCAUGUGUCAACAUAUUUUUUUAUAAAUGUGUUCUUGUCUUUGUAAAUACUGUUCUCAUUCUUUGUUAAUAUGGUAUGAAAAAACAAUACAAUUUGGUUGGUAAAUACCGAACUAUUUUUGGAAUGGUUGCAGUGAAUAUCAUAUUAACCAUUUUUUAUGCGAAUUUUAGGAUGUCCCGGUGACCAUAAACGGAAAUACACACUUUGAAAUGAUCAUAUGAAAUUAAGUAUUUGAUGUCAAUACUCACAAGGGAGUGGAAGACCACCAACAAACGAGAGCUUAAAUUUGACCAUGUGAUUUAAUAACCAGACUGACGGUCUGACCAAAAAAAGGGAACCAAUGACUCGUCCGGGUUUUAAAGGUGUGUUGGUCUUUAAACAAAAAAAAUAGUAAACUAUUCAAAAAUCGUGUGAAACUAGGAAUCGGACAAUUGACUUGAGCCCUCGCAUGGCCAACGGUCCAAUACCAACUGGGUUCGAUUUUUCUGAUCGGGCGAGGGCGAACUAGAAAGGCAUGGAAUUUUUCAAAAUAAGAAAUAGUCACGCGAUCCACCAGACAUCCCAGGACGGAAAGUAUGUUAUCUCAUGCCUCUCCCUCAUAUAAAAUUACAAGAAUGAUUACCGAUCUUGUUAUCAAUUGCUUAGGACAAUUCUGCACACCAUGCCAUCAUUGUUCCACACUCGCUAUUUGUAAUAUAUUCUAACUUUAUUUAGGCAGUGAGUAUUUUCAUAUUUUUGUUCUCCAAUAUCAUGCUAAGCUAUCCUAUUUAUAUGCACAACGCAGUUUUAUUUCUCAUUACUAGAUAGAAGCAAACGCUCGGUGUACGUAGAGUCGUAUCGGUGGCAUAUAGGACUUGCAAGAAUAUUGAUCUUACCUUUAAAUCCUUAUGGGUUUGACACUCCAUACUUCUCGCUUCCAUCUUUGGAAAAUGCUACGACGAUUCCUUGCACUUGGGGAUUAUCACCGAGCAGGGCAGGGAAUCUCCAUGGCAACAGAUCUACUAGUUUAUGGAGCGCCUCGUGCACUGCUUGCAGAGGGCGUGGUGGUUCCGUGCGGCUGUGGUGGUGCCUGUCUACAUGGUCUGCGGGACGGGUUUCCUUAGCUGGCGAUGUCCUUGGCUCCAGCAGGUGGCCGGGUGGGGGCGUGCCUCCCCUUGCUCGCGGAUCUGCUCUACGGAGGCUUCGCAAUGUAUUCUGCAAUGGCAUGGCUGUCGGAGAAGCCGAUGGUGAAGCAUCCAUGUUGGUAUCGACGGAUGCAUAUGCUAAGACACGUCAUGCGAUGAUGGUGGCUCGCGGGGUGGAGGUCGGUCCUAUGUGGUGGAUACACGGCAUGGAGUGUGAUGGACGCCGGAGCGGCGGCUCUGGAGCUGUGGUCGGCUGCUUUUUCCAAAGAGGUGCCUACGGAGGCCGGCGCGACAUGAGGUGUUGAUUUUGGUGCAUCUCAUGUGGAUGCGGGGAGUGACGGCGUGAUUUUGCUGCAGCUGUAGGUGGUCCGGUGUAAUCCUGACCCUCGAGCUCUAGCUGUCGCUGACGCGUGGUGGUGGUACUGUUGUGGUUGCGGUGUCGUGGUGGUGCCUUGCCGAGUUGCUCGUGGUGGUGAGGUGGAGGGUGCUGGGACGGACCGGCCCUGCCCGAGCUCAGACUGGAUGUUGGCCAGGCAGUGUGCGAGGUGAAAAUCUGCUUCGGACUGUGGCUGGAGUCGGCAGCGGCGAUGCCUGUGGGCACCGUCACUUUCUUGCAAGAGUUCUCGAUGUAUUGUUGUCCUCCCCUCCAUUCGGGGUAGCUUUGAGGGAAACCUUAGAUCUAUGGAUCAGGCGAUGACGAUGCUUUUGCAUCGCUCUGCAUCGUUUUUGGAGCAGGAAUUGGUUGGUGGGACUAGUGUUGGUUGGUGGUUGUUCGCUGGUGUUGCAACUCAUGUGGCAACAGUGAUGGUGGUAAGAGAAGCAGGGCUGCAGCAAUGCCCUUCGUUGUCGAGCGUUGGACAUGUCCUAAGCGUGAAGUUGGAAAUGCAGCGUUGCGGCAGCAAUGAUGCCAUAUGAUGGGAAGUCGAGCUAUGUUGUUGCAAGGCGUGCUUCUUUCUCCUGCGAGACUUGUGACCGAAAUUGGAGCUGCCUGGUCCUCGGCGCAUUUGGCCGGCUGUUUGACAUAGGCCGCCAGGGUUCUCGUGUGUUGUUCGUUUGGAUGGGCCUUAAUGGGUUGUUCGUGGUGAAGUCAGAGUCGCUUGCUCAGGGAGAAGUGAUGACGAUGACAUUGUAGGCAACCUCGACGGUGAUGUCUCCUCGGUGGUGUGUGCGUGUCUUAUGGGUAGCAAGGUGAGGUCGGGAUGCCUUAUUUUGUGGGGAUGUUUGUAGCGGUUUCCGUCCGGGUACCCGUCAAUUAACCAAACAAUUUUUUACCCUUCUUCUUUAUUAAUGAGAUGAGGCAAAGAUUUUGCCUCCGUUUUGAAGAAAAAAAGUUUAAUCAAUUAAUGAUAAAUUAUACUCCGACUUCACUGCUAUUACCAACGGGCCACCGACUCAUGAACUCUAAUAUCAAUAUUAAUACUUGUCUUUAAUAUUUACUAGCAUGCUCACCUAUUACUACCUCGAUAUCACAAAACUAUUGCAAGGAAUCAAACAUGUCUUAUUCAACGAUCUUACAAAUCCAUGCUAGUUUUUAUUAUACCACCUUUAUGUACCUAUCAUUAUUUGUACCAACCAUACAAGCAAAUAACCACUUCAUGUUUAACUUUUAUUAAAGAAAGAAAAGAGAGUGCACACAAUUUCUACAAACAUAUCUCCAUGCUCAAACAAAUAUAAGUGAAGAACUAGAGCAUUUCCCUCAACUCAAAAAGAUAUAAGUGAAGUACAAAUGGUCAUUCUAUAAAUGAGAUGGGUGUGUGCCUUCUCAUAAUAAAUGUGUUCGAGGAAAUAUGAGUGUGACAACCAGCAAACAAAACAAAGUUAAAAACAAAGACGCUCCAAGAAAAACACAUAUCAUGUGAAGGGCAAAAAUAUAGCUCCAAGUAAGAUAUACCGAUAAUUUGAACACGAAGGAGAGGAUACUUUACGGGGCAUCCCCAACCUUAGAUGCUUGAGUCUUACUUGAUAUUACCUUGGGGUGCCUUGAUCGUCCCCAAUCUCGGGUUCUUGUCGCUCCUUAUUCUCCUCCAUAGCACUAUCUCACUCAAAACUUGAAAUUUUCAUUCACGAAAAACUUAAUGAAACUUCAUGAGAUGGGUUAGCAUAACAGAAUAAAUCAUUCACUUAUGGUACUGUCAAGAAAAGAUUCAUAACUAUUUACAUUCAAUUUUUACUGUAUUUUAUCAUUUCUACAGUUUAUACCUCCCGAUACAAACCAUAGAGACUUCAAAGCAAGCAAACAACAAAAAUAAAACAUAAUCUAUCAUAAGCAGAAUAGCAUGUAAAGAUCUAGUUUCUAGUCAUACUUGUGUAAAUACGCAAAUUCUUAACCAAAUAUGUGUAAAAUAAUUAGUAAUUUAUCACGUUUCCGUAGAGAGAAACAAGUCAAUCACUGGAUGGAAAGUUUCUGUUUCUGCACAUAACCUAGUAAACAAACAUUUUGCAAUAUCCCAAAGUCUUAACUUGGCACAAAAGCAAAAUAAAAUAUACAAACACAAUUACUAAAAUGGCAAUAAUCAUGUUGAAUCACAAAAACAGAAAGUGUAAAGUAAAGAUAACUAUUGGGUUGCCUCCCAACAAAGCUAUUGUUUAAUGUCCCAAGCUAGGCAUAAUGCAAUCUAUCAAGUAUUAUUAUCUUUUAGUUCCUCAAUAAGGCAAAUUGAUUUUCUAGGAGGCUUAGCAGGUAUUCUUUCAAUCAUAACACUUCUAGGGAUAAAUUUCAAAAGGUGCAUAUACAAAUUGGCUUGUUUUUAAUCUUAACAAAACUUGGUGAACGUUAAUCAGUUUUAAAUCAGAUUUCUGUGUGCUAUAGGAAGCACUCUUAGUUGGUUUAGAAACCUUUGCAACAUAAGCUAGUUUCAUAUUUUCAUUAGUAAGAGUUUCUUUAUUAGUUUUAGUGGAGAAAACGAGAAGCCCAAAACAUUAAUAACUUCCUCCAACUUAUCAAUUCUAGAAGGACUUUGAUCUACUCUAUCAGUAGUUGAUUCUUUUAGUAAUUUUAGAGCAAUUCCUACCAUAGAGCCUAACUUAUUCAUAGGACCAUGCAUCUUCUUAUUAACUUCCUCUAAUUGUUGACUAGUGGGCAUCUUAGUUUCAAUAAUAUCCAAUCUUUGCAUAACAUGUUCCAAAGUUAACCCAGUUUCAUCAACUUUAAUAGGUGGUGAUCCACUAGAUUUCCAUAGCAUUAAAAACAUAUAAGGUGUGACUACUCAAGAAUUAUCUCCACUCAUAGUGUCAAGCCCAAAUUUAUACCAACUAGUAACACCAAUCUUAAAACUACAUAGGACAACAGUAGUAGAUUGCUUAUGAGUACAUUUAUUCCGAGCAUAAAAAAUUCUAUGCCAUGCAUCUUUUAAACUCUCUCCGUCCCUUUGCUCAAAAUUGAUAAUGUCAAUUUAGGGCUUACCAACAACAAGUGAUGAACUCGCCAUGGUAGCAACACGAAACUUUUUUGGUAUUUGGAAACAAAAUGGCUAAUACGUCAAUUUUGCGUCAUGAAUUCUUAUCAAUAUUUAUGAUAUUCUUGUUCAUUAUUCCUCAUUAUGAUACAAUUCUUAUGUUUUUUCUCUCUGAACAUGCAAUUUACAUUACAAGGAGGGAAAUUACUGGAAACUGGAAUUCUGAACCUGAAAACCAAGAAAAGGCUGAAAAAUCACUCGACUCCAAAUGACCUGAAAUUUCAUGGAUAGUUUUAGUGGAAUAUAUGAGAAUUAUUGGGCCAAAAAUAUACUAUAGGGGAGCCACCUGCUAGGCACAAGCCAACAGGGCGCGCCCACCCCCUGGGUGCGCCUUGAUGGCUUGUGGGGCCCCAGCAGGUCUCCCGUCCCCCCCCCCCUAUUCUCCUAUAUGGUGUGUUUUACCCUAGAAAAAAUCAUAAUGAUACUUUUGGGUCGAAGCGCCACCAUCUCUAGGCGGAAACCAGGGCAGAUGCCCUUUUUCUCUCCGGCACAGAGAUUCUGUCGGGGAAACUUCCUUCCAAGAGGGGGAAAUUGAAGCCAUUGUCAUCACCAACGCUUCCUCAUUCAUGAGAGGACCAAUAUUUGUCAACAUAUUCACGAGCACCAUGUCAUAUCAAACCCUAUUUAUCUCUUGUAUUCAAUCUUUGUCUCAAAACCUCAGAUUGGUACAUGUGUGUUACUAGUAGUGUUGAUUACAUCUUGUAGUUGAUGCUAAUUGGUUUAUUUGGUGAAAGAUAUUAUGUUCAGAUCCUUGAUCACCAUUACUAUAUCUCUGAUCUUGAACAUGUUGAUGAGGUGUGAUUAGUUAGUAUUGUUCUUGAGGGCAUGGGAUAAGUCUUGUUAUAAGUAAUCAUGUGAAGUUGGUAUCCGUUCGAUAUUUUGAUGAUGUGUAUGUUGUUGCUUUUCUUAGUCGUGUCAUAUGAACGUCGAUUACACAACACUUAACUGUGUUAUGGUACUAACAGAAGGCAUUGUGGAGCAGCAAGUAGAUGAAGGGUUGCGAGAGUGGCAGAAUCUUAAACCCCAGUUUAUGUGUCGCUUCAUGAGGGGUUGAUUUGGAUCCACAUGUUUCAUGCUAUGGUUAAACUUAUAUUAAUUCUUCUUCCGUAGUUGUGGAUGCCUGCGAGAGGGGGUAAUCAUAAGUGGUUUUCAUGUUCAAGUAAGAACAACACCUCACCACCGGUCCACCCACAUAUCAAAUUAUCAAAAUAACAAACGUGAACCAACUCAACAUGAUGAACAUGACUAGACAUAAAUUCACAUGUGUCCUCGGGGGCGCUUGCCUCAUAUAUGAGUACUUUCAGGCCUGUCCUUUUUCUAUAAAAAGGAUUGGGCUAUCUUGAUGCACACUUUCUACUAUUUUUAGUUGUCACUUGUUACGAAUUAUCUUGCUACAAAACUACCUAUCACUCUUACUCAUAGCACUUGCAUAGAAUACCUUGCUGAAACUGCUUAUCAUUUCCUUCUGCUCCUCGUUGGGUUCGACACUCUUACUUAUUGAAAGGACUAAGAUUGGUCCCCUAUACUUGUGGGUCAUCAAGACCCUUUUCGGGCACCGUUUCCGAGGAGUGAAGCGCCUUUGGUAAGUGGAAAUUGGUAAGGAAACAUCUUUGGUACGUGCUAAAAUUUAUUGUUGCUUGUUACUAUGGACAGUCACCCUUUGAGUGGCUUAUGCGGGGCAUCUUCGCCUUGAAUGGAAGUAGAAAAGGUUGUAUCUCAACCUACUGAACCUUCUUAAAAUAUUCAUUAUGAGAUUCCUUAGUAUAUGUUAGAGAAACUGCUAAUUAAUCCCUAUGAUGGUACAACUCAUCCUGAUUACCAUUUGAUAUAUGUCGAUGAGAUUUGUGGAUUAUAUAAGCUUGCGGGUUUAUCUGGAGACAAAGUUAAGAAGAAGGUUUCCCUUUAUCUUUGGAGGGAAAAGCAUUGAUGUGGUAUAAGCUAUUGGACGAUACUGGAUCAUGGGACUGGAACUGUUUGAAGCUGGAAUUUCAUCACAAAUUAUAUCCUAUGCAUCUAGUUCAUCGUGAUCGAAACUUUAUAUAUAAUUGCUAGCCUCAUGAAUGAUAAAGUAUCGCCCAAGCUUGGGGAGGCUUAAAUCUACGAUGCACACUUUCCCUAACCAUGAGCUCUCAAGAGAAAUGAUUACACAAAAAAUUUAUGCUCGGCUUUCACAUGAUGAUCUAUUACUGCUCGAUUCCUCUUCUACUAGUUCCUACAUGAAGUGGACUGUUGAAUUCAAAUGGGAUCUUCUAGAAAGAAUUAAACACAACUCUGAAGAUUGGGAAUUCGACAAAGGUAAUGAGUGAGGUAUAAAUCUUAAGUUUUCUUGUGUUCAAUAUUUUAUGGAGACUAAUACUUUCCAUGUGUUUAGCAAUAAAUAUGGGAUUGACUCCGAGAUAAUAGCUUCUUUGUGUGAAUCAUUUGCUACUCAUGUUGAUCUCCCUAAGGAGAAGUGCUUUAUAUAUCUUCCACCUACUGAAAACCAUUGGAGGAACCUAUUAAAGUUAAAGAGGAAACAAUUGUUUAUCUUGUUGAUCCACUUGUACCUACUACUUAUAUUGAGAAACCUCCUUUUCAUGUUAGAAUUAAGGAACAUGCUAAAUCUCCAAUUGUUAUUAAUAGAAAUUAUGUUAGAACACCUAAACCUGUGAGUUAGAAACCAUCGGGAUAAGUUAGAUAAAAAUAAACCAGUCAUUGCCAUGCCUGUUGUUUCUGUUAAGAUUGGAGAUCAUUGUUAUCAUGGCUUGUGUGACAUGGGUGCUAGUGUUAGUGCUAUACAUUUUACUUUAUAUCAAGAAAUUAUGAAUGACAUAGCACCCUGUGAGAUUGAAGACAUUGAUGUCACCAUUAAACUUGCAAAUAGAGACACUAUUUCACUGCUUGGGAUCGUUAGAGAUGUUGAAGUCUUGUGUGGAAAGAUUAAAUACCCUACUGAUUUCUUACUACUUGGUUGAGAACAAGAUAACUUAUGUCUCAUUAUAUUUGGUAGACCUUUCUUGAAUAUUUUUAAUGUUGAAAUUAAUUGCAUUACCGAUAAGGUCAGAGUAAGCUUUGGUGAUGUGUCUCAUGAGUUUAAUUUCUCUAAGUUUGGUAGACAACCACAAGAGAAAUAAUUACCUAGGAAGGAUGAAAUUAUUGGUCUUGCUUCUAUUGACGUGCCUCAUGCCGAUCCAUUAGAAUAAUAUCUGCUAGACCAAGAAAAUGGUAUGCAUAUGUAUGAAAGAAACGAGAUAGAUGAUAUAUUUCUUAGGCAAACACCUAUUCUUAAACACAACUUACGAGUUGAUAUCUUAGGGGAUCCUCCUCCACCCAAGGGAGAUCUCGUGUUUGAUCUAAAGAAAUUACCUAAUACUUUGAAAUAUGUUCAUCUUGAUGAAAAGAAGAUAUAUCCUAUUAUUAUCAGUGCUAACCUUUCAGAGCAUGAAGAAAAGAGAUUACUUAAAACUCUAAAGAAGCAUAGGGAUGCUAUUAGAUAUACUCUUGAUGAUCCUAAGGGCAUAAACCCCACUCUAUGUCACCACAAGAUUAAUAUGGAACCAGAUGCUAAACUUGUAGUUGAUCAUGAGCGCCGCUUAAAUCCUAAGAUGAAGGAAGUGGCAAAAACUAAAAUACUAAAGCUUCUAGAUGAAGGUAUAAUUUAUUAUAUUUCUGAUAGUACACGGGCAUGUCAUGUUCAUUGUGUUCCCAAGAAAGGAGGUAUGAUUGUUGUUCCUAAUGAUAAAAAUGAACUUAUUCCACAAAUAAACAUAACUAGUUAUAGGAUGAUAAUUGAUUUCAGGAAAUUAAAUAAAUCUACUAGGAAAGAUCAUUACCCCUUGCCUUUUGUUGAUCAAAUGUUAGAAAGGUUAUCUAAGCAUACACACUUUUGUUUUCUUGGUGGAUAUUCUAGUUUCUCUCAAAUACCUGUCUCAAAAGAGGAUCAAGAGAAAACUACUUCCACAUGUCGCUUUGGAACUUAUGCAUAUAGACAUAUGCAUUUUGAUUUAUGGAAUGCACCUUCUACCUUUCAAAUAUAUAUGAUUGCUAUAUUCUCUGAUUUUUGUGAAAAUAUUGUUGAGGUUUUCAUGGAUGAUUUUUUUGUGUAGGGGCUUCUUUUCAUGAUUGCUUGAGCAACCUUGAUUGAGUUUUGCGAUGCGAGGAAACUAACCUUAUCUUGAAUUGGGAGAAGUGCCACUUUAUGGUGAAUGAAGGUAUAGUACUUCGGCAUAAAAUCUCUGAACGAGGCAUUGAGGUAGAUAAAGCUAAAAAUGAUGCAAUAGAUAAAAUGACAUGUCCCAAAGAUAUCAAAGGUAUAAGAAGUUUCCUCGGUCAUGCUGGUUUUUAUAGGCGCUUCACUAAAGAUUUCUAGGCCACUAACUAACCUUCUUCAAAAGAUAUUCCUUUUGUUUUUGUGAUGAUUGUGCAUAAUCCUUUGAAAUACUUAAGAAAGCCUUGAUUUCUGCACCUUUCUGCACCUAUUGUACAACCAACUAAUUGGAAUUUACCAUUUGAGAUUAUGUGUGAUGCUAGUAAUUAUGUUGUUGGUGUUGUUCUAGGGCAAAGAGUAGACAAGAAAUUGAAUGUUAUUCAUUAUGCUAGUAAAACCCUAGAUAGUGCUCAAAGAAACUAUGCUACUCAUACAUCUCCAAUGUAUCUAUAAUUUUUUAUUGUUCCAUGCUAUUAUAUUAUCAUUCCAGGAUACUUUUUGUGUAUUUUUACACCAAUUUAUAUUACUUUUGAGCACUGACCUAUUGACUGAGUGCCCAAUGUCAGUUGCUAUUUAUGCGUGUUUUUAUAUUUUUAGGUUUACAGUACCAAACAAAGUCCAAUUUCCACGAAACUUUUUGGUGAUUUUUCUUAGACCAAAAGAAGACCUGAAAGCUUCGGGAGUAGGCUUGAAGCCUCACAAGAGGGGCACCACACAACAGGGCGCACCUAGGGGGUGGUCGCACCCUAUUUCCUCGUGCCCCCUCGGCUGCCUCCUUGCAUACCUCUUUGUCCUAUAAAUUCACAUUAAUCCCAAAAACCCUAGGGAGCACCCUGAAACACUUUUUCCGCCACCGCAAGUCUCUGUCUUGCCGUGAGGCCAUUUGGAGCCCUUUUCUGGUGCCCUGUCGGAGGAGGAAUCGAUCAUGGAGGACCUAUACAUCCACCUCGCUGCUCCCAUGGUAAUGUGUGAGUAGUUCACCACAAACCUAUGGGUACGUAGUUAGUACCUAGAUGGCUCUCUCUCUCUUGAUCUUCAAUACAAUGAUCAUCGCAUCUUCGCUUUUAUCUAUCCGAUGUAACUCUUUUGUGCGGUGCGUUUGUUGGGAUCCGAUGAAUUUUGGAUUUAUGUUCAGAUUAUUCAUGAAAAAUAUUGGAGUCUUCUCUGAAUUCUAAAUAUGAUUCUUAUGUGCAUGAUCAUCAUAGCUUCAUAAAUCUCUCUGAUCUUUCUUCAGUGAGGGAGGUGUAUUGAAGUAACUUCAGUGAGAAAGGUGUGUUGGAGUGACUUCAUUCCGACGGGUUUCUAUAUGGGGACAAGAUACUUCUUUGUAUUGUUACCACUAAGGAUAAAAUGAUGGGGAUAAUUCAUAUUAAUUGAUUUCUCUCUGUCUACAUCAUGUCAUCAUUCUCCAAGCAUUACUUUGUUUUACUUAAUAAUCUAGAUGCAUGCUGAAUAGUGGUCGAUGGGUGGAGUAAUAUUAAUAGGUGCUGGCAGGAGUCGGCCUAUUUGCUCAUGGACGUAAUGCAUAUAUACACAAGAUCAUUGUCGUGAAUAUCACAUAACUAUCUUCUUUUCUAUCAAUCGCCCAGCAGUAAUUUGUCUACCCACCAUAUGCUUACUUUCAUGAGAGAUGCCGCUAGGGAGCGCUAUGGCUCGUGGGUCCAUUCGCUUAUAAAUUUACAAUUGCUAGAAUUUCCUCGCUGCCUUUAAUUAUUUGUUAUUUGCUUUUCACUUUGCAACUUCCAACCACACUACACUUGCUUGGAAAUAACGAGACAAAGGGAUUGACAACCCUCUUACCUGCAUUGGGUGCAACUGUUUGUUUCUUCUAUGUGCAGUUGCUAAAUAUGGGUGUUGGUUGUUACUCCUAUUGGUCAAAUAAACCUUGGUUCUCUAGUGGGGGAAUACUUACCUAUAUUGUGAUGCAUCACCCGUUCCUCUUCACGGAAAACCCAUCAUAGAGCACAAGCAUCAGGAAGGAUAUGUGGCGCCAUUGUUGGGGAGUAUCAUCAACCUACUAUCAAGCCACUUCACACAAACUAUCAUUCAAUUGUUCUUCUUUUUAUUUGCUGUUAUAUUUUGCUUGCUCCAUAAAAAUCAAACAUACAAAAUAUUUAUCUUUGCUUGUUGCUAGUUUACUUUUUUGGUCGCUUUACUUGGUAGUUUGCUUGUCCUGCUUGUCACUUUUCUUGCUUGGUCACCGUGUCUCAAGAUACUACUAAGUUUUGUGACUUCUCAAAUACUAAUAAUAAUGAUUUUAUUAGUACUCAUAUACCACCCGUCACUAAUGCGGAGGCUUAUGAUAUAAAUGUUGCAUUGCUGAAUCUUGUCAUGAAAGAACAAGUUUUGGGAAGUCCUAAUGAGAGUCCCGCUGCUCAUCUUAAUACCUUUGUUGAAAUUUGUCAUAUGCAAAAUAAAAAGGACAUGGAUAAUGAUAUUGUGAAAUUAAAGUUAUUUCCUUUUUAACUAAUAGGUAAAGCUAAAUCUUGGUUCUCUUCUUUAUCACGUAAUAGUAUUGGAACAUGGGAUAAGUGUAAAUAUGUCUUUAUUACCAAGUAUUUUCCUACUGCUAAGAUCAUCUCCCUUAGAAAUCAAAUAAUGAAUUUUAAACAGCAUGAUCGUGAAAAUGUUGCACAAGCUUUGAACGGGAUGAAAUUGAUGAUAAGAAAUUGCCCUACUCAUGAUUGAAACUUGUGGAUGAUUAUCCAAAACUCCUAUGCUCGACUAAACUUUGUAUCUAGAAAUCUUCUAGAUUCUCCUGCAGGUUGUACCUUCAUGGAGGUGACCUUAGGAGAGUCCACCAAACUUCUAGACAACAUCAUGACCAACUACUCUCAAUGGCAUACCGAAAGUGCUCCAACUGGUAGAAAGGUAAACUGUGUUGAGGAAAUUGUUACCUUGAGUGAAAAAGUUGAUGCUCUUAUGAAUUUGAUUGCUAAUAAAAAUGCUCAUGUUGAUACUAAUGAAAUGCCCUUGUAUACUUUGAUUGAUCAAAAUGAUAAUGUAAUUGAUAUGAAUUUUAUUUCACUAAAUAAUUUUAAUAACAAUGCAUAUAUGGGUAAUCUUAAUGCUAGGCCAUAUCUCGGUAACUCCUUUAAUGGUUAUGGCAACUCUUAUGGUAAUUCUUAUGGAAAUCCUUCUACCAAUAAUAAUAAUUUCUCCUAUGAUAUUGAAAACACAAAUAAAGAGUUCAUUAAUUCUCAAAAGGGUUUCAACACUACGGUAGAGGAAAAGAUGCAUAAGAUUGAUGAUAUAGCUAGGAACAUGGAUAGAAUUGCCCUUGAUGUAGAAACUCUUAAAGGUAAAACUUUGCCACCAAAGCAUGACUUUAAUGAUACUAUUAAAUCUAUCCAAAUAUCUAUCAAUGAAAGUAAGGAGAUGUCGUGGGUAUAAGUCUGAUAGUAGAUGUGUAGGGUACGAAAGGAUGGGCAGAGCCUUAGCUACGGCGAGGUUGUAUGAGUUCAGGCCCCUCUGCGGUGGAGGUAAAAGCCCUACGUCUCAAUGCUCUUGGGAGCUUAGUGUCGAGUGGAAUAUAGGAUUACAGUAAAUGCCAACCCCUGCACCAGUGGGGAAGGGCGGUUUAUAUAGAGUGCGCUGUCCUUCACAACGGCCCGGUGGACAGGGGUGGAGUAGUGGCGAAUAAAUGCCUACGUUAUAGGUAACGUAUGCCUUAAAUGCUAAUAAUGGUGUAUGAAAACGUAUGACCGUUGCCCUCCUGGGAGGUUACGAUGUACAGAGUGGAAUUCAGUCAGUACGAUAAAUAUGCUCCGAAUGCUCGUCACCGACUGGAUGAUGGGGGGUCCUUAGUUCAGUCGGAACUGUCUAAGGGCCUUGCCCUCUAUGAAGGGUAGUCCUUGGGUAGGACCUAUAGGGCAGGCCUAUGACCCUACCCUCGGACUAUAACCCCAUCAUUAGUCCCCGAAUGGAUCGGGGUUGGAAUGACGAAGUGGUGCCUGGAGUACGGAUCCGACUGGUAUGGAUGUGACUUUGGCGUUGUUUGCCUCGAUCCAUUUUAUCCUUUCGACCAGUGAUCCGAGUGAAUAUACCAGUGAAACGAACCGUCAGGGACCGAGUGCUUCCGCAAAAUCUUUUGAUGUGACCGGUCAAACUGACAGCGGCGGAUUUUCUGGGAUCUUCAGAUUUCGGUUGCCGCGCGCUUAGCGGGGAUGUCGACAUCGUCAUCGAGUAGUUUCUGCCGCCUCGAUUACCGCGCCUUUAUCUUCUCCACUAAUAUCGCAGCAGCUGGUCGGGGGAUAAGAUUUCGGGGCCACCUGUUAGUGACCCAGUCGGAAACUUAUUUAAGCCUCUUCGGUGGGGGUUUCUUGUUGCGCUGCCCUUGUUACUCGCACUCGCCUCGCUUCUCCCGUAGCUCCCUCGCGUUCCAAGCCUCCUCCUUCCUCUCCUCCUCUGCGGAUCUGCUGCCUUCACCAUGACGAAGGGGUAGACGAGCAAGCUCGAGUCGCAGAAGAAGAAGAAGAAGGUGGCGGCUCCUGCUCAGCGGUGACAGCGAGCACUACCGGCGGGUUGGAUCCAGGGGGAUUUUCUCCCCUCCACGGUGACGGCGGACGACCUUCUGGAGCUGGUGGAGCAAGGCAUGAUUGCCAACAAGUCGUGGAGGCUGCCGGCGGAGGGCGAGACGGAGCCGGCACCGUAGGAGGGAGAGCGCGUCUUGCUGCUCAGCCACGUGUACAGGGGCUUCUCCUUGCCUCCCCACCCCUUCUUUAGAGGUAUUAUGAAUCACUUCGAGGCGCAGCUCCAUCAUUUUCCUCCCAACGCGAUAGCCCAUCUCGCCGCAUUCGUCACUCUGUGCGAGUGCUUUAUUGGAUGCCCCCCCAUUGGGGGCUCUUUAAGUACAUCUUCUCCGCUAGGUCUCAGACUGUCAAAAAGCUUAGCCAGUCGGACGAUAAAACCCAUCUCCUCCAGCUCUGCGGGGGCUUAGGCUUCCAAAAGAAAACGAAGAGUAACUACCCCCCUCUCCAGUUGUUCGAGUCAGUUAGGAACUGGCAGUCGACCUGGUUCUACUGCCAGGACAUAGCUUGUCCGAAUGAUGCGACUGGGUUGCCGCCCUUUAGCCUAGACCGUCCGGCUCCUCCCAGGCAACUUGCGCUCUCCAAGUUGGAAAAGAUCUAGAUCCAGCCUCUGGUCAACGCGCUGAUAGCCGUCGUCCGCAAGGGAGUCACCGGCACGGACUUGCUGGAGACCUUUCUGGGUCGGCGCAUCCAGCCGCUGCAAGCCCGACACCAUGCCAUGUGGCACUAUGUGGGGCCUGAGGAUUCCACUCGGACUCACCCAGAGUGCGUGACCGGGGAAACGGUGACAGCGUGGGUCCGCGGCAUCACAGGCGCAUGCGACAACCCCCAAGGAGCCCGACGAGUGAGGCCCUUCCGCGCCGACAACCCUCCUCCGAAUGAGGUGAGCGCCUCUUGUCGAGUGCUUUCAAUCUUCUUAGAUUUAUCACUUUUCUUGUGUCGCCGCUUGGUGUCUGACGUUGUCGACUGUAUUUUGUGCAGGAGUGGACCAACUGGCAUUCUCCCGUCUCGAACGGGAAUCCCGCUGAGGAAGAGGAGGGCAGCCAGGAGGGCAGCGUGGAUAGCGCCGAGUACGUCUCCAACAGUGGGGAGACGGAGGAGGAGUCUCAAGAGGAGGAGGGGGAGGUUGGGGAGCAGAGCUCGCCACCUCCACCAUCAGAGCCUCGAACUAAGCGCCGUCACGAACCCUCGGCUCCGCCGGCUCCUCCAGCAGUUCUGAGUGCUCCGCCCACUUCUCCCGUGGCUCCGAGUGCUCCGCCAGCUCCUCCCGUGGCUCCGAGUGCUCGGAGCGUGAAGAGGACCAGGGACGCUGCUGCCGAGCCUACGAACCAACCGUCCAAGGUGGCCAAAUCGAGUGGGCCCAAGCCUCGGAAAGCUUUGCCUCGGAUGAGGAUCGCUGUUCCAGUUGCCUCAGUGUAAGUGUCUUGUUCUCCCAUCUUCUUUCAAUAUUUUACUGAACUCAUGCUUAUCGGACGAGUGGAUUUUACUCGACAGAGCUGCCACCUCCGCCACCUCUCUGCCGCGCCAGGACGAUGAUCCCAUGGAUACGGAUAACGCUGCCACAUCUCAGCAAGGUACGUUGUGACGACUCUGAGAGUUUGCAUUAUUGUUUCGCGAGUGUUGUCUUUAAUCUUGCCCUUUUUCUGCAACCUCAUGUUGUUCAGUCGGGCUUCCUUCGGAGGUGAUUCAUCUAGAGGAGGACAACCAAAGGGGAUCAGGGCCAACUUUGGCGCCUGUCCUUGAGGUUGUUCCAUCUGCUGCUGCUCCCACCGUGGACGCGCCGCCGACCGAGCCGAUGCCGUCGACUGAGGCGGUGUCCCUCGCGGCGGAACCGACUGGAACGGGACUUGGGAUGCCCAAGGAGUCUUCUAUCGUGCCAGGUCCAUCGACCGUCCAGUACGACGCCCGACACCUCCCGGAAGGCCAAGUGGGAGCCGCCAAGGAGGCCAUGGUGCGGGUGGAGUUGAUGGUGGGUGAUGCCAAGGGAGCGUACGACUCCAUCGCGUCUUUGUACAAGAGAAGCUUGGAGCUCCGAGACGAUAUCCGAGUAAGUGCGCUAGUAAGUGUUUACUUCCCUCUUGUAACCCACUGGGGGUCCAAGUGAUAUACUCGGAUACAGUAGGAUUAUUUUGCAGUGGGUUCAUUCAGAGUGAACCCAGUGGGUGUAGUCCCCGAGACUUCUGUCGAGUGCUUGCACCGGCAGUUGUCUUUAUAUGUAUUUCCCGUUAUCCGAGCAGAUCUGAGCUGGUCUGCCCGAAUAUUACCAGUGGGGGCACUCGGAGUGCAUCCACUGGAUGUAGUCCCCGAGAGUAGUGUUACUCAGGUCGGGUAAUAGCAUUCUCAUAGAUUUGUAUAUUUGUCAUGUAGCUCAAUAGGGCCGGCCUGUUCGAGCUUCAUGCCAGUGGGGUCACUCUUAGUGAACCCACUGGGUGUAGUCCCCGAGACCGCUGUCGAGUGCUUGCAUCGGCAGGGGUCUGAAGAACUUUGAGCUUUGUUUGUUUUCCUUGUCGAAUGUGUUUGAGCUUCCCUUUGCGCUGAUUUGGCAGAAGACUUGCGAAAUGGGAUCCGCGUACAAUGCUCUGAAGGCUGAAAACGUUCAGCUUGCUGCGGAAUUGGAGGCGGCUGUGAAUGACUUGGCUGGUGUGAAGGGGGCUCUUGCUGACCGAGAGAAGUCUUUGGAGGAGUCCCGGGAGACCAACAAGGCAUUGGUGGCCGAAAUUGAGAAAAUGGGCAAGCAAAGAAGUGAACUGAUGGGUCAAAUGAAGGUGAUGAACCAUCGAUGCAUUUCGCAGGAGAAGUAUGUCAACGACUGGGCAAGGAAGAUGAUUGCACUGCUCGGUGCUAAGCUUCUUGUCGAGUGCUUCUUGACUUUGUAAUUCAUUCUGCGCUUACUUUCUGCUCUUCUUUUCUUUGUAGAUUUUUGUCUGGACGCUGAGGCUGAAGCAGCCGACAUUGAACGAUCGGUUGUUCCGAACGUUCCACUCGGCGAUGAAGCCAAUCGGGACAUGCUCCGAGCACAUGUUCGCCUUGGCAGAGUGGGACCUUUCAUCGGUCGUCUGAGAGAAGUCAUCGGCCGGAUCGACAAGGAGCUAUGGCCCGAAGACGAUUCCCGACAGGAAAUAGAAGGGUGAUGACUCGGCUGGAGGACGUCCCGAACAGAGUGCAGGCAUGGAAAAAGUCUGCCGCUCAUUGUGGUGCGGACGUGGCGCUAUCGCUGGUCCGAGUGCACUGCAAGGAAGCUCGUGAAGAAAAGCUGAAGGCGUUGCAGGUCGCCAACACCAAGAAGCUUCGAUUCGAAGAUUUCAUGGAGACCUUCCUCGAGACAGCCACUCGUAUCGCGGACGGGAUCGAUCUUGAGACCUUUGUGGAGCCUGCUAGUCCCGGUGCCAGUCCUGAUGACGCUUGAAAAACUUUACCUCGGUAUGCCGAGUGGUAUCUGUAUCAAACUUGGGCCACUGCUGUUGGCGUCACAUUCGUGGUUCGGUGUGGAUAAGCUUGAUCCACACCGAGCCGACUAUCGUAGAUGCAACUUUGAAUUCCAAUAGAAUAUUUUGCUCUUCUUUCGCCAAGUUUAUUUUCUGACACGAUUUUGGCUCGUGGUUUUUGUUUGGCGUUUCUUGGUGAAGCCAAUGGCAAACAUGCGGAGCAUGUAAUUGUCAGUUGUCUUCACAUCCACAUGAGCCUCAAUGAGGGUCUGCUAAGCCUCCGAGUGGAUCUCGAGGAUACACUCAAAGGGAGCUUUUUACUUAGGCGAUUUUGGAUCGCAGCUAAGUCCCCGAGCGCGACAUCUUGUGCGCACUCGGAGUCAGUUGAUACUCAUGUAGUUGUCAGUUGUCUUCACAUCCACAUGAGCCUCAAUGAGGGUCUGCUAAGCCUCCGAGUGGAUCUCGAGGAUACACUCGAAGGAAGCUUUUCACUUAGGCGAUUCUGGAUCGCAACUAAGUCCCCGAGUGCGGCAUCUCGUGCGCACUCGGAGUGAGUUGAUACUCAUGUAGUUGUCAGUUGUCUUCACAUCCACAUGAGCCUCAAUGAGGGUCUGCUAAGCCUCCGAGUGGAUCUCGAGGAUACACUCGAAGGAAGCUUUUCACUUAGGCGAUUCUGGAUCGCAACUAAGUCCCCGAGUGCGGCAUCUCGUGCGCACUCGGAGUGAGUUGAUACUCAUGUAGUUGUCAGUUGUCUUCACAUCCACAUGAGCCUCAAUGAGGGUCUGCUAAGCCUCCGAGUGGAUCUCGAGGAUACACUCGAAGGAAGCUUUUCACUUAGGCGAUUCUGGAUCGCAACUAAGUCCCCGAGUGCGGCAUCUCGUGCGCACUCGGAGUGAGUUGAUACUCAUGUAGUUGUCAGUUGUCUUCACAUCCACAUGAGCCUCAAUGAGGGUCUGCUAAGCCUCCGAGUGGAUCUCGAGGAUACACUCGAAGGAAGCUUUUUACUUAGGCGAUUCUGGAUCGCAGCUAAGUCCCCGAGUGCGGCUGUUAGCGCACACUCGGAGAGAAUUUUUUACUUAGGCGAUUCUGGAUCGCAGCUAAGUCCCCGAGUGCGGCUGUUAGCGCACACUCGGAGAGAAUUUUUUACUUAGGCGAUUCUGGAUCGCAGCUAAGUCCCCGAGUGCGGCUGUUAGCACACACUCGGAGAGAUUUUUUUUUAGACCGGAGUGUGCAAACGCGGAAGAAUUUUGGACGUGCAAAAAAUCAGUCUGCUUUGUAUUACUUCAAUGAUACUUGUUCUUUACAUUGCCUCCGUCGGCGGUCACGUGUAGAAGCGCUUCAGGAGUUCUCCGUUCCAUGCUCGCGGCUCGUCUGUUUCCCUGUCGAGGUUGUAGAGUCGAUAUGCUCCGCUGUUCAGCACCUUAGAGAUGAUGAAGGGUCCUUCCCAGGCGGGAGCCAACUUGUGAGGCCUCUGCUGGUCCACUCGGAGCACCAGGUCACCUGCUUGGAAUGUGCGACUCCUGACGUGCCGCGCGUGAAAAUGCCGCAGAUCUUGUUGAUAAAUUGUUGAGCGAGUCAGUGCCAUCUCGUGCUCUUCUUCUAGUAGAUACACUCCGUCUUGCCUGGCCUGCUCCGCUUCGGCUUCGGAGAAGAGUUCGACUCGUGGAGAGUUGUGAAGCAAGUCACUCGGAAGGACUGCCUCUGCUCCAUAAACGAGGAAGAAUGGGGAUCGCCCUGUAGAUCUAUUCGGAGUUGUGCGGAGGCCCCACAACACCGAAGGCAGCUCGGUGACCCAUGCGCCGGCGGCAUGUCCAACUUCUCGCAUGAGUCGAGGCUUCAACCCUUGAAGAAUAAGUCCGUUCGCCCGCUCUACUUGCCCGUUGGUUUGAGGGUGCGCCACAGAUGCAAAAUCCACUCGGAUACCUUGGCAUGUGCAAAAACCUUUGAAUCUGUCCGAGUCAAAGUUUGUGCCAUUGUCAGUGAUUAUGCUGUGCGAGACUCCGAAUCUGGAGAUGAUGUCUCUGACAAAUUUGAUGGUUGUAAGGGCGUCGAGCUUAUUGAUGUGCUUGGCUUCAAUCCACUUGGUGAACUUGUCGACUGCCACCAAUAGAUGAGUGAAUCCCCCUUGGCCUGUUCUGAAUGGACCGACUAUAUCUAAUCCCCACACUGCAAACGGCCAAACAAGAGGGAUUGUCUUCAGCGCAGAUGUUGGCUUGUGGGACUUGUUCGAAUAGAACUGACAGCCUUCGCAUCGGUCGACCAUAUCCUUUGCCAUUUCAUUCGCCUGCAACCAGAAGAAGCCAGCUCUGAAUGCUUUGGCGACGAUUGCUCUUGAGGAGGCAUGAUGACCGCAAGUUCCCGAGUGAAUUUCUUCCAGGAUUAACUGUCCCUCCUCAGGGGAGAUGCAUCGCUGAAGGACUCCUGAAACACUUUCCUUGUACAACUGGGCAUCAAUGACGGUGAAGGACUUCGACCUGUGGACGAUCUGCCUCGCUUGGACUCCGUCCUCUGGUAAUUCUUGCCUCAGGAUGUAUGCAAUGAACGACACAGUCCAAUCGGGGAUGAUAGCAAGAAUCUCCAUGAUCAAAUCAACCACAGCGGGGACCUCGACUUCAGUCGGAUCUGUUGAGCUCUUCGGUUGUACCGGUUCCUCUGUAAAGGGGUCUUCUUUCACCGAAGGGAGAUGUAGGUGCUCGAGGCAGACAUCACUCGGGACUGGUCUCCGAGUGGAUCCGAGUUUUGCCAACUCAUCAGCUGCUUGGUUCUUCAGUCGCGGAACAUGGUGAAGUUCCAUACCUUCAAACUUCUUCUCGAGCUUCCUUACUGCGUUGCAGUAUGCAGUCAUGGUGGGGUUCCUGACAUCCCACUCCUUCAUCACUUGAUUAACCACCAAAUCUGAAUCGCCAUAGACCAUCAGGUGACGGACGCCGAGUGUGAUGGCCAUGCGCAGUCCGUAAAGGAGAGCUUCAUACUCUGCCUCAUUGUUGGAAGAAUCAAAAUGUAUCUGCAACGCAUACUUAAGCUUAUCACCUUUCGGCGAUAUGAUCACUACGCCAGCGCCGGAGCCAUUCAGCAUCUUGGACCCAUCGAAGAACAUAGUCCAAUGAGCCGAGUAGAUGUGAGUCAGUUGCUGUUGUUCUACCCAUUCUGCUAUGAAGUCAGCCAGAGCUUGAGACUUUAUAGCCUUCUUGGCUUCAAACUUGAUGUCGCAGUAUAACAUCUCCAUAGCCCACUUCGCCACUCAGCCUGAUGCGUCUCGAUUGUGGAGGAUUUCCGACAACGGAGCAUCAGAAAUGACAGACACCGAGUGGUCUUGGAAAUAGUGAGCCGCCUUCUUUGCAGUCAUGUAGAUCCCAUAAAUAAGCUUUUGAUAAUGGGGAUACCUCUGCUUGGAAGGAGUCAGGACUUCAGAGACAUAAUAUACUAGCCGCUGAACCUUGUACGCUUUGCCUUCUUCUUCACGUUCGACUGUGAGAACAGUGCUGACGACUUGAUUUGUAGCCGCGAUGUACAGAAGAAGGGGUUCUUUACUGAGCGGGGCAGUAAGAACCGGCUGGGUGGAAAGGAGGGCUUUGAGGUCGUCGAAUGCAAUCUGGGCUUCGUCUGUCCACUCAAAAGUAUCUGAUUUCUUCAUGAGUCGGUACAGAGGUAACGCCUUCUCGCCGAGUCGAGCGAUAAACCUGCUCAAAGCCGCUAGGCAACCUGUGAGCCUUUGAACAUCAUGUAUUCUGACCGGCCGCUCCAUUCGGAUGAUGGUCCUGAUCUUUUCGGGGUUGACAUCGAUUCCUCAUUCGGAAACGAAGAAACCUAGUAACUUUCCGCUGGGAACACCGAAUGAACACUUGGCAGGGUUGAGCUUGAUAUCGUACCUACGAAGGUUGGCGAAUGUUUCUGCCAAGUCAGUCAGCAGGUCGGAACCUUUGCAUGACUUGACUACGAUAUCGUCCAUAUAUGCCUCCACAUUUCGACCGAUCUGGUCAAGGAGGCAUUUCUGGAUCAUGCGCAUAAAAUUUGCUCCUGCAUUCUUCAAACCAAAUGGCAUAGUGAUGUAGCAGAAACACCCGAAUGGGGUGAUGAAGGCUGUUUUUAAUUCAUCCGGACCAUACAGACGGAUCUGAUGAUAGCCCGAAUAGGCAUCAAGGAAUGAUAAACGCUCGCAACCCGCAGUCGAAUCGACAAUUUGAUCAAUGCGGGGGAGCAGGAAAUGAUCUUUCGGGUAGACCUUAUUGAGAUGCUUGAAGUCGAUGCACAUACUGAGGGACUUGUCCUUUUUGGGCACCAUGACAACAUUGGCGAGCCACUCGGAGUGGUGUACCUCGCGAAUGAAGUUGGCUGCCAAAAGUUUAGCCACCUCCUCUCCGAUUGCCUUCCUUUUGUGCGCGGCGGACCGACGCAGGCGUUCUUGGACGGGCCGAGCGGUAGGAUCCACAUGUAGUCAGUGCUCAGCCAACUCCCUAGGUACACCUGGCAUGUCAGCGGGCUUCCAUGCGAAAAUGUCCCAGUUCUCAUGGAGGAAUUGGAUGAGCUCAGCUUCCUAUUUUGGAUCAAGGGUGGUGGAGAUGUUCGUCGGGGCGGCGGUGUCGUCCGUCGGGUGGACGCUAACUUUCUUCGUGUCGCCCAUCGACUGGAAUGCGGACUCCGAAGCUGGCUUCUUCGAACGCAUCAAGUCAGCGGGGUCGGCUGUCUUCUUGUACUCAUCCAGCUCGAGGAUAGCCAUCUGCUGAUCGGCAAUCCGCGACCCCUGCUGCACACACUCUUCGGCCCGCUGCUGAUUGCCUGUGAUGGUGAUCACACCUUUGGGACCCGGCAUCUUCAGCUUCAAAUACACGUAACAUGGACGGGCCAUGAAACGUGCAUACGCCGGACGGCCCAGAAUUGCAUGGUAUGCACUCUGGAAGUCCACCACCUCGAAUGUCAGCUUUUCCUUGCGGAAGUUCUUGUCGAUCGGAGCCGAAAACGACGUCCAACGCGAUCUGGCCGAGUGACUUGGCCUUUCUGUUGGAAUUAUGCCCUAGAGGCAAUAAUAAAUGUAUAGUUAUUAUUAUAAUUCCUGUAUCAAGAUAAUAGUUUAUUAUCCAUGCUAUAAUUGUAUCAAUCAUGUUGUUAGACAACAAUGAACCUGCAAAUUAUGAAGAAGCAAUGGUGGGCCCAGAUUCCAACAAAUGGCUAGAAGCCAUGAAAUCUGAGAUAGGAUCCAUGUAUGAGAACAAAGUGUGGACUUUGGAGAUACUACCUGAGGGCCGCAAGGCUAUUCAGAACAAAUGGAUCUUUAAGAAGAAGACGGACGCUGACGGUAAUGUGACCGUUUAUAAAGCUCGACUUGUGGCAAAGGGUUUUUCACAAGUUCCAGGAGUUGACUACGAUGAGACUUUCUCACCCGUAGCGAUGCUUAAGUCCGUCAGAAUCAUGUUAGCAAUAGCUGCAUUUUUCGAUUAUGAAAUCUGGCAGAUGGAUGUCAAAACGGCAUUCCNNNNNNNNNNNNNNNNNNNNNNNNNNNNNNNNNNNNNNNNNNNNNNNNNNNNNNNNNNNNNNNNNNNNNNNNNNNNNNNNNNNNNNNNNNNNNNNNNNNNNNNNNNNNNNNNNNNNNNNNNNNNNNNNNNNNNNNNNNNNNNNNNNNNNNNNNNNNNNNNNNNNNNNNNNNNNNNNNNNNNNNNNNNNNNNNNNNNNNNNNNNNNNNNNNNNNNNNNNNNNNNNNNNNNNNNNNNNNNNNNNNNNNNNNNNNNNNNNNNNNNNNNNNNNNNNNNNNNNNNNNNNNNNNNNNNNNNNNNNNNNNNNNNNNNNNNNNNNNNNNNNNNNNNNNNNNNNNNNNNNNNNNNNNNNNNNNNNNNNNNNNNNNNNNNNNNNNNNNNNNNNNNNNNNNNNNNNNNNNNNNNNNNNNNNNNNNNNNNNNNNNNNNNNNNNNNNNNNNNNNNNNNNNNNNNNNNNNNNNNNNNNNNNNNNNNNNNNNNNNNNNNNNNNNNNNNNNNNNNNNNNNNNNNNNNNNNNNNNNNNNNNNNNNNNNNNNNNNNNNNNNNNNNNNNNNNNNNNNNNNNNNNNNNNNNNNNNNNNNNNNNNNNNNNNNNNNNNNNNNNNNNNNNNNNNNNNNNNNNNNNNNNNNNNNNNNNNNNNNNNNNNNNNNNNNNNNNNNNNNNNNNNNNNNNNNNNNNNNNNNNNNNNNNNNNNNNNNNNNNNNNNNNNNNNNNNNNNNNNNNNNNNNNNNNNNNNNNNNNNNNNNNNNNNNNNNNNNNNNNNNNNNNNNNNNNNNNNNNNNNNNNNNNNNNNNNNNNNNNNNNNNNNNNNNNNNNNNNNNNNNNNNNNNNNNNNNNNNNNNNNNNNNNNNNNNNNNNNNNNNNNNNNNNNNNNNNNNNNNNNNNNNNNNNNNNNNNNNNNNNNNNNNNNNNNNNNNNNNNNNNNNNNNNNNNNNNNNNNNNNNNNNNNNNNNNNNNNNNNNNNNNNNNNNNNNNNNNNNNNNNNNNNNNNNNNNNNNNNNNNNNNNNNNNNNNNNNNNNNNNNNNNNNNNNNNNNNNNNNNNNNNNNNNNNNNNNNNNNNNNNNNNNNNNNNNNNNNNNNNNNNNNNNNNNNNNNNNNNNNNNNNNNNNNNNNNNNNNNNNNNNNNNNNNNNNNNNNNNNNNNNNNNNNNNNNNNNNNNNNNNNNNNNNNNNNNNNNNNNNNNNNNNNNNNNNNNNNNNNNNNNNNNNNNNNNNNNNNNNNNNNNNNNNNNNNNNNNNNNNNNNNNNNNNNNNNNNNNNNNNNNNNNNNNNNNNNNNNNNNNNNNNNNNNNNNNNNNNNNNNNNNNNNNNNNNNNNNNNNNNNNNNNNNNNNNNNNNNNNNNNNNNNNNNNNNNNNNNNNNNNNNNNNNNNNNNNNNNNNNNNNNNNNNNNNNNNNNNNNNNNNNNNNNNNNNNNNNNNNNNNNNNNNNNNNNNNNNNNNNNNNNNNNNNNNNNNNNNNNNNNNNNNNNNNNNNNNNNNNNNNNNNNNNNNNNNNNNNNNNNNNNNNNNNNNNNNNNNNNNNNNNNNNNNNNNNNNNNNNNNNNNNNNNNNNNNNNNNNNNNNNNNNNNNNNNNNNNNNNNNNNNNNNNNNNNNNNNNNNNNNNNNNNNNNNNNNNNNNNNNNNNNNNNNNNNNNNNNNNNNNNNNNNNGUUGGGUUAGUAUGGAUCAAGACUGGGAUUUGUCACUCCGUAUGACGGAGAGGUAUCUCGGGGCCCACUCGGUAAUACAACAUCACACACAAGCCUUGCAAGCAAUGUAACUUAGUGUAAGUUGCAGGAUCUUGUAUUACGGAACGAGUAAAGAGACUUGCCGAUAAACGAGAUUGAAAUAGGUAUGCGGAUACUGACGAUCAAAUCUCGGGCAAGUAACAUACCGAAGGACAAAGGGAAUAACAUACGGGAUUAUAUGAAUCCUUGGCACUGAGGUUCAAACGAUAAGAUCUUCGUAGAAUAUGUAGGAUCCAAUAUGGGCAUCCAGGUCCCGCUAUUGGAUAUUGACCGAGAAGUCUCUCGGGUCAUGUCUACAUAGUUCUCGAACCCGCAGGGUCUGCACACUUAAGGUUCGACGUUGUUUUAUGCGUAUUUGAGUUAUAUGGUUGGUUACUGAAUGUUGUUCGGAGUCCCGGAUGAGAUCACGGACGUCACGAGGGUUUCCGGAAUGGUCCGGAAACGAAGAUUGAUAUAUAGGAUGACCUCAUUUGAUUACCGGAAGGUUUUCGGAGUUACCGGGAAUGUACCGGGAAUGACGAAUGGGUUCCGGGAGUUCACCGGGGGGGCAACCCACCCCGGGGAAGCCCAUAGGCUUUGGGGAGACACACCAGCCCUUAGUGGGCUGGUGGGACAGCCCCAAAGGGGCCUAUGCGCCAAGAGAAAGAAAAUCAAAGAAAAAGAAGAAAAAAAGAGGGAAGAAGUGGGAAGGGAGGGGGACUCCUCCCACCAAACCAAGUCCAACUCGGUUUGGGGGGGGAGUCCUCCCCCCCUUGGCUCGGCCGACCCCUUGGGAGUCCCUUGGACCCCAAGGCAAGGUUCCCCUCCCUCCUCCUAUAUAUAUGGGGCUUUUAGGGCAGAUUUGAGACGACUUUCUCACGGCUGCCCGACCACAUACCUCCAUAGUUUUUCCUCUAGAUCGCGUUUCUGCGGAGCUCGGGCGGAGCCCUGCUGAGACGAGAUCAUCACCAACCUCCGGAGCGCCGUCACGCUGCCGGAGAACUCUUCUACCUCUCCGUCUCUCUUGCUGGAUCAAGAAGGCCGAGAUCAUCGUCGAGCUGUACAUGUGCUGAACGCGGAGGUGCCGUCCGUUCGGUACUAGAUCGUGGGACUGAUCGCGGGAUUGUUCGCGGGGCGGAUCGAGGGACGUGAGGACGUUCCACUACAUCAACCGCGUUCUCUAACGCUUCUGUUGUACGAUCUACAAGGGUACGUAGAUCACUCAUCCCCUCUCGUAGAUGGACAUCACCAUGAUAGGUCUUCGUGCGCGUAGGAAAAUUUUUGUUUCCCAUGCGACGUUCCCCAACACUUUCGUCCUGGGACGACUCCGUGGAACUGCAUGCUGCUCUCGCUAAGUUUGGACAUCGGAAUGCCCAUCCCCUUGAGAGUGUCAGCGUACAUGAUGUUCAAGCCGCUGCCGCCAUCCAUGAGGACUUUGCGCAGUCGGACUCCUUCCACCAUCGGGUCAACUACGAGAGCCUGCCUCCCCGGGGUGGGCACGUGUGCUGGAUGAUACGACUGAUCAAAGGUGAUCGCAGUCUGAGACCAUUUGAGGAAAGUGGGGUUGGUCGGGGUGGCCAUGUUCACCUCCCUGUUCACCAGCUUCAGUCGACUCUUUCUUUCCACGUCAGCAAAAAUCAUUAAUGUUGCAUGGACUUGGGGGAAUUGAUCCUCCUUGUCCUCAUCAUCCCGCUCAUUGUCCUUUUCACUCGGCUGCCCUUCGCCGAACCCUUGGAUCAGGAGGCGACAUUGCCGAGUGGUGUGCUUCGGGAAUAUGGCGUUGCCUUCUUCAUCCAUCUUCGUGUGGAUUGGACAUGGCUGAUCCAGGAUGGAGUUCCCGAACUACUUCUUCUUGGGGGUGUACUGAGCUUUCCCCUUGCCCUUGAACUUGGCAUUUGUAACGGCAGCUGCCUCUGCCUGCGGAGUGGACGGAGCUUUCUGCUUUUGCUUCCGAUUGCUGUUCCCAUCUCCGUCGGUGACUGCCUUGUGCUUGCCGCUACGUAUGCGGUCCUCUUCUUCGCCAUUUGCAUAGCGUGCGGCUAUCUCCAUCAUCUUGCUCAUGGAGAUGUCGCCUGUCCAAUCGAACUUCAGGUACAGAUCUAUGUACCGCACGCCUGCCUUGAACGCGCAGACUGCUUGAUGCUCUGUGAUGUUCUCCACCAUGUGGUAGAGGGUCGUCCAGCGCUGGACGAAAUCGCGCAGGGGCUCAUUCUGCUUCUGGAGCAGUGCUGGAGCUCCACGAGACCAGCAGGGCGUUUGCACGUGCCCUCGAAGGUCCUGAUGAACACUCGGGAUAGAUCUGCCCAGCUGUAGAUGCUUGAUGGAGCCAACUGAUUCAGCCACGCUCGUGUUGAGCCGUCGAGCAUCAGGGGGAGAUGUUUCAUGGCGACCUGGUCAUCUCCGCCACCGAUCUGGACCGCCACUCGGUACUCGUCCAGCCACGUUUCUAGCUUGGAUCCUCCUAUGAACUUGCUGAUCCCCGUCGCCAAUCGGAAGUUGGGAGGGAUGUCAGCUGAACGGAUGGCCCGAUUGAAGCACUCGGGGCCAGAAAUGAUGGUCCUGCUUCCACUCGGAUGGUCUCUAUCGUGACCAUCACGGUGGGCUCGACUCCUGUCGACCUUCCUCUGGGUGAUGUACCCUCUUGCGUCGGGCCUUGGAUCAUACGUGUCACCGACUGAACGCCGAUCAUCAUGAUGUCGGAGCCCGUAAGGCCCACCCCGCGGAGGGGUGCGUGAACGGCGACGAUCUUCGGGAUUCGUGGAACGGCUGCCCCCUCUGCGUCGCUGAUGAGAGUGGGGGCUAUAAACCGACCGAUGCAUGUUCGCAUGAACAGAACUGUUGUGGAUCCUGUUGUGCGACUGGGAGACCGCCGAAUUCUGCUGUUGCGCCGUGUGCAACAGGGCACGGAUCUGCUCGAUCCCUCUACCAGCCUCCGAAUCAGUCGGUUGGAGGGAAUCGGCUAUCUUGGCAGCGGCAGCCAGGUUGAGGACGGGUGUACGGAACACCUCGACAUUGCUCUGACGAGUGCGUCGACUGGCAGAACGGUGGUGUUGACGGCGAGCGCCGGACGAUUCGCCGACCUCGUGCUCGUUCCGGCCAGUCCGGUGGGGACUUUAAUGGGAAUUUGCCAUGAGAACUUCGACUGCAGGCCCGCGACCCAAGUACUCGGAAGGUAAAUCAGUCGGAACUGAGUCCAAGCACUGGGACGACGGCGCGACCACAACCGACUCGAGGACCGCCACUUGAGAGGACGCGUUCUGGCGCGCCUGGGCGUGUCGCACCCAACGCUGGAGCCAGGGACGACAGGACCGCUUGUUGCGGUGCAUGACGGGGGCGAAGGUCGGCACCGGGGCCGACUGCCGGAGAAGAAGGACGCCGCGGACACCGGCACGGAAGUGCAUAGCCCCGCGACUGGGGAGCGCCUUGACGUCGAGAGACGCAUCCCGAAGCCAUGCCGAAUCGUCGACGAUGAAGCAGAGUGCGUCGAAGAGGAUCUCCCGACCCAUGCAUAAAUCUCCGCCGGACGACAUGAUGAAAAGAUGAAGCUGCAAACUCGUCGGAAGUCGCUUAGACGCCUGCCCCAAGGUGGGCGCCAACUGUCGUGGGUAUAAGUCUGACAGUAGAUGUGUAGGGUACGAAAGGAUGGGCAGAGCCUUAGCUACGGCGAGGUUGUAUGAGUUCAGGCCCCUCUGCGGUGGAGGUAAAAGCCCUACGUCUCAGUGCUCUUGGGAGCCUAGUGUCGAGUGGAAUAUAGGAUUACAGUAAAUGCCAACCCCUGCACAAGUGGGGAAGGGUGGCUUAUAUAGAGUGUGUUGCCCUUCACAACGGCCCGGUGGACAGGGGUGGAGUAGUGGCGAAUAAAUGCCUACGUUACAGGUAGCGUAUGACUUAAAUGCUAAUAAUGGUGUAUGAAAACAUAUGACCGUUGCCCUCUUGGGAGGUUACGAUGUACAGAGUGGAAUUCAGUCGGUACGAUAAAUAUGCUCCGAAUGCUCGUCACCGACUGGAUGAUGGGGGGUCCUUAGUUCAGUCGGAACUGUCUAAGGGCCUUGCCCUCUAUGAAGGGUAGUCCUUGGGUAGGACCUAUAGGGCAGGCCUAUGACCCUACCCUCGGACUAUAACCCCAUCAGGAGAGGACUGCUAAGUUGAAAGCUAGGCGGGAAUUCCUAGAAAAAGCUCUUCCACACGAUGUUUAUCAAAAUCAUGAUGAAGAUCUUAAAUUACUUGGUACUUCUCGUAUUGAAUCUUUGUUUACUUCUAUGAAUAUGAAUGAUAAUGGGACUGGAGAUGAGUCAACUCUAGUUAGAGAGCGUCCCAAUUGCUUGGAGGGUGAUGAUUCUAAUGCUGAAACUAAAAAAGUGGGUUUGGAGAGGUUAAAACUUUAAUUAGUGAUGUGACCACUAUCUUGAAUCACAAGGACUUUAAUUAUGGUAAUUGCUCUUUAAUAGAAUUUAUUUACUUUCUGGAAUUCAUUAUUAGCUUACCCAAUGCUUAUGAACAAAGUAAUGCUUUCACUCAACAUAUAAUGGAGGCUAUGGUAAAAGCCUAUGAUGAAAAACUUGAGCUAGAAGUCUCUAUUCCUAGAAAGUUGUAUGAUGAAUGGGAACUUUCUAUUAAAAUUAAUAUUAAAUAAUAUGAAUGCAAUGCCUUGUGUGAUUUAGGUGCUAGUGUUUCAACUAUACCCAAGUCUUUAUGUGAUGUUCUUGGUCUUACUAAUAUUCAUGAGUGUUCCCUUAAUCUACAUCUUGCAGAUUCUACUAUCAAGAAACCUUUGGAAAGAAUAAAUGAUAUUAUCAUAAUUGAUAAUAGAAAUUAUGUUCCGGUAUAUUUUAUAUUCCUUGAUAUUUAUUGUAACCCAUCUUGUCCAAUAAUACUUGGGAGGCCUUUUCUACGAACUAUGGGUGCAUUAAUUGACAUGAAAGAGGGAAACAUAUGGUUCCAAUUCACAUUAAGGAAAGGGAUGGAACACGUUCCUAGAAAAGAGAAUAAAUCCACCUUAUGAAUUUAACUUGAGGGCCACUUAUGUAUGGAGUGUCAAAGAUGAUAACACUUGAUCGUAUGCAUUAUGCCUAACUAGGGGCGUAAAAUAAUAGCACUAGUUGGGAGGCAACCCAAUAGUUAUCUUAAUUUUUUGCUUUUUGCUUUUUGUUUGUGUGUCAUUACAUGAUUAUUGCCUUACUUAUUGUGUUUUUAUGUUUAAAUUAUUGUUUGUGCCAAGUAAAACCUUCGGGGUGAUUUGCAUGAUUAGUAGAAUUGAUACGGUGCAAAGAUAUAAACUUUAGCGUCCAGUGCAAAUUUUCUCUGAUUUAACUAGAAAACAUUUAAUCUUAAAUUUUUACACGGUAUUUCUAUGAAAAUUAUCCAGGCCUGACUUAUUUUUCAGAAUUUUUGAAGUUACGUAAGUAUGGUAAUUAACUGUAUCAUUACAGACUGUUCUGUUUUACACAGAUUCUAUUUUUGCAUGCAUGGUUUGCUUGUUUUGGUGAUGCUAUGGAUUAUAUCGGGGGCUAUAAAUCAUGAAGAAGUUAGAAUACAUUACCUUAUGCAAUAAAAAAUAUGAAUCAAUUUAUAAUAGUACCUAAAGUAUUUGAUAUGUUUAUUAUACUAACGGAUCUCAUGAAGUUUCUGUUGAGUUUUGUGUGCUGAAGUUUUGAAGUUUUGGGUGUUAUCGUGAUGGAUGAACGAAUAAGGAGUGGCAAGAGCCUAAGAUUGGGGAUGCACAAGGCACCCCAAGGUAAUAUUCUAAGGAAUACUCAAGCUUUUAAGCUUGGGGAUGCCCCAGAAGGCAUCCCCUCUUUUGUCUCAAUCCACCGAUAUGUCACUUGGAGGUACAUUUUUAUUCAUCACAUGAUAUGAGUUUUGCUUGGAGCGUCGUUUGCUUUAGUUUGAUUUUUGUUUUUGGUUGCCCACAAUCAUUGUUAUCUGAAUACAUCAACUUGAUAGAUACACACGAUCACCAUGAUUUGUUAGAAUACUCUUUGUGCUUCACUUAUAUCUUUUGAGCUAAGCAGUUGCUCUAGUACUUCACUUAUAUUUUUUAGAGCACAGUGGCGCAUAAAUUUUAUAGAAAUAAUUGCACUCUAGUUCUUCACUUAUAUUUGUUUGAGAGCUAAUAUAUAACGAUGGUAAUUUGCAUGGGCUAUAAUAUUAUUUCAAAAAUAAUAAGUAUUCAAUGAGUCUAUAAUCAAAACCACAUGUAGCACAUAAAAGAUAAAUCAUGGUUAAUGAUAUUAAUGUGGUAAUGUGAAAAAGCAUGACUGCAUGAUCAUUGGUUGAAAAUAGUAUCAUGAAUUGGAGGUGUUAACUUUCUGUUCAUCCAAAUAUUUUUAUGGCAUGGUGAAGAUGUGUGAGCAUACUUCUUCCUCGUUGAAAUCCUAGUGUUGUUUUAGUCGAGGGUGCGUGAUGGUUAACUCCUACCCAUGCAAGUAGUGCUUUGCUUUGAGAAAGCUAAUAAAAUCUUGCAAUAAGUAUGUGAGUUCUUUAUCACUAGUGUAAAUCCAUGGAUAUACGCACUCUCACCUCCACAUAUGUGCUAGCCUCUUCGGUACUGUGCAUUGCCAUUCUCACCUCGAGGAUUGGUGCAACUUUCGUCGGUGCAUCCAAACCCCGUAACAUGAUACGCUCUGUUGCACAUAAGACACUUUAUAUGUUCCUCAAAACAGACACAAUACCUACCUAUCAUGGCAUUUCCAUAGCCAUUCCGAGAUAUAUUGUCAUGUAACUCCCAAUGUCACUUCAUAUGACUUAUACUUCCAUUGUCAUAUUUCUUUGCAUGAUCGAAAGAUAGCUAGCAUGAUAUUUACAUGGCUUGUCUAUUUAUAUCUUUUGCUACGCUAGAUCAUUGCACAUCCUGGUACACUGCCAGAGGCAUUCAUAUAGAGUCAUAUCAUAUCAGUAUUCAUGUUGAGUUGUAAGUAAAUAAAAGUGUGAUGAUCAUCAUUAUUAGGGCACGGUCUCAGUGAGGAAAGGAUGAUGGAGACGAUGAAUCCCCCACAAGUCGGGAUGAGAAUUCGGACGAAAAAUAAAGAAAAAAGAGAGCAAAAAAGGAAAGAAAACAAGAAAAGGAAAGGAAAAGAAAAAAAAUAGAAAAAAGUAAGUAAAAAAUGAAUAAAUGAGAGAAGGGACAGUGCUACUACCUCUUAUUGAACACUUAUGCCUUAAAGUGGCAUCAUGUUAUUCAUAUAGAGAGUCUCUUGAGUUGUCACUUUCAUAUGCUAGUGGGAAUUUUCAUUAUAGAACUUGGCUUGCAUAUUCCGCUGACGGGCUUCCUCAAAUGCUCGAGGUCUUCAUGAGCAAGCAAGUUGGAUGCACACCCACUUAGCUUCAUUUGAGCUUUCAUACACGUAUAGCUCUAGUGCAUCCGUUGCAUGGCAAUCCCUACUCCUCGCAAUGAUAUCUAUUGAUGGGCUUCUCAUAGCCCAUUGACACGCCUAGUUGAUGUGAGACUUUCUUCUCCACUUUCACCCCUUUGAAACCUACCACCAUAUUAUAUUCCACCCUUAUGCUAUAUCCAUGGUUCACACUCAUAUACUGCGCAAGUAAUAAAAUUUGAAGCGCAUCAAAAAGUAUGAUCCAUUUGCUUGACUUGACACCAUGGUGCUUAACAUUUGUAAUUAUGUGGUGAGGACUGAGCCAUGCUAUAUUUAUAUGAUAAAAUGAAUAGGGGGUGGACAUUCUUUAAGGAUCAUAUGCUUUGAAACUUGAUGACUAUGUUGCUUGUGUUUAUAAGCAUUGCUAUGUUGGUGUUUGUUGAUUCAUCGUUUCUCAAUGAUCAAACCUACAAUAGAUUACAUGUUGGGAAGCAUGUAACAUCAAAAAUUAUGUUUUUAUCAUUUACGUACUUGAGGAGGAGGACGAAUUAGUUUGGGGAUGCUGCUACAUCUCCCACAUAUCUCCCCUCCACGCGCCCUGUUGGCUUGGGGGUACCUCAUGUGCCCUCACAUCUUCUUCUAAAGCUUCCGCGUCUUACUUUUCUCCCAAAAAAUCGUCAAAAAGUUUCAUUGCGUUUGGACUCCGUUUCGUACCAUUUCCCUUAAAAGCCAAAAACACACAGAAAAUAGCAACUAGCACUGGGCACUGGACUAAUAGGUUAGUGCUCAAAAAAGAUAUAAAAUGUAUAUAAAUGCUUAUAAACAUCCAAGAUUGAUAAUAUAAUAGCAUCGAACAAUCAAAAUUAUAUAUACAUUGGAGACGUAUCAGCAUCCCCAAGCUUAAUUCUUGCUCGUCCUCGAGUAGGUAAAUGAUGAAAACAGAAUUUUUGAUGCGACAUGCUACCUAACAUGUAAUCACAUCCAGAUAUGAUCAAUGAGAAAUGGUUAAUUAAUAAACAUCAGCAUAGUAAUAUCCAUAAACAUAAGUAACAUAAUCAUCAACUUUCAAAAUAUAUGAUACCUAAAGAAUCUUUACUCACUAUUCAUUUUAUCAUAUUAGCAUGGCAUGUGUCCGUCUUCACCACAUAAAUACAAAUGUCAAGCACCACAUUGUUAAGGCAAGCAAUUGGAUCGUACUUUUUAAUGCGUUUCAGCUUUUUAUACCUCACCCAAUACAUGAGUGUGAACCAAGGACAUAACAUAUAGGUGGAAUAGAAUGUGGUGGUAUGUUUCAAAGGAGUAAAAGUGGAGAAGAAAGUCUCCCAUCAACUAGGCGGACCAACGGGCUAUGGAUAUGCCCAUCAACCCAUAUCAAUGCGAGUAGUAGGGAUUGCACUAGAGCUAAGUGUAUGAAAUCUCAAUGGAAGCUAAGUGGGUGUGCAUCCAACUUGCUUACUGAUGAAGACCUCGGGUAUUUGAGGAAGCCUGUUGAUACGUCUCGAACGUAUCUAUAAUUUUUUAUGGUUUCAUGUUGUUAUCUUGUCAUCUUUGGAUGUUUUAUGUACCUUUUAUAUCUUUUUUGGGACUAACUUACUAAUUUAGUGCCAAGUGCCAGUUCCUGUUUUUUCUGUGUUUUUGGCUCUUUUCAGAUCUGAUUUUGGAAGGGAGUCCAAACGGAAUAAAAUCCCCGAAAUAAAUUUUUCCCGAACGGUAGAAGAUCUGGGGGCUUGAGGGCCAAGCCAGGAGGGCUACAGGGGGCCCACAAGCCCCCCAUCCGCCACCAGGCGGGAGCGGCGGCCAGCAGGCUUGUGGCCUCCCUAGCACCCCCCUGACCUAGCUCCUUCGCCUAUAUAUUCCCUAAAAUACAGAAAAAAAUCAAGGGAUCCACGAAAAUACUUUUUCGCCGCCGCAAGCUUCCGUUUCCGCGAGAUCUCAUAUGGAGACCCUUCCUGGUGCCCUGCCGGAGGGGACUUUGGAGUUGGAGGGCUUCUACAUCAACAUCAUCGCCCCUCCAAUGACUCGUGAGUAGUUCACUUCAGACCUACGGGUCCGUAGUUAGUAGCUAGAUGGCUUCUUCUCUCUCUUGGAUCUUCAAUACAAAGUUCUCCAUGAUCUUCAUGGAGAUCUAUCCGAUGUAAUCUUCUUUGGCGGUGUGUUUGUCGAGAUCCGAUGAAUUGUGGAUUUGUGAUCAUAUUAUCUAUGAUAUAUAUUUGAGUCUUUGCUGAUUUAUUAUAUGCAUGAUUUGAUAUCCUUGUAAGUCUCUCCGAGUCUUGGGUUUUGUUUGGCCAACUAGAUAUCUGAUUCUUGCAAUGGGAGAAGUGCUUGGUUUUGGGUUCUUACCGUGUGAUAUUCUUGCAAUGGGAGAAGUGCUUGGUUUUGGGUUCUUACCAUGUGGUGACCUUUCCCAAUGACAGUAGGGGCAGCAAGGCACACAUCGUGUAGUUGCCAUCAAGGGUAACAAGGUGGGCUUUGUCGUAGAUAUGAGACUAUCCAUCUACAUCAUGUCAUCUUGAUUGAGGCGUUACUCUGUUCUUUGGACUUAAUACACUAGAUGCAUGAUGGAUAGUGAUCGACGUGUGGAGUAAUAGUAGUAGAUGCAGAAAGUAUCGGUCUACUUGUUUUGGACGUGAUGCCUAUAGAUAUAAUCAUUGCCAUAGAUGACGUCACGACUUUGUGCGGUUCUAUCAAUUGCUCGACAGUAAUUUGUUCACCCACCGUCUACUUGCUUUCAUGAGAGAAGCCACUAGUAAACACUACGGCCCCCGGGUCUAUUCACACCUAUCGUUUCCACUUUCGCUUUUAAUUUGCGUUGUUACUUUGUUGCUUUCAGUUCUCACUUGGCGAACAAUCUAUAAGGGAUUGGCAACCCCUUCAUAGUGUUGGGAGCAAGCUUUUUGUGUUUGUGCAGGCACUUGUGAUACUCCUUCACUGGAUCGAUACCUUGGUUCUCAAAACUGAGGGAAGUACUUACCACCGUUGCGCUACAUCACCCUUUCCGCUUCGAGGGAACACCAAUGCAACGCUCCAAGGCCACGGGGAAAUCCUUUGCAUAUUUGCCUAGGAAGUCCCUAAAGGCAUAGCCGUAGCAGAAGGAUUCCUGGUGCCGUUGCUGAGGAGAAUCAAGACGUCUCCCGUCAGCACGUAUUUCUGGCGCCGUUGGAAGGUAUUUUGUUGCAGAAGCACCUGUCACCAGAAUAUGCAAGCCAAGUUGUACAAUAAUUUUUUUUCACUAGCAUAUGAAAAUGAGGAGAGAUCUAUCCAAGUAGGUAUCACAAACUCAUCUCUUGCAUUUACUUUUUUUUGCCAGUUGCCUCUCGUUUUCCUCUCCCCCACUUCACAUUUGCCAUUUUCAUUUGUCUUUCUCCCUUGUCGUUUUCAUUUGCCUUUUUCUUCAUUUGCCUUCUUCGUAUGCCUUUCCUUUGCUUGUGUGCUAUGUGCCUUCAAUGUGCUUGCAUCUUCGCUUGCUAAAAAUCUAGUGAUAUGGAUCCUCGUCUACUUGCUAAUCUCUUUAAGAGAUCCAAUUAUGUUGAUCCAAUUGCUAGAGAGUUGAGUGCACUUGACUUUCUCUAUGGAGUUUUGCUUGAGAUGCAUGAAUCUGAAAAUCGCGAUGAAGAAAUUCAUGAAGUGAUUCAUGAGGGCUCCUUGAAUAAAAAAGCAUGAUUGCAAUGGUUUCACUAUAAAUUCUAUUAGUGACAAUCAUGCUAAAAAUAUGCAAAACCCUAAGCUUGGGGAUGCUAGUUUUUCUUUGUCCACUACUUGUUGCAAUAAUCAUGAUUGUGGUGAUGUUCUUUCUUAUUAUCUUGAAAAUUUGUUCAAGCCUCAUGAUGAUUAUGAUAUUUGCAAUAAUAUUGUAAGUGGGUUUGGAGAAGUCAUGACUUUAGUUGAUGAUAAUCCCACUAUUUUUUAAGAGCGUCAACUUUGCAUGCAUGUGGAUCAUGAAAAUAAUAUCCUUUGUGAUAGCUAUAUUGUUGAAUUUGAAUAUGAUCCCACAUGUAAUUGCUAUGAGAGAGGAAAAUAUUGUGGUAAAAACUUUCAUGUUACCAAAUCACCUCUCGCUAUGUUGAGAUUGCUAUUGUCUCUUUCUUCUUCCUUGCAUUUGGUAACUAUUGGUUGUCUUGCCAAUUUGUUUUCCUAUAAAAUGCCUAUGCAAAGGAAUUAUGUUAGACUUAGAUGUUAUUUUCGCAUGCUCUAUGAUGCUCUCGUUGUGCUUCAAUUCUUGUCUUUUGUGAGAGCAUCAUUGAACUAUCAAUGCCUAGCUAAGGGCGUUAAACAAUAGCGCUUGUUGGGAGGCAACCCAACGAAUCUAUCAUUUUUAUUUCUGUUUUGUGUUUUCCACACUUCCAUAAUUCUGUUAUGAUUGUGUUUUUUGUGUUUCUUUUUGCGUUUGUGCCAAGCAAAACCGUUAUGAUUAGUCUUGGGGAUGAUAGUUUGGUCAUGCUGGAAAAGACAGAAGCUUUCUGCUCACGAAAAGAAUUUUCAUUUUUUUAUAAGAGAUUUUGAGUUGAUUCUUUUCGUUUAUGAUUGCCAGGCAAAUUCUUCAUACUGUCGUAAUUUUUCAGAAUUUGUGAAGUACCAGAAGUAUACGAAAUAUACAGAUUGCUACAGACUGGUCUGCUGUUAACAGAUUUUGUUUUUGUUGUGUUGGUUGCUUAUUUUGAUGAAACUAUGGAUAGUAUCGGGGGGUAUUAUCCAUGGAAGAUUGAAGAUACAGUAACCCAACAUCAGCAUAAGUAGAAUUUAAGUUUGCUACAGUACCUAAGGAAGUGGUGGUUUGUUUUCUUAUACUAAUGUUAUCACGAGUUUCUGUUUAAGUUUCGUGUUGUGAAGUUUUCAAGUUUUGGGUGAAGUUCUUAUGGACAAAAAGAUAAAGAGUGGCAAUAGCUCAAGCUUGGGGAUGCCCAAGUCACCCCAAGAGAUUCAAGGAUGUCGUAAAAGCCUAAGCUUGGGGAUGCCCCGGGAAGGCAUCCCCUCUCUCGUCUUCAAUCCAUCGGUAACGUUACUUGGGGUUAUAUUUUUAUUCACCACAUGUUAUGUGUUUUUUCUUGGAGCGUCUUGUAUCGUAGGAGUAUUUUAUUUUUGUUGUGUCACAAUCAUCCUUGCUGCACACCUAGAGAGAGAGCCAUGCACUCACCGUGAUUUUGUCGAGCUUCAUUUAUAUCCUUUGGUAGACAAUUUAGCUCACAUGUGCUCCACUUAUAUCUUUUGUGCUAGAUACUUUUGCUCUGUGUGCUUCACUUAUAUAUUUUAGAGCACAGCGGUGCGUGGCUUGGUAGUUGAUCUAUGCUUUGAAAGUAGUCUCAAAAGGGGUAGUUAUCCAAAGGGAUACGAAAACUUCCACCUUCAUGUGCCUUGAAUAGUUAGAGAAGUUUGACUCAUCUCAAUUAGUUUUGAGUUGUGGUUGUGGUAAUAUUGAAGUUAUGCUAGUAAGGUGUUAUGGAUCUAGAAAUACUUGUGUUGAAGUUAGUGAUUCCCGUAGCAUGCACGUAUGGUGAACCGCUAUGUGAUGAAAUCUGAGCAUGAUUAGUCUUUUGAUUGUCAUCCUUUGCGUGGCGGUCGGGAUCGUGUGAUGGUUUAUGCCUACCAACCCUUCCCCUAGGAGUAUGCGUUAAAUGCUUUGUUUCGAUUACUAAUAAAACUUUUGCAACAAGUAUAUGAGUUCUUCAUGACUAAUGUUGAGUCCAUGGUUUAGAUGCACUUUCACCUUCCACCAUCACUACCUUCGUAGUGCCAUGCAACUUUCGCCGGUGCACAAAACCCACCAUUAGCCUCCCUCAAAACAGCCACCAUACCUACCUACUAUGGCUUUUUCAAAGUCAUUCAGAGAUAUAUUGCCAUGCAACUACCACCAUGACAUGUGCCACCACGUCUACAUUGUCAUUUCAUGAUCGUAAUAUAGCUAGCAUGAUGUUUCCAUUAAUGUCUAUGCCAUGCUAGAUCAUUGUCACGGUACACUACCGAAGGCAUUCCAUAUAGAGUCGUUGUUGCUCUAAGUUUUGAGUUGAAAGUGUGAUGAUCAUCAUUGAUGGAGCAUUGUCCCAUGUGAGGAAAUAAAAGAGGCCAAAGAUGCCCACCAAAAUAAAAAUAAAAAAAAGAGGCCAAAGAGCCCACCAAAAAAAUUGAGAGAAAAAGAGAGAAGGGACAAUGCUACCACCUUUCCACACUUGUGCAUAUUAAGCUCCAUGAUCUUCAUGAUUGAGAGUCUCUCGUUUUGUCACCACCAUAUAGCUAGUGGGAAAUUUUCAUUACAUAACUUGGCUUGUAUAUUCCAAUGAUAGGCUUCCUCAAAAUUGCCUUAGGUCUUCGUGAGCAAGCAAGUUGGAUGCACACCCACUAGUUUUCUUUAAGAGCUUUCACAUACUCUUAGCUCUAGUGCAUCAUUUGUAUGGCAAUCCCUACUCAUUCACAUUGAUAUCUAUUGAUGAGCAUCUCCACAGCUCAUUGAUAUGCCUAGUUAAUGUGACCAUCUUCUCCUUUUUUGUCUUGCAACCUCCACCACACUCCACACCACUUAUAGUGCUAAAACCAUGGCUCACGCUCAUGUAUUGCGUGAGAGUUGAAAAGGUUUGAGAAAGUAAAGGUGUGAAACAAUUACUUGGCCAAUACCGGGGUUGUGCAUGAUUUAAAUUCGUUGUGCAAUGAUAAUAGAGCAUAGCCAGACUAUAUGAUUUUGUAGGGAUAACUUUCUUUUGGCCUUGUUAUUUUGAAAGUUCAUGAUUACUUUGCUAGUUUGCUUGAAUUAUUAUUGUUUCCACGUUAAUAGCAAACUAUUGUUUUGAAUCUAAUGGAUCUGAACAUUCACGUCACAUAAGAGGAGUUACAAAGGACAUCUAUGCUAGGUAGCAUGAAAGCAUCAAAAAAUCAUUCUUUAUCACUUCCCUACUCGAGGACGAGCAGGAGUUAAGCUUCGGGAUGCUUGAUACGUCUCAAACGUAUCUAUAAUUUUUGAUGGUUUCAUGCUGUUAUCUUGUCAUCUUUGGAUGUUUUAAUUACCUUUUAUAUCUUUUUUGGGACUAACUUACUAAUUCAGUGUCAAGUGUCAGUUCCUGUUUUUUCUGUGUUUUUGGCUCUUUUCAGAUCUGAUUUUGGAACGGAGUCCAAACGGAAUAAAAUCCCCGAAAUAUUUUUUUUCCGAACGGAAGAAGAUUUGCGGGCUUGAGGGCCAAGCCAGGAGGGCUAUAGGGGGCCCACAAGCCCCCCAUCCUCCACCAAGGGGGCGGCGGCCACCAAGCUUGUGGCCUCCCUGGCGCCCCCCUGACCUAGCUCCUUCGCCUAUAUAUUCCCUAAAAUACAGAAAAAAAUCAAGGGAUCCACGAAAAUACUUUUUCGCCGCCGCAAGCUUCCGUUUCCGCGAGAUCUCAUACGGAGACCCUUCCUGGUGCCCUGUCGGAGGGGACUUUGGAGUUGGAGGGCUUCUACAUCAACAUCAUCGCCCCUCCAAUGACUCGUGAGUAGUUCACUUCAGACCUACGGGUCCGUAGUUAGUAGCUAGAUGGCUUCUUCUCUCUCUUGGAUCUUCAAUACAAAGUUCUCCAUGAUCUUCAUGGAGAUCUAUCCGAUGUAAUCUUCUUUGGUGGUGUGUUUGUCGAGAUCCGAUGAAUUGUGGAUUUGUAAUCAGAUUAUCUAUGAUAUAUAUUUCAGUCUUUGCUGAUUUCUUAUAUGCAUGAUUUGAUAUCCUUGUAAGUCUCUCCGAGUCUUGGGUUUUGUUUGGCCAACUAGAUCUAAUAUUCUUGCAAUGGGAGAAGUGCUUGGUUUUGGGUUCUUACCAUGUGGUGACCUUUCCCAAUGACAGUAGGGGCAGCAAGGCACACAUCGUGUAGUUGCCAUCAAGGGUAACAAGGUGGGCUUUGUCGUAGAUAUGAGAGUGUCCAUCUACAUCAUGUCAUCUUGCUUAAGGCAUUACUCUGUUCUUUCGGACUUAAUACACUAGAUGCAUGCUGGAUAGCGGUCGACGUGUGGAGUAAUAGUAGUAGAUGCAGAAAGUAUCGGUCUACUUGUUUUGGACGUGAUGCCUAUAGAUAUAAUCAUUGCCAUAGAUGACGUCACGACUUUGCGCGGUUCUAUCAAUUGCUCGACAGUAAUUUGUUCACCCACCGUCUACUUGCUUUCAUGAGAGAAGCCACUAGUAAACACUAUGGCCCCCGGGUCUAUUCACACCUAUCAUUUCCACCUUUGCUUUUACUUGGCUUUGUUACUUUGUUGCUUUCAGUUCUCACUUGGCGAACAAUCUAUAAGGGAUUGGCAACCCCUUCAUAGUGUUGGGAGCAAGCUUUUUGUGUUUGUGCAGGCACUUGUGAUACUCAUUCACUGGAUCGAUACCUUGGUUCUCAAAACUGAGGGAAAUACUUACCACCGCUGUGCUACAUCACCCUUUCCGCUUCAAGGGAACACCAACGCAAGGCUCCAAGGCCGCAGGCUUUGCAUAUUUUCCUAGGAAGUCCCUAAAGGCGUAGCCGUAGCAGAAGGAUUCCUGGUGCCGUUGCUGAGGAGAAUCAAGACGUCUCCCGUCAGCACGUAUUUCUGGCGCCGUUGGAAGGUAUUUUGUUGCAGAAGCACCUGUCACCAGAAUAUGCAAGCCAAGUUGUACAAUAAUUUUUUUUCACUAGCAUAUGAAAAUGACAAAACAUGAGACUGUGUGUACGAAAAACAUGGUGACUUCACUAAGCAAGAGUGUGGAAAAAGAGGUGGUAGCAUUGUCCCUUCUCUCUUUUCUCUCUUUUUUUAUUUCUUUCCUUUUUUAUCCUUUUUCUCCUGAUCUCUUUUUAUUUUUUUUCCUUUCUUUAUGUUUUCCCUUUUUUCAUUGUUUUUCAUGCAGACUCUAAUCCCGACUUGUGGGGAAUCAUUGUCUCCAUCAUCCUUUCCUCAAUGAGACAGUGAUCUAAUAAUGAAAAACAUCAUACUUCUAUUUAUUUACAACUCGAGAUGAAAAAUUUACUAAACAAGAUGACUACAUAUGAAUGCAUGUGAUAGUGUACCAGGAUGUGCAAUGAUCUAGCAUAACUUGUAAACAAUGAUGAAUGGUGACUUUGCCACAAAUACUGUGUCAACCACAUGAUCAUGCAAAGCAAUAUAAUGAUGAACACACAAGUCAUGAGACGUAAUGGUGGAAGUUGCAUGGCAAUAUAUCUCGGAAUGGCUAUGGAAAUGCCAUGAUAGGUAGGUAUGGUGGCUGUUUUGAGGAAAUAUAAGGUGGCUUAUGUGCAAUAGGGUGUAUCAUGUUGCGGGGUUUGGAUGCAUCGACGAAGUUGUGUGAUGGUAUUUCAUAGGUAUUCGGUGAUACCCCCCCCCCGCAACGGCGCUAGACAUUCUUCUUGCUACUUGUAAACUGUGUUGGGAAUUUUCCCGAAGGGUAGGGGAGAUGCAACACAGUAGAGAUAAGUAUUUCCCUCAGUGAGGACCAAGUUUAUCGAACCAAUAGUAGGACCACGCAAACACCCGUCUUCAGCGCCUGCACACAAAAGAGCACACACUUGCACCCAACACGAGCAAGAGGGUUGUCAAUCCCCUUGAAAUCAUUACUCUCAAGCGAUAAGUAGUGAUAGAUAGAUAAAUGGAUAAAUAUAAAUGCAAAAUAAAAAUAAAGUAAAUGAUGGCAGCAAUACUUUUAAUGUUUUUAUAAUUUGAUUUGUGAAGACACGUGGGGCAUAGUUUUCACUAGAGGCGUCUCUCUCGUAGAAAGCAUACGGUGGGUAGACAAAUUACUGUUGGGCAAUUGAUAUAAAAGUGCAUAUUAUGCAAUAUUUAUUCAUGGCAAUGAUCAUUCCAUAUAGGAAUCACGCCUGUAAGCAAGUAGACCGACUCCUGCCUGCAUCUACUACUAUUACUCCACUCAUCGACCGCUAUCCAACAUGCAUCUAGAGUAUCAAGUAAAACAAAGUAACGCUUUAAGCAAGAUGACAUGAUAUAGACAAAGUAAAUCCAACUAAUAUUAAUAAUACCCAUAAUUUUACCCUUAAUGUUAGCAAUACAAAUAUGUGCCAUGUCCCUUUCUGUCACUAGAAUUGAGCAUUGAUACUUGUGAUCUGCGUUGGGUUCUUUCCCAGAGAGGAGGGGAUGAUGCAACACAGUAUGGAUACGUAUUUAGCUUGGUGAUAACCAAGGUUAUCUAAGCAAUAGAAGGACCAUGCAACUUCCCAUCUUAAGUGCCUACACACAAAAGAUCACACACUUGCACCCAACUCGAGCAAGUGGGUUGCCAAUCCCCUUGAAGUCGUUACUUGCAGGAAAUAAGUAGUGAUAGAUAGAUAGUUGAAAUAUAUUAAAUAUAAAAAGUAAAUACAAAUAAUAAAAGGCAGCGAGGUAUUUAGAGUUUUUAUAAAUAUAUUUGUGAAUAGACCCCGGGCCCAUAGUUUUCGCUAGAGGCUUCUCUCUUGUAGAAAGCAUAUGGUGGGUAAUUUUUUUACUAUUGGGCAAUUGGUAGAAAAACGUAUAGUUAUGCAAUAUUUAUUCAUGGAAAUGAUCAUUAAAUAUAGGUGUCACAUCCGCAAGCAAGUAGAUCGACUCCUACCUGCAUCUACUACUAUUACUCCACCCAUCGACCGUUAUCCAGCAUGCAUCUAGAGUAUUAGGUGAAAAGAGAGUAAUGCUUGGAGGAUAAUGACAUGAUGUAGACAAAGUAAGUCCAAUUAAUAUGAAUGAACCCCAUUGUUUUACCCUUAGUGGCAACAAUACAAUAUGUGUCAUGUCUCUUUCUAUCACUGGGAUCAAGUACCGCAAGAUUGGACCCACUACAACACACCUAUGACCUAUCCCACUGAAGAUAAAUCAAUCUAGUUGGCCAAACCAAAUAAAUAGAUCGAAUAGAAUUACGAAGCUAUCAAAGUCAUGCAUAUAAGAAUUUAGAGAAGACUCAAAUAUUAUUCAUGAAUAAUCUGAACAUAAACGCACAAUUCAUAUGAUCCCAACAAACGCACCACACAAGAGUGAUUACAUAAGAUAGAGCACCAUGGGAAUCGCGUGAUCAUGGCAACGAAGAACAUAGAGAGAGAUACAGUCGUACGGGUACUAACUACAGACCCGUAGGUCUGUGGUGCACUACUCACACAUCACCAUGGUUGCAACAAGGUUGAUGUAGAGGCCCUUCAUGAUCGACCCCCCUCCGACAGGGCACUGGGACACGGCUCCAGAUGGGCACAUGGCGGAACAGAGACUUGCGGCGACAGAAAAAGUGUUUUGGGUGGCUCCCUAGGGUUUGGGCAUAUUAGAGAAUUUAUAGGAUAGAGAGGAGGGCCAUAGGCCGUGGGAGGUGCCUCCAAGCCAUGAGGACGCGACCACCCCCCCUCGACGCGCCCUGUUGGCUUGGCGCCACCCCGUGUGGCCUCCGGUCUCCUUCCGAAGCUUCUAGGUAUUUAUUUUGUCUAGAAAAAAUCAUCAAAAAGUUUCGAGGUAUUUGGACUCUGUUUGGUACACUAUUCCUAAAAAGCCGAAAACAUGCACAAAACAACAACUGCACAUGGCACUUGGUUAAUAGGUUAGUGCUCAAAAAUAAUAUAAAUCAGCAAGUAAAUGCCUAAAAACAUCCUAGAAUUAUAAUAUAAUAGCAUGAAACAAACAAAAAAUAUAGAUACGUUGGAGACAUAUCAAGCAUCACAAGAUUGAACACAUUACAACGCACCACUCCCAUGCACCACUCCCACUUAAGAUAAAUCUAUCUAGUUGCCCAAACCAAACCGGUAGAUCAGUCAGAAACACGAAGCUAUCAUAAUCAUGCAUAUAAGAAUUUAGAGCAAACUCAAAUACUUUUCACAAAUAAUAUGAACAUAAACCCACAAUUCAUCGAAUCCCAACAAACAAAUCGCAAAAGAGUGAUUACAUAAGAUAGUUCACCACAGGAACUGCGAUGAUCUUGGCAAUGAAGAACAUAGAGAGAGAGGGAGAGAGAGAGCCAUCUAGGUACUAACUAUGGAUCCAUAGGUCUGUGGUAAACUACACACACGUUACCAUGGGAGCAACAAGGUUGAUGUAGAAGCCCUUCGUGAUUGAUCAUCCCUCUCGCGUGGCACCGGAAUAGGGCUCCAUAUGGGAUCACGGUGGAACAGAUACUUGCAGUGGAGGAAAAAGUGUUUUUGGUGGCUCGCUCGUGUUUUUCCCACAAAAGAAAAUUUAUAGGAGCGAAGAUAGGGGUGGAGGAGCUGGGAGGUGGCCCUAAGCCAUAAAAAAAGGUGCACCUUAUUGGAUUUGGGGCACCUCGUGUGCCCUUUGGUAUUCUUAUGAAGCUUCCAGGUCUUAUUUUUGUCCAAAAUAAUGUCAAAAAGUUUCUUUGCGUUUGGACUCCGUUUGGUACUAUUUCCCUGAAAAGCCAAAAACGCGCAGAAAACAACAACUAGCACUUGUCAUUGGGUUAAUAGGAUAGUGCUUAGAAAAGAUAUAAAACAUCAUAUGAAUGCUUAAAAAACAUCCAAGAUUGAUAAUAUAAUAGCAUGGAACAAUAAAAAAUUGUUGAUAUGUUGGAGAUGUAUCAAUAACCACAACACCGAGAGACGAGCAUGUAUAUCGAUGUUCACUUCCUCAGAGGGAAGCUAGUCAUUGUUAGAGAGGUGGAUGUUACCGCGAAGGCACACGAAUGCCACCAAGGAUCACCCUAUUCUUCCCUUGAGACUAUACCACAAAGGCAUUUCUUAACCACCAGUGGUAGACCUUGAGAUGGUCUCAAAACCUUCACAAACUUUUUGGGGGUCACCACAAUGAACGAUUCCUCUCUCAAGAACUCCUACCGCCUAGGAGUCUCCAACCUGUAAGAAUAAUAAAAAUGGAGCGAGAAAUCUCAAGACUUUCUCAAAGCAUGAUUUAUGUUGGUCAAGAGAAGGGGAAGGAGUUGAUCUAUCACUUGAUUAGAUAACCUCUCAAGAACUCUCCCAAAUCCCUUUGGGAUCUAGGAUAAUAGUGUGUGUUAUAGGAUUGAUUAAAAGUGAACAUCGACAGAUCUAUUGAUUUGGUUUGGCCAACCAGAUGGGUAGAGGCUAUAUAUAAUAGCAUUUAUGUGUAAGUGGUUGGACGUGCCGAACAUCCGACAAUCGAAGAAAAAACACACAAUAUGCAUAUGGAUCAGUAGGAAAAACAAUCGUCCCGGAUAUCUAGGGAUAGCCAGGCAUGUGGCCAGCCUUGAGGACCCAAACAUCUGUCCAUGAGCCGGAGAUCCGGUGGUUGCUACCAAAAUUCUCAAGAAAUCUACCGGACAUGACGCUCUGGAUUUGCAUGAGAGGCCCAAACAUCCGGUCCCACAUGAGGCGCUCGACAUUGAUACAUCUCCAACAUAUCAAUAACUUUUAUUGUUCCAUGUUAUUAUAUUAUCUAUCUUGGAUACUUUAUAUGAAAUUAUAUGCUAUUUUAUACCAUUUUGGGGAACUAACCUAUUAAUCCAGUGCCAAGUGCUAGUUGAUGUUUUUUGCUUGUUUUGGUUUUCCAAGAAAUCAAUACCAAAUGAAGUUCAAACGCUAUGGAACUUUUUGACAAUUUUUUGGACAAAAAAGACCCUCGAAGCUUCAGAGGGAUAUCAAAAUACACACGAGGAGACGACAAGGUAACCAGAUGCGCCCAGAGGGGUAGGCAUGCCGUGAUGCCUUGUGGGCCCCUCAUGGCUCCGUGUGACCUAAUUCCACCUCCAUAAAUUAUCUAAAAUAGGAAAACCAAUAGAGAGCCACCCGAAACACUUUUUCUGCCGCCGCAAGUCUUUGUUCUGCCAUGAUCCCAUCUGGAGACCUUUUCCGAUGCCGUGUUGGAGAGGGAAUUGAUCACGGAGGCCGUCUACAUCAAUCUUGUUGCCUCCAUGAUGAUGUGUGCAUAGUCCACCACAGACAUAUGGGUCCAUAGCUAGUACCUAGAUGGCUUCUUAUCUCUCUUUGAUCUUCAAUACAAAGUUCACCAUGAUUUCCGUGCUGAUCUAUCUCAUGUAAUCCUAUUUUGUGGUGUGUUUGUUGGGAUUCGAUAAAUUGUGGGUUUAUGAUCAGAUUAGUCAUGAAUAUAUAUUGAGCCUUCUCUGAAUUCUUUUAUGCAUGAUUGUUAUAGAUUUGUAUUUCAUCGUGCAUCUUCUGAUCGCUCCCUGAAGCUUUCCACGGUCUUGUGUGGUGUCGAAAAAAUCAAUGUAAAAUUUCAUCGUGUUUGGACUUUGUUUGGUAUGUUUUUUUCUACCAAACAAAGAAACAAGCAAAAAACAGAAACUCACACUAAGUAGUAAGUUAAUAUGAUAGUAUCAAAAAAUGAUAUGAAAUGUCAUAUAAGGCACAAAAUAUUUAUAAUAUAUUAACAUAAAGCAAUCAAAAAAUCUAGAUACGUUGGAGACAUAUCAAUCAUACUUAUGUUUUAACAAUCCAUUAAGCAUAUAUUUACUCCAACAUGCAAUAUUUACACUAUAAUAAUAAUUUUAAAGAAGGAGUUAACUCAAUAUAAAAUUAAAAGGUAAGCCCUUCAAAAAGGUCUUGGGCUUUGGAUGGAGUAUGUCUAGAAAGUCGGCCUCACUAGCUUGUCAUUGGAGAUUGUCAUGUGUUUAUUGUUUGAUGUUCAUGGAUUUAGUAAGUGGAAAUAAUAAUUUCCCAUUGCCCAUUGUGGUGUCACCGUUUUUUCUUCAGAUUCACCAUCAAAAGUUCAUGGGAAAUUUCCAUUCCCACACAAUAAAUUUUAUUUUGAAAUUUGAGUUAUUGAAGAGAUGAAAAAAUAAUACUUGGAAUGACUUUUCUCAUUCAUAUAGGAAGGUAUAGUGGACAGUCAUAGGAUUGACUUGGUUUAAGGGAAUUGGAUGCAUAUGCAUUAUUCAUACUUACAAUAGACGUUUUGGCUAGGAAGGGUCUAAAGGAAACAUGCCUAUGGAAGGCCCAUGAGUAAUAAAUCAUUAAGGAUCACAUAUACACGUCUACCUAGUUGUCUUUCAUGCCUAGUCAUAAUAAUUUGUUCGAGCUUCUUAAAUUUGCCACUGAAGAUUAUCUAUUGGUCCAAAGAGUUUGGAAAUAAUAUAUUUGCAUGUGUAUGUGCUUUCUUUCAUUCCAAGUUUCAUGAUUCCAUUACUCACAUCAUGUGUAUCUAAGUAGUUGAUCCCCACUACUUCAAUUUAUCUCAACACACGUGCAUGCCAUCUAACUGCAAAUGACACCCCAUUAAAUGCCCACCUAAACAUGAAUGAGAUUUUUUAAUUAUUAAUUUAUAUUCAUUACUUAUAUUUAUCUUAACAUGCAUAUGUUCCACCUCACCACGUAUGCCAUCUCAUCAAAGGCCCACAUCACACAUGCAUGGAACAAAUAUUUUUCAUCUUAUGCUACUUAAAUUUAAUAAGCACUUUCAAAUAUAUACUAAUUGAAUAGAAUAUGUAAUAUUUCAAGUUUUAGUUUAUGUAUUAUUGAUCCAAAUAUUCAUGCUUCAUAUAACCAAAACUCAAUGCAACAUAUAUCUCAGUAGUUAAUUCCCAUUGAUUCCGUUUAUCUACAUACGCACACAUGCCACCUCAUCACACAUGCCAACUCAUCAAAGGGUCACCUCAACAUGCAUGGGAUUUUUUUUCAUUAUUAAUUGAUCUUUGCUACUUGAAUUUACCUCAACAUUUACAAAGUAGAAUAGAUAACAUAUCCCGCCUCAUCAAAGUCCCACAACAACAUGCAUGAAAGCAUGUUCUCCAUCAUAUCAUGCUACUUAAAUUUAGUAAGUAUUUUCAACUAUAUAAUAACUAAAUACAAUAUACAAUGUGUAUUUCUAGCACUAGUCCAUAUAUUUUUAAUCCAAAAUUUCAUGUUUACCGUAACCAAAUCCCAUUGGAAUAUAUUGCAACUAAUUCCCACAACAAAACAUAGGGCACCCACUCAUAAAUUUCUAGCUUUGGAAAAGUCGUGACCUCCCACAUUAUGUAAUCUAUAAAAAUGACGGUAAUGCUAGAAUAUAUAAUAAUAAUGAGAACAAAAGGGUGUAAUCACGACAUACCAUUAUUAUGUAGCCUCACAUCAUAUGAUACAUCGAUAAUAUUACUCUAAAGGAGUAAAAUCACACUUCAAAACUAAAGUUAUAGAAGAAAAUAUUCCACUAAGGUGAGAUGUGUGAUGUAGAAAGUAAGACCAAUAUGGUGCAAGGUACUCGGCAUCCUGCUAAUAUUAGGAGGGAGAGAUGCCUAUUACCACCUUUUACGCUUGAAAUUUGGUGAUGGAUGCUACCUUUUCUUCUUCCAUAACACGAUCCUCCAACCAUUGACAUAUAAUUAUGCAUGUAUACUCAUUUUCAUGGAGUUGAUUCUGAACAUCUUGUAGUUGAUCAUAGAUAUAUUGGGUCUUCUCCUCAAGGAAGCUCAUCACCCCAAUGCAGAUGUUGCUUGUCUUCCUCUAGUUCUUGAAUUUUGGCCUUGAGCCAUCUAGUCAUCAAGUAAUGUGCAUUGAGGCUACUAGAAAUUACACCCUUGUGCUUGAAGAUUGCUUGCUCAUCCUCUUACAAUUCUCCAGUGCUUCAACAUCCUUGAUAUGUAAUUGUCCUCCUUCCAUAGUAAUAAAUUUGGGAUGUGUCCUCAUGUACAUAAAGUAUGGGUUUAUGAUCUUCUUGAGGAAAUCGUCACCACGUUCGUUUUUCCUCCCCGGUACCAGCAUCCCCAAUGGAAGAGCUUGGGAAAGGCAUGAUGUUAGAUGGAUCUAGGGAACAUUGACAGAGAAGUGCUCAAAACAAAACAGAGGCGAACCUCGAGGAUACCAAGAUCAUAAAAAAUAGGAUAUAUUUAUAGGAUAUUUUCAUGCAGAAGGGGUUUGUAAGCAAAAUAUGAGCUGGAGGGGUCUUUCGUGGGCCAAGGCGACCUAGGACUCGAAGCGUCUAGGCCCACAGAGGUCCCCUCAUACCCUUCUUUUGCUCAAUUGUCUUAUUAUGAAUACAAAGUUCCUUACACGUUUUCGGUGUUUUCAAGAGAAUUCAUGUACCCUUUAUAUUUCCUAGAAAAUUUAAGCUUUUGAAUGGUUCAUGUUCUGAUUUUUAAUUAAUUAUUUAAGGAUAAUCCAGUGCACUGAAUUCACCUCCGCUCCUAUGGAAUCAUAGAUAAUGUAAUGUUUGAGUCUCUUUCGUUGACGACUCUUGGUUAAAAUUACCAUUAAUGUCUCCUUAAAGUCUCAUGGCUCCCGACUAAUAAACCUCUCCAAUUGUAAUGGGGGCAUUCCAUUUGUAUAGGAGUAUACCUAUAAAAUGGCUGAGACAAGAUUUGUACAAUAAUACUUGGUCCCCUACUUUAAAUUAUUUUGUUUGGAUUCUUAUAUCAUGCCAUGUUUUAACUUCCUCUUAAAAUAACUUAGCAUUUUCAUAAGCUUGUUUCCUCCAUUCAUCUAAAGUAAUUAUGUGUAGCAAUCUUUUUCACCGGCUUAUUGCAAGUAAAAAAAUGUAUGAUUGGCCGGUAAGCUUUAAAUUCUAAUUCCAAAGGAAGAUGACUAGACUUAACAUGUAGCAUAUAUAAUAAGACAUGCCCAUAUGAUUUUAUAAGUUCCAUAAGCCAAGAGUGCAUCGUUAGUUUAUUCGCCCAAUCUCUACUCAAUUUGUUGAUUAUAUAUUGCAAGAUAAAAUUUAUUCUCUAUUAGCUAAUUGUACUCGAACACUAGUUUGUUGAUGAUAGGGUGAAGCGACAUUAUGAUUAACAUCAUAUACUUAGCCAAAGUUUUUCUAAUAGCACUGUGAGUAAAACUUGAACCACCAUUCAUUCGUAAGAUACCUAGAGUCUAAACAUAGAUAAGGUAACAUCUUUAUGCAUUUUACUGUAAGUUCGAUGAUGAAUACUUCUAGUUGAAAUAGCUAAUAUCCACUAGUGAGAUAAUUAACAACAACUAAAAUAUAUGUCUUACCAUGAGAUAAUGUUUUUUUCCAUAUAAUCAACCCCCCAAAAAUUAAAUGGAUAUUUCCAAGCAAUAAAUGGAUUUCUAGCUAUUUAGUGGAUAUAGUUCAAAAUUGAACUACGAGCAACUUUAAAUGUCACUAAAUGGAAACAAGUUCAUUCUCAAGUAAUUAUUCAACUCUUUAGCUCCCAUACAAAUACAUGAAAAAUAUAAACAUUUCCUUGAAAAUAACAGAAGCAUUCUGAUGCAUCUUAUUGUUUUUUAAUAUAAAAUCUAAAUAUGCUAAAAAUAGAAGUUUCAAUGAGAUUGGAACCUCUGAUUUGUUUGCUAAUUAUUUGAAAUGGAUAAAAUAACAAUUAAUGUUACAUAAUCAUAUAGAUAUAUUAUUGAUUAAAAAAUAAAUGUAGAUUCAUUCAUUCUUUUUGGAUACAAUAAGACCAUCAUAUCCAAGCCCCACGGGUCUCAAAAUGGAAUGUGAUGGAAUAUGCAUAUAAUAGAUGUGUUACACGAAAGAAUCUUCACACAUUUAUUAUGUCCCUUGAUUACAAUUGUUGUACGGGGUUAAAAGAGGACAAUAAUCAAUGUAAGCUAUCGAGGGAACAAGUUGUUGUCAACCCAACCAACACUAGAGCCUAUGAUGAUGAUCUAUGAUACCUAAAUGAGUAUAAGAACAUAAUUUUGAGAAAUCAGUUGCUCCUAUCACAAAUAAUGAAGAAAGUUAAAACAAUAUAGCAUUCAAUGCUUGUUAUUUUGACCACAAGCUUUGUCUAGGGCAAUGUGUGCCGAAACAUCAUUAUGACUUGCUCAAUUUGCAUGAUAUGUUAGGUUUCAUUUUCGGGGUAGGGAGUGGUGGCGAGAGAGGGUUGAGGCUCUACUAUUGUCAAAACUCAGGAUUUGUUGAAGGUUCCCUCAACUUCUAGUCUAUUUUCUAUCGUAAUCCACAUUCAUGUAACGAUGAACUUCCCUUCAUCACACCGUGCACGCUUCCUUCACAUCAGAUGUAGGUCGUGCAUCAAUCGGUCAUCCUUCUCAAGCGACUAGCAACAUGUGAACAUAAGAUAUGUCACUUGUUGAUCUCAGGAGGGACCAUAUUUCCUCCAACCCCAACACUUUACCUAAUCCACCGUUCACGAUAUGUUUUGAAGAACGAGUGAUGAAACAAUUUGCAUUAAGAGGGACCAAAUCUUUGAAAAGACUAGCUGUAUCGUUGAUGCAUGGUUACUAGAAAUAUGUGUUUUGUUGGCCACCACCUAUGCCGAGUACUCCCACUCUCCAUGUUGCGUGAAUGUUUGAACGAAAUUGAUGUUGGCGCUGAUGAUAACCAACCGGACUUGAUUGAUCUUAGAUCAUUUGAUUGCUUUCUCGGUGGUGUGUGUUGGUUAAGUAAAAGAGGCGCAUCGGAUGGUUUUUGCCUUUGUGCACACUCAUGUGAGACAUGUAUUAUGCAACAAAUGCACGGUCACCUAGGUGCGCACAUCGAUCAUGCAUAAAGGGUGCAAGCGGUAUCACUCUUCGUCUCGCGAAACUCAAUAACUAUCUCAUAGUUUGUCCAUCGCAUGCCUAAAGUUGAUAGUAUAUUUGUAAUUUUGUAUCAUGCUAUUGUCCGCUAGCCUGCAACGCUUGCAUCCCUUAUCGUGCAUGGGUCGACGACGUACGAUGGUUUCGCCGUGGUCGGAGAAAAGGCAUAGUGCCUAAGGUACGAAAUGAAACUCUCAGCUUGAUUCGAUCGACCUCGCUAAACCUCGUGCAAACAUGGUAAUCUAUGCUUUUAUCGAAAGCCUUGUUACACAGUUUAUGUUAUCGGAAAGCGAGAUGAUUGAGGAGGAUGCUGAGCCAUCUAUCCAGGAGAUAUGAUCCACCAUAUGUGUGACGCCGACGCGGACAUGCAAUCAAGAUGCACAAGUAGCCGUCCGGCGCAGCGCCGGCCACUUUUGCUGCCAGCCACUCGAUCGCCGGCGACGUUCCUAUCCUGUUUCGGCGCAAAACAAAACAGAGCUGCUGGACAAGACAAGAUCACGUCUAAUCUCUCCGACGCAAAGCUCAUCAUGGUUGCAUAGAAGUUAAGGGUGAUUAUCCCAUACAUACACGCACCAUCGUUACCAGCUAGUGGCACAUGCUAUGCCUAGAUACACACCCGAAAAUAGUAUCAUGUCGCUAGGGAUGGCAAGUUGUUUUGGGCGGGAAUAAGCACCGUGGCAGUUGCAUCUUUUUUAGGUGCUAACAAAGAUGGGAUGGUGUGAUAGAAGGUGGAUAGUGUGAUGUCGAAUUGGGUGGAAUGGUCAACUUAACCGGUGCAUCAAGUGAAAAGAAUAGUUAAAUUAUGCUAUCAGUGAGCAUGUUAACCCCAAUUCCAUGAAUUAAUGAGAUGAAAUCAAUCCAUGGCGAUGAUAAACAAGCUCACAGAUAUGCAUGGCUGAGCCGAUGGAACACCUGGACACCCUGCCAAGAAAAACCUCAUCCAUCCUCUUGUUUGUGUACUGGCGUGUACGCCACGUACGCCCAUGUUUUGCUCUCGUUGAUCGAUCUUGUCAAGUUUAAUAAGGAUGCAUCAGGUUUUUGAAUGUUUAACAUCUCCAUGAAACGAGUUCUUGAGUUUGCACAUGUUUACACCCGUUCCAGCAGCAUGAUUACCCGGGCUCACGAUGAGCCGAGACCAUCCAGAGCCUCCUGGCACUCAGUUUGGUACAAACAGGCAAUUUGCAUUCUCUCAUCUUCCUGGCAGCAAUUGACUCUUCGUUUGCAUUUUCAAACUUCACGAGCAGCUCGAAACUUUGUGAAUUCCAUGUGUUGGAAUGUCGAACUGAUCAGCUCGAUCGAUCAUCAUGUUUGGGAGAGAGCACCACACCCAGCCCAACUUUGACCUCUUCCUGGACACAUUUCUUGGUUCGGACAGCACCAAAAAACUUCCAGAAUUUUCAAUCCAAUUCUUCGUUCCAGGAAAUACUAGAUAACAAUUGCAUAGUGCAUCGAAGAAUCAUCUGAAAUUAGGAUCAAAUUCGAUAUGAGAGGUAGAACAAGCCAACUUGUAUCACCUGGUAGACUUUCCCCAACCACAUGAACAAGCAAUGAUCACUCUAUUGCAAAAUCAUCCGAAUUCAAGCGUGACAACCCAAAUGCAGCAGCUGGGAAGCCUUCCCCAUGUCCACACCUACCGGAGCACGGCGGUUUUCCGGCAAGCCGUCCGGCCACCGCGCCGGCAAACAGUGCAAAGCCCGGCUGAACUCACACACCACCAGCAAAGGUCUCCACAAGUUGUGCAACUUGGGUCGUGUUCCAUCGCCUCGUAGCCUAUCAAAACUACGUUGGAUCGACGUGUUUCCGGCACCUACGUGUUGCUACAUUAACCAGAUACAUGACCGCGCCGGAAAAUCUCAUUGUUCGCCGGUGCAGCCAGUGCCGGCGGCCGGAAAUCUCCACCAAACUCCGACAAAAGCACCAUCCCGACCAGUCCCUGAUCACCGGCUGAUUUCUCCGUGAAUACUCGACCAAAUCACACGAACUUGAUCUCAUUACAAAGCCAUGAUCCUUGCCUACACGAUGGAAAAAAUUACACUCGAAUCGGUGGAUUCGAUGGAGCGAUAUUUGAUCGGAAAUCGAGAGGAGAAGCACACUCUGGAAGUCUGGAGGCUGGUUCGCGAGACGGCCGGCCAACUGGGGGUGGGGGGGCUUCAAUCCGCGGCACCCGAUGCGGCGCGUGGACAGCCGUCGGAUGGAAACGGAUCGGACGCGCCAGGUUUGAUGACGGCCGCCAGGGGGGCGAUCCGUGGCUACGCCCCCUAGACCAAUCAGCGCACGGCGUUCGGGCCUCGCCCGUCUUCCCGACGUCUCCCGCUAUAUAACCAGCGCCUCCUCCGCCCUGACAUCCUCACCCAGCUCUCACCCGCAUCUCCCUCACCUCCGGCGAAAGACACACCAGCGCGCUCUCCUCGCUCUCCCGCAGCAAUGUCGACCGACGCAGCCGCCGACAUCCCGGUGCCUCAGGUGGAGGCGACCGCCGACCCCGUCGUGGAGACCACGGCUGACGCCGCCGCCGGCGACGCGAAACCGGCCAAGGCGACCAAGGCCAAGGCCGCCAAGACGCCCAAGGCCAAGAAGCCCUCCGCCCCGAGGAAGCCCAAGGCCGCCCCCGCCCACCCGACCUACGCUGAGGUAAACCCCUCGACCACCGCCGAAUCUCGCUGCAUUCGGUCUCUGUUCGUUCUCUGUUUGCCUUGGUCUGACUGGCUUUGUUCGUUCGUGCUUUGUGUGUGCGCAGAUGGUGUCGGAGGCGAUCACCGCGCUCAAGGAGAGGGGCGGGUCGAGCACCGUCGCCAUCGGCAAGUUCAUCGAGGACAAGCACAAGGCGCACCUCCCGGCCAACUUCCGCAAGAUCAUGCUGACGCAGAUCAAGAAGCUGGUCGCCGCCGGCAAGCUGACCAAGGUCAAGGCCUCCUACAAGCUCGCCAAGGCCCCCGCAGCCCCCAAGAAGCCCAAGACCAAGGCGCCAGCCAAGAAGAAGCCCGCCGCGAAGAAGAAGGCGCCGGCCAAGAAGACCACCGCCAAGUCCCCUGCCAAGAAGAAGGCGCCGGCCAAGAAGACCACCGCCAAGGCCCCAGCCAAGACCAAGGCCGCCGCCAAGCCCAAGGCGGCAGCGAAGCCCAAGGCAGCCGCCAAGAAGGCACCAGCCAAGACCACCAAGGCCGCCGCCAAGCCCAAGCCGGCCGCCAAGACGAAGGCUGCUGCCAAGCCGAAGGGCCGCCCCGCCAAGGCCGCCAAGACCUCCGCCAAGGACGCACCAGGGAAGAAGGCGGCGGCACCCGCUACCCCCAAGAAGCCAGCCGCCAGGAAGCCGCCCACCAAGCGGUCGGCGCCGGUGAAGAAGGCCACGC
This 89255-nucleotide long non-coding RNA is filed under the name Hordeum vulgare. RNAcentral describes it as "long non-coding RNA (HVUL_LNC014090)". The record is from RNAcentral. Lineage: Eukaryota; Viridiplantae; Streptophyta; Magnoliopsida; Poales; Poaceae.